This 105190-nucleotide long non-coding RNA is filed under the name Gossypium raimondii (Peruvian cotton). Its description in RNAcentral is "long non-coding RNA (GRAI_LNC009776)". The stretch from base 86878 to 86964 matches the Rfam family "MIR7486 microRNA precursor family". The record is from RNAcentral. Lineage: Eukaryota; Viridiplantae; Streptophyta; Magnoliopsida; Malvales; Malvaceae.
CAGGGGUAAGGACACUGAGUGCUAUUGCUAUCCUGGUUUCACAUUUAUCGACGAGAAUACCAAAUCCCUGGGCUGCUCUCAGAAUUUCACUAUAGAUGGGUGCGUGGCAAGGAAAGAUCUAGUGAUACACUACAACAUCACUACCUUAGACAAUAUGUAUUGGGCUGGUGAUCCUUAUUCUGUGAAGCCUAACUUGGAGAAGGAAGACUGUAAGAAAGCUUGCCAGGAGGAUUGCUCCUGCGGCGGAGUUCUCUAUUCUGACCGAAAAAGCUGCAGGAUGUAUAGGCUACCGCUCAAAUAUGGUAAAAGACAUGGAAAUAUAACAACCACAGCCUUCAUCAAGUUUAUCCUGGGUAGCACCAUUAGCCCCCCACCUGAAACAAGUCAAAUAUUGAUAAGCGAAGGAAACCAAAGCCUCAUUUUAACUAUGGGCUUAAGUUUGGGUUCCGUUACAAGCUUGUGUUUUGUGAUUGCAAUAUGUAGCUUCUUAUUAUACAGGCACCGAGUCCAAAAUUAUAAGAAGCUUUUAGAAAAUAAAAGUUCAGUAUUAACCGAGCAGUUUACGCUACGAUCAUUCACUUUCGAUGAGCUAGAUGAAGCAACACAUGGUUUUCAAGAUGAGUUAGGUAAAGGUUCAUUUGGGACAGUUUAUAAAGGAAUUUUGCCAGGGGAUGGUAAAAGUAAAACUAUUGCCGUUAAAAGACUGGAGAAAGUUAACGAAGGAGAAACAGAUCAGAUUCGAACCGAGAUGACAGUCAUUGGAAGAACUAAUCACAGGAACUUGGUCCGAUUGCUUGGUUUUUGUGUGGAAGGUUCAAGGAAGCUCUUCGUUUAUGAAUACUUGGGCAAUGGCUCACUGGCAAACUUUCUGUUCAACAUGAAUAAACGCCCAGUGUGGAAAGAGAGAGCCCGAAUUGCAUUGGACGUAGCUAAAGGUAUCCUUUAUUUACAUGAAGAGUGUGAGGGGUGUAUCAUCCAUUGCAACCUCAAGCCCCAUAACAUACUCUUGGAUGAUUCAUUGACUGCAAAGAUUUCAGAUUUUGGAUUGGCAAAGCUAUUGAGGCCUAAUCAAACAUGCAGUACCCCUAGGACCAAAGGAACAGCAUGGUACUCGGCACCUGAAUGGCAAAGCAGUGGAUUGGUGUCAGUAAAAGUCGAUGUAUACAGUUUCGGAGUGAUACUAUUGGAGAUCAUAUGUUGCAGAAGCAACAUAGAAGUACAAGUUUCUAGUGCAGAUGAGAUACUACUUUCUACAUGGGUAUACAGUUGCUUUAUUGGGGGAGAAUUGAAUAAGCUUGUGGAAGGUGAAGAAGAAGUGGACAUGUUAAUGGUGGAAAGAUUUGUGAAGGUGGGGCUUUGGUGCAUUCAAGAUGAUCCCAAUUUGCGUCCACCGAUGAAAAAUGUGAUCUUGAUGUUGGAAGGAACAAUGACUAUACCGGUCCCUCCAUCUCCAUCACUUCUGUUAUACCUUUGAUUUAGUAUUUACUUCAGUUAUGCUUUUCAUGUAAUGCAUGAUGAUGUGCUUAUUUUUCUUUUCUUUAAUGUAAUGUAAUUAUGUAAGAUAAAAGAGUUUAAUUCUAAAAAAAUAAAAUUUCAGUGGUUAAAAAAAUAGUGUUAAUUAGGGCAGUAAUUCACCAAAAAACAAAAAAAAACCUUUUGUUGAUUUAGUAUUUAUUUAAGUGUAUUGGUAUCUAAUAAACUUUUAAUAAAUAAUUAAAAUAUUAUUUUUAUUAAAAAAUCUGAUAAAUAUUAUUAGCAAGCGAUUGAAUCAAAUUAUCAAUUUCUAAUAAUAUAAAUGUAAAUAUAAUUAAUAAAUAGUGAACUUGGUGAUCAUCCAAGGCACAUUAGCAUGCUCAUGUUCGAACCGGGAUUUCAAACCAAAUACUUCCUCAGUAGGAUAGAUGGGGCGAUUCAAAUGAAAUCCAAUAUAGAUUCAACUUUCUAUUCACUCGUGAGAUCUGGGCGGUCUAGGGAAUCACCACAGCUCAUCUCUUCUCGAUAAUUUAUACAUCCCUUAUUACUAUAUGGUAUAAUUGUGUAUGGUAAAACUUAAACAUAAAUACUUAAAAGAAUUUAAGCCUUUGCCUUAACCAACAAACCAAAAUCGGUUUCCACCAAAAGUCAUGGUAUUCUUUUAAGAGUGAGUUUGGAUGAGCGGUGCGUUUAUCUACGGUUAGUGUAAAAACAGCGGUGGCGAUGAGAUUAGAUACUGUAGUGAUACUGUAGCGUGAGAUAAAAAGUAAGCUAAACGCACCGCACCUCACUCAAUCGUCCAUCCAAACCCACCUAAGUCUUCUUAAAAUUAUUGAUUUAGCCUGUCUGGUUUCAAUUUUUCAUUUGCAUUUACUUUUUGUUAUUUUCUAAAAAUUCACUUUCAAAUACCAAUUAAAUAAUUUAUUGAUAUUUUUUUAACUUUUAUUAUCUUUUAGACUUCAGCUAUUUAUUAUUUCGUCGUCACUUAAAAAAUAGAAGAGAGAAACACCAUAUUUCCCAUGGCUUGGGUGUGGGCUCUUCUCUUGCUCCUUUCUUCUCUCUGCGUGAAGCAGUCAAGCAGCAUCAUUUCGCUGGGAUCUUCGCUUUCCUCGGCCACUCAAUCCAUCCCAUGGCGUUCCCCUUCUGGUCGCUUUGCAUUUGGCUUUUACAGUCAAGGCGGUGGCCUUUCUGUUGGAGUUUGGUUAGACGGUAGAGGAAAGAACGAUAACAAAGUUGUAUGGACAGCGAAUCGUGAUGAUCCGCUGCUCACUUCGAAUGUUACUCUGACAUUAAAUGACAAAGGUGUGCUUCUUUCGAUCGCUGUGAGCGGAGAAAAGAAAUUUAUUGCUAAUCCAAACAAUUCGGCUGUCAGUGUCUUCUCUGCCUCCAUGCUAGAUUCAGGCAAUUUUGUGCUCUACAACAAAGACAAUCAUACCAUUUGGGAGAGUUUCGAGCAUCCUACAGAUACCCUUUUAGGUGGUCAGACUCUAUUAACUAAUCACGAGUUGAUCUCCAGUUCAUCAGAGAAUGAUCACUCAGGUGGAAGGUUUCAUCUAAGUAUGCAAGGAGAUGGGAAUCUCGUUCUAUACCCUCGACAGUCCGAAGAUUCUGCUAUAAAUGCCUAUUGGAGCACAAAUACUUUUUGGAUGGGCUUGUCGCUCCGCCUUUUUCUUAACGCUACCGGCCUCCUCCAACUCAUCAACAACGAUGAUUCGUCCAUCUACGAGACAAUUAAUCUUUCCUUUUUUCCAGAGCCGACCUACAAUGACUACAACGAAAGCAGCAGCAGCAACAACAACAACAACAGUACUGUUUUCAGUGCAAGCCUUGAUGUUGAUGGGAAUUUCCGGUUAUAUGCUCAUCUGUUUGAGCGAAAUGGUGGGUUUCAGACUUAUCCACUGUUGAGGGCGUUGUUAAAUUCCUGUAAAGUUAGAGGCUUUUGUGGUCUCAACAGCUAUUGCACAUUUAAUGAUAACCGACCUUACUGUGCAUGCCUUCCCGGGACUGAUUUUAUUGAUCCUCUUCAGAACAACCUCGGCUGCAAGAGAAAUUAUUCUGAAGCACACUGUAAAGGAGGGAAGGCCAAUAUACCCUUUUAUAAAAUGACUUCAAUGCCAGGUAUUGAAUGGACUACGGGCAGUUUUUACGGUAAAGAGCGAUUGUCCAAGGAUGCGUGCAGCCGAACAUGUUUGGAAGACUGCAAUUGUGAGGCAGCACAGUUCGACAAUGGGAUUUGCAGGAAACAAAAGCUUCCACUCAGGUAUUUGCUACGAGAUCCUGAUGCCCAAGUGAAUUCUACAGUUUUAUUGAAGGUGGGAAUCAUAAGCCUUGAAGCAGACAACGACACUGUUCCCUCUGAAUUAAAGUCACCGAAAGUCCUAAUCAAACGGAAAAAUACGACGGUGCUAAUUCUUCUAACUUUCAGUUUUGUUGCAUGUUCAUGUGCUAUGCUUACAAUCUCUGGUGUAUACAUUUAUAAAUUUCGAGUUCUAAGAUACAAAAGGGUGUUGGAACUUGGAAAUUUGGGCCUAACGGAAGAGCUUACGUUGACAUUGUUUUCAUACAAAGAACUAAAGAGAGCAACAAAUGGGUUUAAAGAAGAGUUGGGUAAAGGAUCCUUUGGAGCAGUCUACAAUGGGUCUUUAAACAGGGGAAGACAGUUGAUUGCAGUGAAGCGACUGGAGAAGUUAGUGGAAGAAGGUGAAAAAGAGUUCCAAGCAGAAAUGCGUGCAAUUGGUAGAGCUCACCACAAGAAUUUAGUUCGACUUUUGGGAUACUGUGUUGAGGAUUCCAAGAGACUAUUGGUGUAUGAGUACAUGGGCAAUGGCUCCCUUGCAGAUCUACUUUUCAAGUCAACAAAGCCCCUAGAUUGGGAUGAAAGAACAAGAAUAGCCCUGGAUGUUGCAAGAGGAAUCCUCUAUUUGCAUGAUGAGUGUGAGACUCCUAUCAUUCACUGUGAUAUAAAGCCGCAAAACAUAUUGAUGGAUGAUUUAUGGAGAGCUAAAAUUUCAGACUUUGGGCUGGCAAAACUGUUGAUGGGAGAUCAAACAAGGACCUUCACAGUCGUAAGGGGAACUAGAGGAUACAUGGCACCAGAGUGGCAGAAAAACACUCCAAUAUCAGUGAAGGCUGACAUUUACAGUUACGGAAUUGUGCUGUUGGAGACUGUGUUUUGCCGACGGAACUUGGACAUCAAUGCAUCAAAACCAGAGGAGGUCAUUCUAUCAAGUAUGGUGUAUAGAUGUUUGGUUGAAAAGGAGUUGGAUAAGCUAAUGCUUGGUGAAGAAGUGGAUAAAAGAAGCUUGGAAAGAAUGGUGAUGGUGGCACUUUGGUGUAUUCAAGACGAACCAGCUCUUCGUCCUUCCAUCAAGACUGUAGUGAUGAUGCUGGAAGGGAUCACUGAUAUAUGUAUUCCUCCAUGUCCAACUGCUUCCUUCAUCUAGUUCAAGUGAUGAUCCAACAAUCAAUCAUUUCACUCAAAAGUAUAUGUGUAUAUUGUCAAUAAAUAUGUAAAAUGCUUCCUGUAGUGUCCUCUUAUGAUAGGCUUAGUAUGAAUAUUCAGUUGCGUUAUUAUUACUCAAUCAUAUAUUAAUGAAAUGAUUAAUUUUGAAUGUAAUUUAAGUAUAUCAUUAAACACAAAGUAUGAAGAAUUUACUUACAGGAACUGAUUAUCCAAUCGUAAGAAGCAGUAUUGCAGUAGCCAGUUGAUGAGUUUAUGUAAUAUGUGUAAAACUAUUACUUAUAUAAUGGCCACAUAUAAGGGCGGGUUUACGACCCUAACCCGGCCUAAUGGACUACCAUAAGAUAAUUGGAUAGUGACCUAUUGGACUAAUGGGUCAUUUUGUCACAUAAAAAACUUUUGAGUUGGUAGUCUCUAGUUUGGGCCUUUAUACAUAAAACAACAAUUUUCAGGCCUAAAUGAGUUUCAUUUAGGCUAGAAAAUAAUUUUACUCAAAGCUUGGCCUUAUAAAAUGGAAUAAAUUAUAAAUACAAUAUAUUAAUACUCAAUAGAAAAUUUUAAAUUAUUAUAUACUUUUAUAUUUAAUUAAAUAUAUGUUAAUUGUUAAUUGUUAAAUUUUAAAAUUUAUUUUUUACUAUUUUAAAAUAGAAUUAAUCGUUAUAAUUAAAAUAAAAUAAACAGGGAUAAAUUAGUAAUAUAAUAAGCUAAUACUCAAUAGAAACAUUAAACUAUUAUACCCUUUUGGGUAUGGAGUAGACCUGUCCAUGGGCCGGGAGGCCCGGCCUGCUCAAAAUAUGAGAGGGUUCGGGUAAAAAUAUAGGCCCGAAAUAUGGGCUUAGACAAAAAACGAGGCCCGUUUAAAAAACGGGUUGGGCCUCGAGCACCACUUUUUUGGCCCGGGCCCGAAUAUAAUAAAUAUAUAUUUUUUUAUUUUUAUUUUUAAAUUUUUAAUUUUAAAAUACUUUUAAAAUAAAUUUUUUUAUUUUUUUAAAUAAUUUUUUAAUGUUUAUUUUAAAAAUGGGCCGGGCCGGCUCGGGCUCGGGCUUAUGAUAUUUUUCUCGGGCCGGGCCUGGGCAAAAUUUCAGGCCCAUAUUUUGUGCCGGUCCUGGCCCGUUCCAAGGAGGCGGGCCAAAAAUUUUUCCAGGCCCGGCCAAAACUCGGCCCGGCCCAUGGACAGGUCUAGUAUGGAGUGAGUUCAAAACUCAUGACCAACAUUUAUCUUCUUAAUGAGCCUAUAAAAUACGACAAAUUAAUUACUAAACUCGAUCUGAUAGAUAUAUUGAGAAAUCAAAAAAAAUAAUUAUUACAAAAUUUCAAAAUUAUUUAACUAUUUGACCCAAAUCAAUUAAUAUCCAAAAUAAUUCAUACAAAAAAACUCAGCCCAUCAACAGGUGUGCUCCCAACCCAGAACAAUAUAAAUCCAAAGAUAAUUCGAUCCGAAUCCGCCAAACCCACCCGUUUGGUUGAAGGAGACCCAUUCUUCUGCAUUGCUUGCUUUGGUGCUUCUGAUCUAUGGCUUUAUUCUCGAGUUGAAGGAAAAGUUAAAUGGCUCCAGCAAAGAAGGGAAAAGUCAAAACCCAGAAAGCUGAAUCAUCGUAGCCCUCUGAAAAUGACUUCAAGUUCCCAUCUUCAAUCCGCUCGGUUCCUCCUUCGUCUGUUGCCUCCUUCGUCUGUUAUUCAAUUUUUGCAUGGGAAAAAGUAAGAUAGAUGAAGAGAAGAAAAACCCAAAAGCAAAAAAUAAGAAAAAGAAAUGAAAAAGACCUAUGCGUAUGCGCCCAAACGUGUUUCUUACACAACCGGGCCUAGGUAGUUACGAAGAAGCAAGAGUCUGAACUGUUCUAUUUAAUGGGUUUCCCCUGUAAUUUAUAUAGUUUAUAUUUAAUAUAAUAUUUGUAUAGUUGCUUCUUUUAGAUACUGUUUUUCGCUACUUGAAUUGCUAUUCGUUGGUUAAUUUAGUUCUUUUUGAGUUAUUUCUUACUGGGUUUUUUCUUCCCCUUAUGAAUGAGCUUCUGAUUGUUAUUUAUGGCUUUUCUACUUGCAGUGAAACUAUCUGCACAGGUGUUUCAAGUUCGAAUUUUCAGUUUCCCUUAAAAGGGUUUGAUUGUUCCACUUUUAGCUUCUUCUUCUUCUUUUUUUUUUUUUGUAAAUUUUAUAAUAUGGCAUCAUCUCAUAGCAAUACUCACACUGAAGCCGCAAAAUUGGAACAAAUCAUCACUGAAUUCUUCUAUAAGAGUCUUCUAAUUAUACUUGAAUCGAGGUCUCCUUAUGUGUCAUCGCGAAAUUGUAGUGGUGAACAAAUUAUGUCAUCUCCAUCUUCGUCCUCAUCAUCUUCCUCAGGUGUGAGACCAAGAGAUAAAUGGUUCAAUUUAGCUCUUAGGGAGUGCCCUUCAGAACUAGAAAAUUUUGAUCUUUGUCGCCAGAGUAAUUUUGAGCCGGUAGUGAGUGAUGUUAUCUUGGAGCAGAAGCCACUUGAUUGGGAUCCUGUGACCUUUUCCCCCAAACGUGAUCUUGUUAAGCAUUCUUCAUCAAAAGAUAAGAAUUCAUUUUUCUGGAAUUCUGAUCAAGAAGAAUCAGGCUGUGAGGCAAAAGGUGAGAAGGUUAUAGAAAGGUGGUUCGUGCAGCAUGAAAGUAGAAAGGGUAGUGAUUGCAGUUCAGGGAGUAGAAGGUCAAGUAGUAAUAAUUUGAGUGCAUUAUAUAAGAAAUUGGUAUUGCUGUUGAGGUCCUUAUAUGUGACCUUUAGGCUUUUACCUGCGUACAAGAUUUUUCGUGAUCUCAAUUCAUCUGGUCAAAUCCGUGCUUUUAAGCUUGUUCCUAGGGUAUCCUCUUCUGAUGAAUAUUUCACUCAGAAAGACGAGGCUGAAAUGCAGCGAAUUUGGAUCACCCCUGUGGAUACUUCUUGUGGAAGGCUUUGCCUUUCAGUUUUGUACCGUUCAUCAAUCUCAGAUAAAAGCUCCGUGUCAUCAACCCCUAUGUCCCCUCAAUUUAUACCAGAUUAUGUUGGAAGCCCAUUGACAGACCCACUGAGAAGAUUUCCUUCUCUUCCUGUGUCACAGGGCUCUCCAUCAUCUUUGCCAUUCUCAAGAAGACAGUUGGAGUUUUGAUCGUUACAAGGCUUCACAGCCUUCAGUUUCUCUCUCACCAUCCCCAACACAUUCAGAAUCACAUGCUUUGGUUUCUAACCCAAGCUCUCGCCGUGCGUGCCGCCACCUAUGAGCUUACCUCCUCAUCCUCCUGGGGCAUCUCUACCUCAUAAGAAGAAUACAAACUUUGAUGAGUAUUGGCCUUCCCCAAAAUUUUCUGCUUCCCCUUCCCCAUCCCCGCCCAUCCACAUUCCUGGGGGUCAUCUGUCAAAAGCUCUUUUACGUUCCGAAAGUGCUCCUGUUAACAUAUCUGUCCGUAAGCUUGCUGGUUCCCCUGCAUUGUCCUGCAAGCAAAAUUUGCCAUCUCCUCCCCUUAAAAUUUCAAGAGCUGAUAUUUCUUGGACUGAUAAUAAUAUGGGUCCCGUGAAAUCUGGCGCAACUAUCGAGAAGGUAUUUCAUAUAUGCCUCAUUGGUAUGAUUUGUGAUUCCAACCCUAUCUUGCUUUUCUCCUUGGAAUUUACUUUCGUUUUGUAUCUUAUAGCUGUUCUCUUUCGGGAAAGGAGACGGUCAGAAAUAUUCUGGAGUGAACUCACCCAGAAUUUCAUUUUUCAGAAGCUCCAGUAGGUCUAUACAAGAUGAUUUUGAUGACUCUGAGUUUUCUUGUCCAUUUGAUGUGGAGUAUGAUGAUAUGGACCCUGGUAGCAGGUAAUGCACGGAACUCCUCAUAUAAAUUGUAUUUUUUAUAUUAACCCUUUUUGCAUCACUUGUCAAUAGCUCAUACAAUUAAUUUACAUAUUUUGCUUUUUAACUUCGAAGUUAUUUUUAUCCAGAUUUUUUGAGGAUUUGACACUUAAUUAAUUGUUCUUGUGUAUUUGAAAAUGUGGCAUCAUUUUUUUUUUUUUUGUAUUAACAUAAUUGGAUCAGGACUUGAUUUGGUUGCUUUAACUUACCCUGGAGUAAUUUGCUAAAGGUUAUGUAAGCAAGCCAUCAUGUGUAUGCGAAGACUAAUAAUUGCCUUUUCUGUUUGAAUUUUGUCUUUGAACUAGUUCUUAUCUCAUAAGACUGGAUGUUAGCAAUUGAUGAACUUUCUAGGAAACUGGUGUUUUUAAGCAAAGAGAUUGUGCAUUAGAAACUACAAUAUCUUGCCGCUAGGAGUCUAAGUAGUGGCAUUUCUGGUUCAAGAAUCGGGAUAUAUCAGUUAUGAAGAGUUUCCAAAUAAAGUUUGUUUUCUAUUUUUGGGCAAGCCACCCUGGCUGGCAUUAAACAUUUUCAAUAUCUAGUCCAGGUAGUACCGUAGUGAAAUGUCUGUUUCAGGGAUUGGGAUAAGUAGUGGUCUAUCAAUCCAUGGAGAGUUUCCAAUUAAUCUUUGGUUUCCAGUUUUGUGAAAGAAAGUAAGAAACUUCACGGUAUUAUAAAUUUAGAUAUAUCAGGUAGUCUGCAAAGUUUGUUUUCUAGUUUUCAGAAAGACAGCCUGGCUGGUUAACUUUAAAAUGUUUAAUAGAUAUGAAGUUGGAUUGCAUAACCAUGCUGAAGUUUCUUGUGCCAGUUGAAUUUAGCAGCAAGCGGUGCUAACUGCUAAUCAUACUUCAGUUGUUUCUUGUAAUGCGCAACCAGUAUCAGUGAAUGAAUCAUAUUUGUUUUGGUCUCUUGUAACUGCUAACUGCAGGAACAUGUCUUUAGGUCACAUGGUAGGAUUGGGGCCGAUUUCUGUGUAUGACUUGGCCCUUAUGUUUGAGGCAGCUGCAACAACAGCUGUCUUACUUUUUAUCUUUUGAUUGGUGAGUAAAUUAAAUUAAUGUAAAGAUGGGUGAUAAAGAGGAGGCUAAAAAACAAAGAUGGUUGAUUAAGAAUGAUUUGUUAAUGACUAAAGGAUAUGGUGGUUGCAGCAACGUUCUAUGCGUCGUUCUUGCUUGUCAGUAAUUUGAUUUGUUCAGUUUCUUGAGUUACCUCUAAAAUUGCAACAAAAUGUAGUCGAAUAGCUUGUCAGUUGCAUUUGCAGUAACUCUGAUAAUCCUUUAUUAAAACAUGGAACUUUUUCAGUCUGUGUUGCUUUCCUGUAAUACCAGACACAACAAACUGCUUGAAGAAUCAAACAUCAUUUUGUCACUUCGAUUUAUUUUAUGGCAUACUCAGAUGUAUACAUGAACAAAGUAUUCAUAUACUAAUUUCUACUAGUUAGCUUCGUAUUUAUAAUUAUUAUAUAGGGUUAUAUUUGGUAUUCUUAUGAUAUUUAGAUUUAGGGAAUAACUUGAAUAUUUAUUUUAGUUUCUAGGAGUUUUUGAAAUUGAGAUGUUGGGAUUAUAGAUAAUGGAGAUUUUCAUAUGUGGGCUAUCAGAGUUGGAUUUUUUCUUCUUUAUUUCUCCCUAAGUUCAUCUAUUUCCCCCCUUCUGUUUUUAUUUGAUUCUCCAGUUUCUCUCUUUCCUCUCCUUCACGUUUUUGAGGUUCCAUGAAAUUACCAUGGGUGAAGAAAUCCAAAAGUUCUAAAGGUAAUUUGAACAUUUGACAUUCUCUUUUCUGCAAUAGUUAGCUCAAAAUGUUCCCUCAAGAAAAUCCUUUAACCAUUGACUUAAGCAGGAUCGUUAAACGAAAAUGAGUCAUGGAAUUCAUAUCCAAAGCCACAAUGAGUCAUUUUAAGAUUUUCUGAUAUUCGAGAGAACACCUUAUACCCUUUGUCACAGUCAUUAUCUUAAUUGUCACGAAAUGAAAUUACUGUUUUUCUUUCCCUGAAUUAUUUGGGUAAACUGAAUUGGCCCGCUUUGCAUACUAUGUAGACCCGAUUCCUAUGAUAGAAGAGGAAAUCCAUCUGAUCCAAACGAGGCAGGGUUGUUUAUGAAUAGAAAAUCCCAAGAUGCUGCGGUUGGUGCUCUUGUACGGAUGCUGAAGAAAGCCCCUCCACUUCGCCAAGACAUCCCGAGUUCGAUAAAUUUUUCGGAAGCCUCGAGGCCAGAAAUGUGGAAUAACAACAUCCAAGAGAAAAACCAGAACACAGAGGCUGUGACCGUUGAACAUGAUGUUUCUUCAAUUAUUACAUCUUCUAGGCUUGUCGCAUCAAUGACAACAGCGGAUGCAUUAGAGGAACUUCGGAGUUACAAAGAGAUGAAAAACUUGUUGCUUAGUGAAGGUGGUAAGUCUUGCAUAUCUGCCAAUUUGACCUCUGGGGCUAAACAUUCUGGCAAAGGUACAUGAGAAUGAUCAACUUAUGUGAUAUUGGUAUAGUUGCACAUAUGUAGAGCGCUAUGGUUUGAAAGACUACUACUACAUGCUAUACAGCUGAAGCCAUUUUCCUCUUUUUGUGAUCAUAGGAGUAUAUAUAUACAAUAUAUGUGUUUUUGGUUAAGAUUUAUGUUAACAACAGAAAGGUUAUCUGUUGGCCCCGAAAACUUUGUAAAAAGCACUUUUGUCUCUGAUCCUACAUAACAUAAUUGCACAUAAUUUUAGAUGUUGGGUAAGGGUUGCGCAUGCUUUGAUAUACAGGCUUGCUGAUGCCGAGUUUCUAAUACAAAUGGGUUUAAUACGGAUAUAUCUACCUGUUUUAGAAGGGUUUAUUUUAAAAGUUAUAUUUGAAGUAUGAUAACCUGAUAUAUUUGGAAGAUUAUAAUUCUAUAGACAUAGUAAUUUAUUUGACCCUUCAACAUUAUAAAAGAAAAAGGGAAUGACAUUUUAGCCUUCCAUUUAACUUUUUAUCUUUUUCAACUUUUUAAGUUUUUUAUCAAAUCAUUUUAAAGUGGAUCAAAACUAGAAAAGCUAAUGUUUGUUAAUUUUAUUGAUGUAAUAUACACAUGGUUUGCCACAUGGAUGACAAGUUAUCAUUGAAUCAAUUUUUUAAAAAUUCAUAAAAAUUAUAAAUUAUUUUAAAAAUUUUAAAAACUUAACUAAAUGUUGACAUUAAGGGCGAAUCCAGGGGAGUUAGUAGGGACUCGGUCCCCCUAAAAUCCCCAAAACGGAAAUUUGUUCAUUUAGGUCUUUUAAAAUUUUAAAUUAGUAAAGGUAAAAGUGAACUUUGGCCCUCCUUAAAAAUGAUAAUUUUUUUAUUUAAUUAUUUAAAAAUUAUAAAAAUAUAAGUUAUUCAAAUAGUGAAAUUGUAUUUUUAUUAUUGUAAAAAUUAUAAUUUAAUUUCGACUCUCUAAAUAAAUUUUUUGGCUUCGCCUUUGGUUGACAUGUCAUCCAUGUAACAAUUCAUGUAUAUGUCAUAUUAGUAAAGUUAAUAAACAUUAAUUUUACAUCCAUUUUGAGAUAAUUCAAUCAAAAAACAAAUUUAGAAAUUAAAAGAGAUGAAAAAUUAAAUAAAAAUUAAAAUAAUAUUUUUAUAAAUUUGAAGGGCUAAAAAAAUCAUUAUACAUGAAAUGAAGCCCUUGUCUGAAUGUAUGUUUCAUUGAUCCCAUUCCUUUGUCAAUUAAUCUGCCAUUCCCAAAUCUCCUGAUAUCCCCUACAAAUGUCUUUUUUUUUUCUUUUGUACCGUCUAAUAUCUGGGCCAAAAUAUUCACAUUGUCUUUGAAAAUUCCCACCGUAAGGUUUCUCCUUUUUGCAUGAGAUAAUGCCUCGUGGACCACGAAUAAUGUCCCUUGUUCUUGGAACUCCACUGUUGUACCUCCAUCAACGCGUACUAUUCUUGCUCCAGCUCGGCCUCACUUCUUUCCAAAUGGGUAACACUAGUCUCACAAUCCGUAAGUCCCCAAGGAAAUAAUGAUCAAAUAUUUCUUGUUGUCUUAUUUCAUGGAAAUUACCAACGUCGCCAUAGAAAAGUGUGUAGGUGGACUUGACCAAGACUUUUCUUCGCAAGUGGAGUGCAAGGCUAAAAGUGUUGGGUUUCUUUCUAUUUCAUCGGAAUGAAAGCUUCUCACCAAAGGAAUGAUUUCUUCUUUGGUAAAUUAACAUUUGGGUCAACUAAUUUUUAAAAGGUAAAUAAUGUAAUAAUGUUAAUGGAUUGUCGUAUUUGAUUACUCGUUAAUUAAUUUUCAUUAACCCCUUGUUAAUGUAAUAAUGUUAACAACUUUAAAAAAUAUAUCCAAUAAAAUAUUAGAACUUAUAAUAAUUUUAGAGAAUUUUAUGUUUAGGUUUAGUUUUUAUUCUUAUCUUUUGUUUUUUUCUUUUUUUUGCUAUUAUAGUAAAAUUAUAUUUGCCCAUUUUUUUUAUACUCUUUGUAGGUAUUUUUUUACGUUAAAUUUAUGUGUCUAAUUUUUUAAUUUCUUCCGCUAUUUUUACUUGUUUGUUGAUUAAUCAGGUAGAUCCCCAACAAAACCUUAUAGGGAAAAUUAUUUUAUUUUUUAAUUUCCUUUUCUCUAUUUUUAAAAAAAUUAAUUUUAGUUUUUUUUUCCAAUAACAAGAAGAAAUAGGGAUUUUUCUAGUGAAUUGCUUGGGUUUUUACAAGGGAAAAUAAGAGUUUAUAUAAUGAAUUGAGUUAUACUGAAAAACUUGAGCUUAUCUCGCAAAUGAAUAACUUAAUUCCUUGUGAAAACUCAAGCUUUUUCCUUGUUAUGAAAAAUAAAUUAUUUUAAAAAAAUUAGUGUUCAAAAUGAAAACUUAUUAAAGUUGGGUGAGUAAAAGUAGUGUACAAUAACAUUGAAUUAAUUGUGGGUGACCAAAAUGAAAUAGUUUUUAAUGACAAUGCCUAAAAUGAAAAUGGUUUUAAUGGCAAUACCUAAAAUCAAUUUUUUUUUAAUUUUUUGAUGGCCAAAAUGAAAAUUUAUGAAAGCUUAAUGACCAAUUGUGCAAUUACCCAAAAAAAAUUUCAUAAAAAAUAAAAGAAAACCAUAAGUAGUUUCCAUAAGAAAGUUGUCUAUCUUCAAUUAAUACAUGGGUAAACUACGCUGAUUAAAUUAUUAGUAAAUUUAUAUAUAAGUCACUCAAUUUUAAAGAGUUAAAAAUAAUAAUCAUUAAAUUAUUUAAAAAUUUUUAUUUAAGUCAUUGAAUUGUUAACUUUUUCUUUAAAUAUCCGACUAGCAAGUUUUCAAGUGACAAUUUGAUGAUCAGUCAAUACUCAUCACUAAGUAGAAGAACAUAUCUUAAAUUCAAGUUGAUUUGAUGGUCAGCAUCAAAUAUAAAAGAAUCAAACUGUUUAGAUUUUAGUUCGUAGAUUUGUGAUAUUUAAAGUUAUUUCAUGAAAAGAAAUUAAAUUAUAAAAGGGAAGAAGAGUGAAAUGUUUCAAUUGGUGUAGACGAUGUAAAGAAAAGAUCAUACAAUAAUAAUUUUAAUAAUGCAAUGACUUAAAUAAAAAUUUUCAAAUAAUUCAAUAAUUUUUUUAUAAUUCUUUUUUAAAAUUUAGUUAUCAAAACGGAAAUAAAUAAAUAAAAGACCUGAGGAAUUCCUGAUCCAAUUUGUAAAACUAAAAUAUCUAUCGUUAAUAUACCAGAAUCCCAGAUAAUAAUUCACACAAGAAAACGCGGUUCCAAGUGAACCACGGAUUUAGCCUUGCAUAGGUGCGACGACUUGACCAAGACACUAAUGAAAUUAUUAAUUUUAAGGUCUCUGUAUUUGACCUUCUUUUUUCAAACAAAAGCAUCAGCUUUUCUUAACUUAUUAGAAAUGCCGCUGGUUGUGAAAUAAUAAAUUUUAAAAACAUUAAAUUAUUAGGUAGGUACAUUUUGAAUGUUUCUUUUGCAUUUUUAUCUUCAAAGCUCAUAAAAUUAUGGGAAAAAUCCAACUAAUUUAAUUAUGAAAUUAAGAAAAUAAUUUUACGGGUAAUUAAUAUUAUUAUAAUUAAGAAUAAAUUAUCGAUACUAUUAUUUUACAAAAAAAAAAGAACAUAAUUAAAUUUUAGUAUCGAUUUUCAAAAAGGUAUUGAUUUAGUAUUAAUAUCUACUAUGGAUUUGCAUUAUUGAUUUUAAAACUUAAUGAUUUUGAAACUUAAUCCUAUUAUAUGAUUGGAGUUCACAACUAGAUCCUCUUUGAGUCCAAAAUUAAAUUAUAUAUAUUGGUUUAUAUGUGAUUUAUGUUUAAAAUUUAAGAGUUUUGUGUAUAAUAAAGAAAUUAUCAAUUGUUGAGCUUUGUCGUAACAUUGUUUACUCGGGUUUGACAACUGGGUAAGUAAGGGGUGUUACAUUACUCCUAUGUUAUCAACUACAAAAACAAAAUAAUAAUAAUAAUAAUAAUAAUAAUGGAUUCUACAAGCAUUCUAAGAUGCAAAAUCAUUAAUGAUAACAUCAACAUUAGUGUUUUUCAAAAAAUCUUUCUCGCUUGAUAAAAUUGUCAGACCAUUCAAUCGUUCUUGUGACAUUGACAACUUCAAGUAGGUUUUGAUUAACUUUAGCUUUGAAAAACUUUUUUCAAAUGAUGCCACAAUCACAAGGACCGUUAAGAAAAUUCUAUAAGCGAUUAAAAGAUUCGGAUAGCAAUCUGUAGAUUUAACAAACUUAAGAAUUUUAGUAGCUGACAUUAAUUCAUUCAAUAAGGUAAAUUGCAACACUUUCAAUCAGGUAACCUACGAAUUUAGCCUAUAAAUAGGCUCUAUUACAACCUUAAAAAAUAUACCCAUUAAAAUAUUAGAACUUAUAACAUUUUUGGAGAAUUUUAUGUUUACAUUUUGAGAGUUCUUUGUUUUCAGGUUUAGUUUUUAUUUCAAUCUUUUGAAUUCUUCAUUCUUUUGCCAUUAUAGUAAAAUUAUAUUUACCUAUGGUUUUUUUAUCCUCUUUAGAGGGGUUUUUUCACGUUAAAUUUAUGUGUCUAAUUUCUCAAUUUCUUCCGCUAUUUUUACUUGUUCGUUGCUUAAUCAGGUCAAUCCCCAACAAAAACUUAUAGGGAAAUUUAUUUUAUUUUUUAAUUUUAGGUUUUUUUUCCAAUAACAAGAAAAAAUAGGGAUAUUUCUAGUGAAUUACUAGGGUUUUUACAAGGGAAAAUAAGAGUUUGUACAAUGAAUUGAGUUAUAUUGAGAAACUUGGGCUUAUCUCGCAAAUGAAUAACUCAAUUCCCAGUGAAAACUCAAGUUUUUUUUCUUUUUAUGAAAAAUAAAAUUAUUUUAAAAAAAUUAGUGACCAAAAUGAAAACUUAUUAAAGUUGGGUGAGUAAAAGUAGUGUACAAUAACAUUGAAUUAAUUGCGAGUGACCAAAAUGAAAAUGAUUUUUAACGGCAAUGCCUAAAAUAAAAAUGGGUUUCAAUGGCAAUACCCAAAAUGAAUUUUUUUUAUGGCGAAAAUGAAAAUUUAUGAAAGCUUAAUGACCAAUUGUGUAAUUACCCAAAAAAAAUUCAAAAAAAAAAAACCAUAUCGUGUUUCCAUAAGAAAGUUGUCUACCUUUAAUUAAUACAUGGGUAAACUAGCAUUCUUAUUGAGACUCGAACUCAUAUGGAAGAAAAUAGAUUUAUGGAUAGAAUCAAAUAAGUAGUGGUUACAGACAAAAGUAUUCGGUUAUUGGUGAAAAAUUAAUAUACUUCUAAUGUCAAAUCAGGAUCAACAAGGACAGAAAUAAAGCAUUGAGUUGAACUCUUCUUUGGUGUCAAGAUAACAGCUAUGGAUAGUCAUCAACUCCCCAGAAAGGGUAGAAAAGUGGGACCUAUUAUGGGACAUACAAUGCAUUACAGGCUUAUGAUCAUUACGCUUCAACCGGGUUAUUCUAUUCCACCUCUUAGAACAAAAAGAACUUAAAUCAAAAUACUUAAUAGCAUGGCGAUACAUUUAUACAAAACUUCUACCCCGGGCUCACGCAAUGGAGCCGUAGACAAUCAAGUGAAAUCUAAUCUACGAAAUAAUUUGAUCUAUGGACAGCAUCGUUGUGGUAAAGGUCGUAAUGCCAGAGGAAUCAUUACCGCAAGGCAUAGAGGGGGAGGUCAUAAGCGUCUAUACCGUAAAAUUGAUUUUCGAAGAAAUGAAAAAGACAUAGAUGGUAGAAUCGUAACCAUAGAAUAUGACCCUAAUCGAAAUACAUACAUUUGUCUCAUACACUAUAGGGAUGGUGAGAAGAGAUAUAUUUGUCUCAUAUAUUGAACUAUUGAUUUACGUAAUUGGAAGGAACCAAUUAGGUUUACGAUGAAACCUAAAAAUUGAUCACUGAUCCAAUUUGAGUACCUCUAUAGGAUAGACCUCAACAGAAAACUGAAGAGUAACGGCAGCAAGUGAUUGAGUUCAGUAGUUCCUCAUAUAAAAUUAUUGACUCUAGAGAUAUAGUAAUAUGGAGAAGAAAAAAUUGUUUCAUGCACCGACAGAACCAGAAGCGCCCCUUGUUUCAAAGAGAAGACGACGGGUUAUUGACAUUUCAUUUGAUGGUAAAAGGUGAAUUGAAAGCUAAACUGUGGUAAUUUGAAAGAUUCCCCGGGGGAAAAUAGAGAUGUCUCCUAUGUUACCCAUAAUAUGUGGAAAUAUCGACGUAAUUUCAUAGAGUCAUUCGGUCUGAAUGCUACAUGAAGAACAUAAGCCAGAUAACGGAACGGGAAGACCUAGGAUGUAGAAGAUCAUAACAUGAGUGGUUCGACAGAUUUGGUUUCCUAUAUAUCCACUCGUGGUACUUCAUUGUACAAUACAUAUAAGAAUUAUAUGAUAAGAAUUAUACGAAUCCAUUUGUAUAGAUAUCAUCAUCUACAUCCAGAAAGUCAUAUGCUUUGGAAGAAGAUUGUACAAUUUGGGAAGGGGUUUUGAUUGAUCAAUCAAAAAGAAGAAUAUACUUCAAUCGGUAUGCCCUUAGGCACGGCCAUACAUAACAUAGAAAUCACACUUGGAAGGGGUGGACAAUUAGCUAGAGCAGCGCGUGCUGUUCGAAACUGAUUGCAGAGGAGGGGAAAUCGGCCACAUUAAAAUUACGUUCUGGGGAGGUCCGUUUGAUAUCCAAAAACUGCUCAGCAACAGUCAGACAGGUGGGGAAUGUUGGGGUGAACCAGAAAAGUUUGGGUAGAGCCGGAUCUAAAUGUUGGAACCCGAGCCCGGCCCGUUUUUUAAUUAAAAUUAAAAUUAUAUUUUUAUUAAAAUUAAAACUAAUUGUUAUUAAAAUUAAUUGUUAUCAAAAUUAAUUAUUAUUAAAAUUGUAUCAAAUUAUAUAUUUUUUGUACCAAUCAACAUUUUGUAAAAUCUAUCAUUUUGUUAGUAAAAUUAUUAAUUGUAUUAAUUGUUACUAAAAUUAUCAAAUUAUUAAUUAUUAAGUGUUACUAACAUUUUGUUAGUAAAAUUAUUAAUUGUUAAUUGUAUUAAUUGUUAGUAAAAUUAUCAAAUUAUAUCAAAUUAUUAAUUGUUAAUUGUAUUAAUUAUUGUAACAAAAUCUAACAUUUUGUAACUUAAAAUAAAACUAAAACUAGUAUAUUUUAAAAAUAAAAAUAUAUAUAUUUAAUAUAUUUUCGGGCCGGGCCUGGGCCAAAAAAAUCUUGCCCGAGGCUCGGCCCAUUUUUUAAACGGGCCUCGUUUUCUGUCGAAGCCCGUAUUUCGGGCCUAUAUUUUUACCCAAACCCUCCCAUAUUUUGGGCGGGCCGUCGGGCCGGGCUGGGCCGCCCGGCCCAUGGACAAGUCUACUCCAUACUACCUAAAACCCAUGCAACCUUCAUACCCUAAGUGGUACGAUGCGAACGCCCAAUGCGAGUAUCACGCGGGGACUACAAGGCACUCGAUUGAAAACUACACUGCAUUCAAGAAGUUAGUUGAAAAUUUUAUCAACAUGGGGAUUGUAAAAUUUGGUGACCCAUCAGGACCAAAUGUGGCAGGGAAUCCGUUACCCAAUCAUGUUGAUAAAGGGGUGAACGCGAUAAUUGAGAAUGGAGGAAAGAGAGUCAAAGCUAACGUAGCAGAGAUAAAGACUCCCCUUGAAUGGGUUUGGAAAUGAAUGAUAGAAGGAGGCCUCAUCAAGCAAGAUUUAACGGAAAGGCCUGAAGGAACAAGGAAGUUUUGUGAGUUCCAUGCGAAAGAAGGCCAUGACAUCCAAAAAUGCACCUAGUUCAAAACCAUGGUGCAAAACUUAAUGGAUAACAAAGAGUUGGAGUUUUAUGAAGAGAUUACGGGACUAGAAGAGGGAGAAGUUUAUGCCUCAGAGGAAGGAUCUGCAGGGAAAGCCCAAAGGGUUAAUCACCCAGUGGUGAUGGAGAAGAGAGCUUGGUAAAUGCUUCAAAAGAGGAUGUAGAAUUCUAUACGCGAAGUGAAAAACGUUAUGAUCCUGCAAAUGCAGGAGUGGAAUCUGAAAAAGGAAAAGCAUUAGCAGUUGAGCAAGGGAAAGCAAAAACGGACAGGAUUGAAUCGCAUGUUAAUCAGCCCAUAACUGAAAAUAAGGGUAGAGAAUUUCUAAAAUUCUUAAAGUAUAGCGAGUACAGUGUGGUGGAGCAACUUCAUAAGUAACCGGCUCGUAUCUCGGUGCUUGAGUUGCUUCUAAGUUUAGAGAUACAUUGUAAUGCAUUGAUAAAGGUACUAAAUGAAACAUAUGUCGCUAACGAUAUCUCGGUGAACAAGUUGGACCGUUUGGUUAACAAUAUAAGUGCCGACAAUUUCAUUUUCUUUAAUGAUGAUAAAAUACCACCGGGUGGAAGAGUAGCCACCAAAGCCCUACAUAUCACUACUCGCUGCAGAGAAUAUACGUUGCCAGUGGUGCUAAUCGAUAAUGGAUCGGCCUUGAAUGUCUUACCCUUAUCCACCUUAAACAGGUUACCGGUGGAUAGCUCUCACAUGAAAUCAUGCCAGAAUAUAGUGAGAGCAUUCAAUGGUACCGAAAGGAGGGUGAUGGGAAGAAUAGAAGUACCCCUCUUGAUUGGCUCGAAUACAUACGAGGUGGAUUUCCUAGUGAUGGAUAUCAAGCCCUCGUAUAAUUACUUGUUGGGAAGAACUUGGAUUCAUUCAGCAGGAGCGGUGCCUUCAUCAUUGCACCAGAAGUUGAAAUUGGUAACUGAAGGCCGAUUAAUUACGAUAAGUACUGAAGAAGACAUCAUUGCAUUAGUGACCAAUGACGCACCAUAUUUGGGAAUGGAUGAUGAGGCGAUUGAAUGUUCCUUUCCAUCAUUAGAAUUUGUAAAUGUGACAUUUGUUGUUGAGGGAAAGAAGAUCUCGAUGCCUAGCAUAUCUAGAGCCACAAGGAUGAGACUACAAAUGACAGUUAGGAAAUGAGCUGUGCCUGGGAGAGGACUUGGAAUAUGCCUUCAAGGAAGGAUAGAGGCACCAAUGGUGAAAGAUAAACAAGACUACUUUGGUUUAGGAUUUAAGCCAAAUGCUAGGUAAAGAAGGAAAGAGUUAGAAAAAAGACAGGAGAGGAGAAAGGCGCGUUUGAGUGGAGAAGAAGUUGAUUAGGAACCUAUGACUUUCCCCCACAUAUCUAGGACCUUCGUACCAAGGGGAACCAUGUAUUCUGGACUGAUGACACCAAGAAAGGAGACCACGAAGGAAAUGUUAGGAAACCUGAACAUCAAUGCCAUAUUUAAAGAAGACUCUGAAGAAGAAAGUAUAUCAGGCAUCCGUCCCUAUGAACCUGGGAGUGUUCUAAGUAACUGGACUGCAGAAGAAAUACCUGAAGUUUUUAGAGCUUCUCCAGAGUAAUAUUCAAAACAUACUAAUUGUUUUAAGCCUAGAGACAAUGAAAACUUUUUGUAAAAUGGGCAUAUGUUUGAACAUUGUGACUUCAAUGAAAUAUAUCUUCGCCAUUUCUUUUUGAGCAUAUAUUCUUUCAUUCUUUCGUAUGAAUAGUCAUUUUGGAUCCUUUUAUUCCAAAUCAUUCUUUCAUUAAUUCAUGACCAUACUAUAAAUAAGUAUUCUUAAAUUCAUACAUUCCUUGUAUAUUCUUUGGUACCUAUAACAGGUCCCAAGAUAUCAAUGACAUGAGUGACUCUACUAUGGACUCAGAAAAUCCUUUUGAACGGGAUAUGUGUUUAGAGAAAUCUCAUGAUUUUGAAGAAAACAUAGAUUGCAACCUAUCUCCAGACUUGUUGAGGAUGGUAGAGCAGGAGAAGAAACAAAUCCUACCUCAUAAGGAGACGGUGGAGACUGUGAUCCUGGAAGAGGGAAAUGUGGUGAAGAUUGGAACAUGCAUAGCUGAAGAAACAAAACAAGACUUUAUUGAUUUGCUUCGAGAGUUUAAAGACGUCUUCGCAUGGUCGUACCAGGAUAUGCCUAGCUUAAAUACUGAUAUUGUAGUUCACCAUCUUCCUAUAAAGGAAGAUUGCAAGCCAGUUCAGCAAAAACUCCGAAGAAUGAGGCCUGAUGUUGUACUAAAAAUAAAAGAGAAUGUUCAAAAGCAAUUCGAUGCUGGAUUCUUACAAGUGGUCAAAUAUUCCGAAUGGGUAGCCAACAUUGUACCCGUCCUUAAAAAAGAUGGGAAAGUACGAAUGUGCGUAGAUUACAGAUAUUUGAAUAAAGCUAGCCCGAAAGAUAAUUUUCCCUUACCUCACAUCGACAAACUGGGAGAUAACACGGCAGGACACUCACUAUUUUCUUUUAUGAAUGGUUUCUCGGGAUAUAACCAAAUCAAAAUGCAUCCUGAAGAUAUGAAGAAAACUACGUUCAUAACCAUAUGGAAGACUUUCUGUUAUAAAGUGAUGUCGUUUGGGUUGAAAAAAGCGGGAGCCACAUACCAGAGAGCCAUGGUGACCCUUUUCCAUGAUAUGAUGCAUGAGGAGAUUGAAGUAUAUAUUGACGACAUGAUCGUAAAAUCCCAGACGAAAAGAGAACAUGUACAAGUCUUAAGAAAGUUGUUCUUAAGAUUAAGAAAGUUCCAAGUCAAACUUAAUCCAGCCAAAUGUAUCUUUGGAGCUAGGUCAGGAAAACUUCUGGGGUUUGUAGUCAGUGAAAAAGGGAUUGAAAUCGACCCAAACAAAGUCAGGCCAAUUCGAGAUUUACCUCUACCACGUACUUAGAAAGAAGUUCGAGGUUUCUCAGGAAGACUGAAUUACAUUGCUCGGUUCAUUGCGUAAUUAACUGAGAAAUGUGACCCCAUAUUCCGUAUUUUAAAGAAACAUAAUCCCGAUGUGUGGAAUGAAUAAUGUCAGGAGGCUUUUGACAAGAUAAAGCAGUACUUGUCCAAUACCCCAGUGUUGUCGCCACCUAGGCCAGAUAAACCAUUGAUCCUGUAUCUAACAAUGUUCAACAACUCCAUGGGAUGUGUUCUAGGUCAACAUGAUGAGACGGGAAAAAAGGGGAAGGCGAUCUAUUAUCUUAGUAAGAAAUUUACUGACUGUGAAAUGAGGUAUUCGCCUAUUGAAAAAUUAUGUUGUGCCCUGAUCUAGACGACACGAAGAUUGAGGCAAUACAUGCUCUAUCAUAUGACUUGGCUAAUUUCAAAGUUAGACCAUCUAAAGUAUAUGAUUGAGUCAACAGCGUUGAAUGGGAGGAUGGCUAGGUGGCAGAUCCUACUCUCUGAAUUGGAUAUAGUCUAUGUAAAUCAGAAGGCUAUCAAAGGGAGUGCGAUAGCAGAAUUCUUGGCCAGCAGAGCUUUAGAAGACUACAAACCUCUGAAUUUUGAUUUCCCGAAUGAAGACUUGAUGUAUGUGGCAACCGCUGAAGAGGAUUCCCACAAAAAUCAUCCUUGGAAGUUAAAUUUUGACGGAGCUUCGAAUGCUGUAGGCAAUGGAAUUAGGGCAGUCCUGGUGUCCCCUGAUGGAGAUCAUUAUCCUUUUACUAGUAAACUAGAUUUUGAUUGCACCAAUAAUAUGGUUGAAUAUGAAGCUUGCAUCAUGGGCAUCCGGGCAGCCAUAGAGUGAAAAAUUAAGAUAGUAGAGGUAUACGGAGACUCUGCAUUAAUAAUUUACCAGCUCAAAGGGGAAUGGGAAACGAGAGACCCGAAGUUAGUCCGCUAUCAAAAAUUGGUUCUGGAAUUGAUUGAGGAGUUUAAAAGUGUCACCUUUUGUUAUCUCCCACGAGACGAAAACCAGAUGGCUGAUGCUUUGGCCACUCUAGCCUCUAUGAUCAGAGUGAACAGACCAGAAGAUAUGAAGCAUAUUCAGAUCAGCAUUCAUGAGACCCCAGCUUCUUGCUACAGUAUUGAAGAAGAGGAAAAUGAUGACCAUCCAUGGUACCAAGACAUACUACGAUAUGUAAAGAAUCGUGAAUACCCCGACCAUUCGACAGAAAGUGACAAAAGGACAUUGGAGAUUGGCUAUUAAUUAUGUCUUGGAUGGGGAGAUUAUGUACAAGAAGGGAAAUGAUCAAGUAUUAUUAAGAUGUGUGGAUGCUGUGGAGGCUAAGAAAAUUUUGGAAUAAGUCCAUGAAGGUAUCUGUGGAACGUAUGCCAAUGGCUUCACAAUGGCCAAACAGAUUAUGAGAUUCGAUUUCUAUUGGUCCACCAUGAAAGGGGAUUGCAUUAAUUAUGUCAAAAAGUGCCAUAAAUGUCAAAUUUAUGGUGACAAAAUGCAUACACCACCUUCACCCCUUCACGUUAUGACCUCUCCAUGACAUUUCUCCAUAUGGGGAAUGGAUGUCAUCGGGCCAAUAUUUCCAAAGGCUUCUAAUGGACAUCGUUUUAUCUUUGUGGUUAUUGAUUAUUUCACUAAAUGGGUUGAGGCUGCUUCAUAUGCUAAUGUCACGAAAUCAACAGUUAGCAAGUUUCUGAAAAAGGAGAUAUAUGUCGAUACGGGAUGCCUGAAAGGAUCAUAUCUAACAAUACGUUGAACUUGAACAAUAACUUAAUAGUGAAAGUAUGUAGUUAGUUCAAGAUCAGACACCAUAAUUCGUCACCGUACCACCCAAAAAUGAAUGGUGCUGUGGAAGCGACUAACAAAAAUAUCAGGAAAAUUGUAGGGAAAAUGAUUGAAACCUACAAGGACUGGCACAAAAAAUUACCUUUCACUCUCCUGGCAUAUCGAACAUCCGUUAGAACUUCUACUGGAGCAACACCAUCUUCUUUAGUAUAUGGGAUGGAGGUAGUUUUACCCAUAGAAGUUGAAAUCCCUUCUCUCCGAGUAUUAACUGAACUAAAGUUAGAUGAGGCCGAAUGGAUUCAAUCUCGAUAUGAUCAGCUGAACUUGAUAGAAGAAAAGAGGCUAAAAGCUAUUCGUCACGGUCAGAUGUAUCAGAAACGAAUGAUGCGAUCCUAUAACAAAAAAGUUCGUCCCAGAGAAUUUCACGAGGGGGACCUAGUGUUGAAAAAGAUUCUUCCUCUACAAAAAGAUUUUAGAGGGAAAUGGAUGCCAAAUUGGGAAGGUCAUUAUGUAGUAAAGAAGGCCUUUUCUGGAGGAGCUUUGAUCUUGAGCGAGAUGAAUCCUGUAAACUCAGAUUCAGUCAAGAAAUACUUUACUUGAAGGAAGAGGGUUAAAAGUGAAAAUCUGUAAAGGGCACUUUAAGUCUAAAAAAAAAAAGGGAGAGGCCAAGGUGAAAACCUGUAAAGGGCGCCUUGAGACCAAAGGGGAUUUGAGUUGAAAACCUAAAAAAGGCGGCUCAAAUUUUGAUGGGACAUGAAGUGAUUGGGGCAGUUCAAAUUUUGAUUAAGAUCUGGGGCAUGUGCUGGUCCCAUUAUACCUGAAUCAACAAGAAAAGGGUAGGAGACAUCUUUAGGCGUCGACAAAGUAAUGUUGAUUUCCUAAACACAUAUCAAAUUCAGAAUGGUCUUUAGAAAGCUUAUGUAGGGAAGCUCGUGCUGCGAUAUCUGGGGCACUUGUCGUCAUCUUAUUUAUUUUGAAUCAUAGCAGAAUUUACUAUCUUGAUUGAUAUAUUCAUUUCUAGCUUUGCUCUCAAUAAAAUUCCAUCUUGUCCAUUGUUUUUCUAAUCUUAUCUUAGCAAAAUUUGCUAUCUUGAUUAACUUAUUCAUUUCGAGAUUUGUUCUCAAUAAUAUUUUGGUUGUCCAUUAUGAUAAUCAUUUUCAAACAUUUGAAAUAAUGCUUGAUGGACUGAAUGUUCAAGCAAAAAGAGUUUUUGCAUAUUACUCUAGAAAUUUCUAAAUAAUAUAGGAACCUGAAACAGGACUGUUGUUUAGAACACACCAAGUUUAAAGUUUGAAAUGUUUAAGAAGAGAAAGUCUAAAUUGAGACUAUCCUUUCAGAUUUUACUGUCCGAACAUUGAUUAAGUAAAACGACAAGAUGUCGUAUUGGUGACAAAGCUUCAUUAAACAAACAAACAAUGAUCACCGAAUGAUAAGAAGAGGUUUUCUCAGAAGAAAAAGUCUUACAGUUGUGCAUAAACACUUGGUACGACACCUUGGGAAUGGUGUACGAGGCCAAAGAGAUUCAGAUCCUGUAUCCCCAAUUUGCAGUGGGAGAGAUUUGAGAAAGAGCCAGAUCUUAUACUCCUAAAUUACAGUGGAAGGAAGAUGGUUUUGAAUUUUAUGUCCCAGGAUUACACUGGGGGCAAUCCGAUCAAGUAAGAAAUGAGCAUUACCAACUGGAUAAGAUAGCAUUCUGACAUGUUGGUAGUUAAGCCUUAUUGAACAACGGGCAAUAACAACUCAAACAUUGAGGGAUCAUUUUCAUUUUGCAUGCAUGCAUACACAUUUAGCCAAGAUAUUUUGAUUCAUUUCGAUCAUAAUCAGUAGGCAUAAAUAGGUUGAUAAAAUAGAUUAUACAGGUCAUGUUACCCAAAGAACAGAUAAAUGAAGAUGGCAGAUCUGGUCUUCCUGAACUGACAGUGAAGCAUAUCGAAAAAACCAUAGUUUCCAAUUAAAAGAUUGAGGCCACAACGGUAAAUCUUAUUCCCAGGCAGUGCAGCGGAACAUAUUGAAGCUACAAUGGCAAAUCUUACUUCCCCGAUAUUGCAAUUAAAAAAUUGAAGCCACAACGGUAAAUCUUAUUCCCAGGAGGUGCAGUGGAAUAGAUUGAAGCUACGACGGCGAAUUUUGAUUCCCCGACAUUGCAAUUAAAAGAUUGAGGCCACAACGGCAAAUCUUAUUCCCAGGCGGUACAGCGGAACAGAUUGAAACUACAACGGCGAAUCUUGCUUCCCCGACAUUGCAAUUAAAAAAUUGAGGCCACAACGGCAAAUCUUACUUCCCAAGCGGUGCAGCGGAACAGAUUGAAGCUACAACGGUGAAUCUUGUUUCCCCGACAUUGCAAUUAAAAGAUUGAAGCCACAACAGCAAAUCUUAUUCCCAGGCGGUGCAGCGGAACAGAUUGAAACUACAACGGCGAAUCUUGCUUCCCCGACAUUGCAAUUAAAAGAUUGAGGCCACAACGGCAAAUCUUACUUCCCAGGCAGUGCAGCGAAACAGAUUGAAGCUACAAUGACAAAUCUUGUUUUCUCCGACAUUGUAAUUUAAAGAUUGAAGUCACAAUGGUGAAUCUUAUUUCCUAGGCGGUGCAGUGGAAUAGAUUGAAGCUACAACGACGAAUCUUAAUGCCCUGACAUUACAGUUAAACAGACAGAAGAAGCCAAUCCUAUAUCUCUGAAGUUGCAGUGGAGCGGAUUAAAACCACAGAUCUUAUCUCUCUGAAGUUGCAGUAGAGCAGAUCGCAUCCAGUCUUAUCUCCCUGAAGUUGCAGUGGAGCAGACAGAAGAAUCCAAUCCUAUCUCUCUGAAGUUGCGGUGGAGCGGAUUGAAACCACAGAUCUUAUCUCCCUGAAGUUGCAGUGGAGAAGAUUGAAGAUGAAUCCUAUACCUCCGAAGUUGUAGUAGGUCAGAUUAAAUCUACCAUAACAAGUCUUAUUUCCCUGAAGUGUAGUGGAGUGGAUUCAAGCGACAAGACACAGUGGACUGGAAUGAGGCUACUUGAAGAAGAGAAGCGUCAAAAGAAGUCGAGACUCGGUAAGGCCAGACAAAAUUGGUCUUUCUUAAUCUUUGCUCUGUUCCCGUUACACGACAACAAGCAAAGAUGGGCAGCUGUACAGACCCAUUCUGCCCGGGCCCAAACCCACCUAAACCUAAGCUUAAACCCAAACCCACCUAAACCUAAACCCAAAAUCCAUUACAAACUAAACCCAAAUAAGCCUAGGCCUGGACCAAUUAACCCAAUUACCCCAAAUUCAUUUCUUGUAGCCCAAAAUAAACAAAAGAAAGAAAGAAAGAACCUAACCCUAGGUGCGCCGCAUGUGACCCGACCCGACCCGACUAAGGGAUCCGCGUGUUUUUUAGGAUUGGGUUAUUUACCCUUUUGGUCCUUCUGCUUUUAGCGAUUUUUUAAAUCAAGUAUUUUUAUCGUUUUCAAUCAUGCCCCACAAUUUGUUGCGCUUUCAUUUUGACCCUUUAUCUGAACGACGUCAUUUUGGGGCAUGGGGAUUAUUACCCUUUUAGUUCCCUCAUGCUGCGCGCAUGUUCAGAUUGGUCCUUACCUUUUAUUUUACUUGGAUUUUGCCCCGAAUGUUUGAUUUAAGAUUCAAAUUAAUCCUUUCUUUUACCCUUUUUGUAUUUCUUAUUAAUUAAUUUAGUUAUUGUCUUCUUUAUAUUUUCUUUUUGUUAUUUCUUUAUUCAUUAUUAUUAUUAUUAUUAUUAUUAUUAUUAUUAUUAUUAUUUACCCAUUUAUAUCCUUUAGUUUCAAAUUUUAUUAUAUAUACAUUAGAUUUUUUUAUAUUUUUUGUUAUUGUUAUUAUUGUUUUAUUUGAUGCUUAUUUGUUUAUAUGUUAAUUAUUAUUUUGAAAAAUGUUUUAGUUUUAUUCGUCUAUUUACAUGUUGUAUGUAAUCCAUUUGUCUUAUUAUUAUUAUUAUUAUUAUUAUUAUUUGUUUGUUAUGGUUGCUUGUUCAUAUCAUCGUAUUCAUUAUUUUCGUUUAUUAAAGCGGCAUUUAUUCAUAUAUUGAGUUUAACAUCACAUCAAUUUUACCCAAAUUCAUAAAAAGAGAAAAUUUUGAAAAUAAAGGCAAUACUCGGUAUUUGGGAUCUUCGAGAGGAUCGAGCCCUAACGUAUUGGGUUCCGAUUUCUUUCGUUGAGACUAAAUAGUCGUGAAUGCUCUUUCAAUCGAAAAACAUGAAUAAAAGCUCAUUAUCGGGAAUUCAAUAUGUUGUGUCCUAACGCAUUGGAUAUGACACGUUUUUUCGAUAUGAGGAUUUUAUUAAAAAUAACAAAGGCAAUAUUCAAUGUUUGGAAUGUUGAGAAAUUGUGCUCUAACGUAUUGGGCUGCGAUUUCCUCAUCUGACUUAAACAAUUGAAUAUCCUUUUUAAAUUUUAUCAUAUGAGUUUUUUAAGACAAGCAACUUGUUUUAUAUAAGUCUUUUAAAACAAAGGAUCGUAUUUUUAAAUCUCUUUAAAAUUUUCAAUUUUCGACAUUAAGACAUUGACUAAUCAACUAGGUACCAAUUUUUUGGGCGUUACGAGGGUGCUAAUCCUUCCUUGUACGUAACCGACUCCCGAACCCCUUUUUUUCUGAAUUUUGUGAACCAAAAUCGAUGUUUUAAUAAAAUCAAAUAGUUUAUUAAAAACAACCACUUUUCAAGGUGAUCCAAUCACACCUUAUUAAAAAGGAUUGGUGGCGACUCCCGUUUUCGUUUUCGUUUUCAAAUUCCAAGUCGACCCCGUUUUUAUCAAAAAUAUGGUGUCAACACUACUCAUAGCCCAUCUCAACCUGUAAAUAGGAGGAUAAUAAGCUUCAGCGUCCUUGAACCCACCGUCCUCCUGCAUUGACAACAAUGUCCAGGUCAAUCGAGCUAAAACUCAAUCGGCUAUGGGAAAAAUUACAUGACUUGAUAUAUAUAUAUAAAUAUAUAUAUUGUUUGAUAUCAUCUAUAGUAUAUAUAAAAUGGUCGACUAAGUUAAUAAUAUGAAUCAAUUCGACACCAACUCAAUUAUGAAAUUAUUAAAAUAUCAUUACUUUAAAAUGUAAUUAAUAUUAUUAUAAUAGUUCUUUUGUUAUUUCAUACUUUUAUAUAAUAAUUAAAAUAAAACAACCUAAAAAAAUUAUUUAAGAAUCAAAUAGAAGACCAAUAAAUUUAAAUAAAAAUCUCUUAUCACUCCACCCAUAAUCAUUUGUUGAAAUAAUUAUAUAUAUAUAUAUAUAUUUAAGGGAAAAUAUUUGGUACACAGUUAGUAAAGUUUUUAUACUCUACAAGAUUAGGGGUUUGACAAAUGUCUUAUAUGAAUAUAGUAAAAUAUUAAAAAAUAGAAAUUAAAAAAAACGUAUAUCAAAAUUUUAAAAUUUCUUAUAAAAUAAAAAAAUUUAUAUUGUUAAUGUACCAAAUAUUUAUCUUACUUUUAAUAUAAAAUAUUUGCUUUAAAUUAUAGGUGUAAAAUUAAACAUGAUAAUAAAACCAAAAACUAUAGCUUUCAAAUUGAAGAAAAUAAAUGACUAUGUGCCCACAACCAUCAGAGACUCUAAGGCAUUAAAGGUAAUGAACAUGGUAGCAUGCAUAGUAGAAGAUGAGGAAUGUCCACUUUCCUUUUUGUUUACAAGUGCUUUUUCUUAUUUUUAUAUUUAAAUAGUAAUAAUAAUAAUAAUAAUAAUUAAAUCUUAGUUUUUAUCUUUAAAUUUAAAUCUUAAUUUUUAUCUUUAAAUUUUUAACAUAAUUAGUCUUUAUAUUUUUAUAAUGUUACUAAUUAGUUGAAAUAGUUAAUAUCGUUAACGUUUUUAUUAAAACAUUAUGUGGUUACAUAUAACUCGAUCUUUGCAGAAUGUCAACUAAGCCCAAAACAUUCUCAAACAUGGAAACCGAAAUACUCUAAAUAUUCAAUUCAAGGUUGUAUAAUGCAACCAGGGCUAGUGAUACAUGAACGGAUGUGUGCUUCACAUCAGGAAAGAAAACAUCGAGCAAAUCAACUCCCUCCACUUGAUUGUCACCCAUUGCUAAAAACCUUGCUUUAAACACUCUAUUUUAUCCGAAACUACUACAAUCUGAAAUCUGUGAUUCCACCGAACUUCUCGAUAUCGAAUUUCGUUGUCUCCAUUUUUGAACGGGUUGCUUGCAGAAUCUAAACUAAACUCUAAUACAAAUUUGUUGGGGAUUGACCCAUGUAAAUAACGGGAUAGUAAAAGUGGAGAAGAACAAACACAAAUAUUUUACUUGAAAAACUGUCAAAGAGGAAAAAAACCACGAGCAAAAGAGGUAUCAACUUUUUACUAAACAAGUAAACAAACAAAGAGUACGAUAUGGGGAAAAGAAAUCUAAUUGCACUAAAUGUACAAUCCCAAACCCCAAAAGCUAAGCCCUAACUCUCAUAAAGAAAACUUGAAAAUAAAACCCUAACUCUUACAGAGUUUUCUCAAAAAGAGGUACAGAAUUCUUUCCAUAGUUACCACUAAAACUCUCACCAAAACUUAUCUGCGACUACUACAUCUUGUCGCCCUUCAACAGAAAAGUAUUAUAAUACUACAUCUUUAGUUGUCUUUUUAAUUGGUCUCCCAAAACAGGGAUAUAAGACCCCUCCAAAUAGGCAAAGAUUAGAGAUCUAAUCAUACUAAAAUAUCCCUGGAGUAAUCAGAGUUUAACUGAAAAAACAUAGUAGAGUUUAAUUGGGAUAAGAAACCCAAAAUAUGUGAGGAACAUGUCGCAACGUUUUCAUUCGCGUCGUCUGUCAUCCCAACGUUAGGAAGUUUCUUGUUGUAAUGCUAUCGUCUGUUCGACCGAAAAUACGAUGCAAACUUAAUAAAUCUCCACCUUGACUCGUAUUUACCAUUCCUUCUUCUCCAUGCCCCGUCACGGGCCAAACUCGAUCUUUAUUGAAUGUUAACCAAGCCCAAACCAUUCUCAAACUUGGAAACCGAAAGACUCCUAGUCUUCAAAUCAAGGUUGUAUAAUGCAACUAGGGCUAGUGAUACACGAACGGACGUAUGCUUCACAAUAAGAAAGAAAACAUCGAGGAAAUAAACUCCCUCCACUUGAUUGCCACCCUUUGCAACCAACCUUGCUUUAAACACCCUACUUUAUAUAAAAUUGCUACAAUCUGAAAUCUAUGAUUCCAUCAACCUUCUCAAUAUUGAAAUUCGUUGUUGCCAUCCUUGAUGAGUUGAUUGCGAAAUCUGAACCAAGCUGUCACACUAGUUUGUUUGGGAUUGACUCGUGUAAACAACGAGAGAGUAAAAGUGGAGAAGAACGAACACAAAUAUUUUAAGUGAAAAACAGUCAAAGAAGAAAAAACCACGAAAAAAAUAUGUAUCGACUUUUCACUAAAUGAGUAAACAAAUGAGAGUACAAUAUGGAGAAAAUAAAUCUAAUUGUACUAAAUCUACAAACCUAAACCCCGAAAACAAAGCCCUAACUCUGAUAGAGCAAACUCGAAAACAAAACCUAAAUCCCAUAGAGUUUUCUCAAAAAGGGUUAGAGAAUUCUCUCCAUAUUUACCACAAAAACUGUCACCAAAACUCAUUUGCGACUACAUAUUGACGCCCCCAAAAGAAAAGCCUUUAAUUGCCUUUUUAAUUGGUCUUCAAAAAUAUAGAUGCAAGUCCAAUUAAAAUAGGCUAAGAUUAUAGGUCUAAUCAUACUAAAAUAUCCCUAGAUUAAUCAGAUUUUAAUUGGAAAAAUAUAGCAGAAAUUAACUGUGAGAAGAAACCUGAUUUAUAUGGGGGAAACAUCGUCACGUCACAACGUACCUAUUUGCAUCGUCACAAUGUUGUCCAUUGUCGUAACGUCGAGAAGCUUCUCAUCGUGACGUAGCCAUUUGUUUGGCCGAAAAUAUAAGGCAUACCCCACUAAUCUCCACCUUGACUUGUAUUUACCAUACAUUCUUCUCUAUACCCUGUCACGAGCCGAACUCAAUCUUUGCAGAAUGUCAACAAAGCUCAAACCGUUCUCAAACUUGGAAAUUGAAAGACUCUUAAUCUUCAAAUCAAGGUUGUAUAAUGCAACCAAAACUAGUUGUCGAAAACAUUUUUAAUUUUGAAAAAAUGGGAUCGACUUUAAAAAUAAAAAUUAGGAGUCGCCACCGACCUUUUAUUGAGGUGUGAUCGGUUCACCAUUAAAAACGGUUUUGAUCUGUGAAAUUUGAAAAAACGAGUUCGGGAGUCGGUUACGCACGAGGAAGGGUUAGCACCCUCGUAACGCCCAAAAUUGGUACCGCAUUGAUUGUUUGGUGUCUUAAUGUCGAAACUUUGAAAAGACUUUAAAAUACUAUUCUUUGAUGAGAAAACUUGAAUAACUAAAUUGAAUGAUAAGGUGCACCCAUUUCACAGAAAUAGAUUGCCACACUCAGUAAGUUAGGGUGCGACAAUUCAAUCUUUGAAAUUAGAUUCGUUCCUUUUUUAAGAAAAUCAUGUGCUUUAAGAAGGAUAUUUGAUUAUUUAAGUUAGUCGAGAAAUCGUAAUCCAGUAAGUUAAGGUUCAAUUUCUCGAAGUUCUCAAACAUCAAACAUUGCCUUUAUUUCGAAAUUGAGAUAACAAAAUGUUGUAUCCAGUAAGUUAGGAUCAAACAUUUUGAAACCUUAAGAGCUUUAUUUUAAUGCUUGUGUGGCUUUAAUAAAAUGGGCGCUUGAUCAUAUAAAUUCAUCGAGAAGAAUCGAAGCCCAGUAAGUUAGGGCUCAAUUCCCUCGAGAACCUAUGUACGUCAAGCCCUUUUUAAAGUUUGUGGAAUAAGACGGUCAUGAGGCUUUAAUAAAAUUCAACUCAAAUGAAACAUGAUUGAAUAACGAUACAUAGAAUAAUUUAAACUUAAACUAGAAGCAAUUAAACUAAUAAUAGGCAAAUACAAACAUCGAUUUAAAGCAUAUUAUGCAAACAUCCAUAUUAACAUUUAAGCAACCCAUGAAUUCACAAUCAAUUAAAAAACAAAAGACAAUAACAACAAUAAAUAAUACAAAUGUAAUAGAACUAAGAAAACAAAUAAAAUGUUUGAAUGAAUUUUAAUGAAAGGUUUAUAAAAAACGAAAUGAAAUAAAACUGAAUAAUCUUAAAAUUAAUACCUACAUCUUGAUUUAUAUAAAUAAAAUCUAGUAUAAAUAAUAGUAUAUACAUAACAAUAAUAGAUGGAAGUUAAAGUAAAACGACAAAUUUAGAAGGAAUACGACUUCCAUACAUAAAUAUAUCAUUUGAAAUUAAUAAGGUAUUAUUAUAUAUAAUUAUAUAUAAAAUAUAAAUUAACCUCUUAUAAAAUAUAAAGUUAAUUAUAUAUAUAAAUAUAUAAAGUUAAUCAUAUAUAUAAAAAACAAAUACAUAUAUAAAAAAUUUAAAAAUAAUAAUAACAGUAAUACAAUAAAAAAAUAAGUAUGAUAAUAAAAUAAUAAUAGAUUUCCUAAAUAAAAAAAAAACUAAAUAACAAAAGGGAUUAAAUCAUAAAUAAAAUCGAAUUAACAGGGAAUAACUAAGAUUAAAGAGAAGUAGGGGGACCAUGUUGCAACACGCGUAUUACAUGGGGGCCCGAUUGGGAAAUAUCUCGCUUCCUCAAAACGCGGCGUUGCAAGCUGGGCCGAAAUGAAACAGAAACGAAAAUGUAGAGCAAAAUCGAAAAAAAAAUAAAAAAGGGAUCGAUUUAAAUGCGCUGUGAAAAUGGCAAGGACCAUUUGCGCAAAUCGCCCAACGGAGGCCAAAACGCGCGGAUCCUUCCCCGGGUUGGGUCAUUGCGCGGGUAGUUGGGGUUUAGUCGGCCAACACGACACCGUUUAAGGGCCACUGAAACAGGCCCUAAACGGUGCCGUUUUACACGCUAUAAAAGGCCCCUCAUAACCCUAAAAACAAAUCUGCUGAAAAUAGAUCCUGGCCUCCACACUUGCACCGCUUCGACUAGACGUCCCGGAGCCCUCGAACCUCGUCUCAACUCCGAUGAUUGCAGAGAGAACAAGAGCUCGGCUACCAGGUAUGUUUACACUCCUAAAUCUCUUUCUUUUAUUCCUCUUCUACUCAAAUAAAGAACCAAAUGCUCAUAGGAACAAAGAAAUGAAAGAAAAAAAGGAAAAGGAAACCAGAUGCAAAGGAAAAUUUUUUCACCUUUCGAACUUUUUUCUUUUUUAUUUCUCUGAAUAUUUUUCAAUAUGUGUGUGUGUCCCCUUACAAAAGUUUUCGCCUUUUGUUUUAUAGGCCGAAAACAAUGAACAAAAAAUGAAAAAUGAAAAUACAAUUUUUUUUGUUUUCUACUGCGUUGUUUGCUCUGUUUGCAGGUCGUUGCAGGUGCGAGGCCGUACGGUGACGUGGCACGACUCGGCGCAGCGCAUGGAGGUUACUGUUGCAGCGGCUGGAGCUGAAUGCUGUUGAAGGCUAGGGUUUCAUUUUGACUCGGGCCAUGUAAACUGGGUUAGAGUAUUUUGGGCUCGGGUUUGGGCUUGGUGUUGGGUAAUACCAUUUAGGCUGGUGGGUUUUGUGUUGCAUUGGGCUUGGGCUAAAGUAAUUUUGAUUUAUUUAGGUCUGUAAUAUUGGACUUUGAAAGUGGACUUUUAAUUUUUUGAUUUGGUUUAUUUAUUUGUGCUUUUGGGCCCGGGCAAAUUGGGCCUAUUACACUAGUGAUAUACAAACAAAUGUGUGAUUCAGAACAGGAAAGAAAACAUCGAGCAAAUUAACUCAUUCCACUUGGUUGUCACCCUUUAAACACUCUACUUUAUCUGAAAUUGCUACAAUCUGAAAUUUUUGAUUCCAUCAAACUUCUCAAUAACGAAAUUCGUUGUAGUCAUUCCUGAACGAAUUGGUUGAAAAAUUUGAAUCAAGCUUUAAUACCAGUUUGUUGGGGAUCGACCCGUGUAAACAACAAGAUAGUAAAAGUGAUAAAGAACGAAUACAAAGAUUUUACGUGAAAACUGUCAAAGAGGGAAAAACCAUGGGCAAAAGAGGUAUUGACUUUUCACUAAAUGAGUAAACAAGCGAGAGUAUAAUAUGGAAAAAAAUAAACCUAAAUGUACUAAACGUGCAAACCCAAAUCCUGAAAACAAGACCCUAACUCUCAUAGAGCAAACUUGAAAACAAACCCCCAACUCUCACAGAAUCUUCUUAAAAAGGGGUACAAAAUUCUCUACAUAGUUACCAUGAAAACUAUUACCAAUACUCAUCUACGACUACAUCUAGUCGCCUCUAAAAGAAAAGUCAUGUAGUACUACAUCUUUAAUUGUCUUUUUAAUUAGUCUCCCAAAACAGGGAUACAAGACCCCUUUAAAUAGGCUAAGAUUAGAGGUCUAAUCAUACUAAAAUAUCCCUAAAGUAAUCAGAGUUUAACUAAGAAAAGAUAGCAGAGUUUAACUGGAAAAAGAAAUCUGAUUUAUAUGGGGAACACUUUACCACAUCGCAACAUCCCCAUUCAUGUCGUCACGACGUCGUAACGUUAGGAAGCUUCUCGGCAUGACAUCAUCGUCUAUUCGGCCGAAAGUAUGAGGCAUACCCCACACUUUGUAAAUUUGAAAUUUAGUUCAUGUAUUGCUAUUUUUAGGAAUUUCGUGUAUCUACAUUCUAGAUUUCAAAUCAGGUCCAAUUGUUAACAUUGUUAAAGUUUUUUUUGUUAAACUUUUUGGUGUGACAUUUUGAAAUAAAAAAAAAUACUCACUUGAUAGCCAUGUAACUAAAACCAUGAUGUUAUGAUAAACCUAAAUUUAAUAAAAGAAAUUAGCAAUGUUAACAAUUAGACUUGUAUUUUUAAAAUGGAAAAUAAAAGACUAAAUUCCUUAAAAUAAAAAGUAAAAGGAUUCAAUUCAAAAUGUAGUAAGAGUAUAAAAGGUUAUAUCACAUUUUAACUUACAUAAAUUUAUUAAAAUCUCCAUAUCAUUAUAAUAAAUUAUGAAAAAUAUAUUAUAAAGCUGGACAUAAACACAAAAUAGAUAACAAUUAUUUUGUAAAAUGAAUUUUAAUAAUAAACAAUGCAAAAAUGUUAAAAAGUAAUAGAAUGAAAUCAAACCCCUUAUCUGAAUAUAUGUUGCAUUGAUCUCAUUUCUUUGUCAAUUAAUUUAACAUUCCCAAAUCUCUUGAUAUCCUCUAUAAAUGUCAUUAAGUUCCAAAUGAAAAUGAUUUUUUUUUCUUUACCAUCUCCUAUUUGAGCCAAAAGAUUAACAUUUUUCUUGAAAAUUCCCACCGUGAGGGCUCUUGGUUGUGAACCAUCGACGCGCAUGCGAUUCCUGUUCUAGCUGGGCUCCCUUCCUUGCAAAUGGAUAACACUACACACAUAUUCCUUUUUGUCUUCUUUCAUGGAAAAUACCAACAUCACUAUUUUAUCGGAACGAAAGAUUACCUAAAAAAACAAAUGGUUUUUUUUUAAUUACAUUGGGUCAACUAAAUUUUAAAAAAAUCAUUACGGGUUUUCAAAAAUUCACUAAAUUAUUAGUAAAUUUACAUUUUAGUCACUCAACUUCAAAAAGCUAAAAUAAUGGUCAUUGAACAAUUCGAAAGCUUUUAUUAAAUCACUGAGUUGUUAAAUUUUUUUUUAAAAGUUUGACUAGCGAGUUACAAAUAAUGAUUUAACGAUCGGUACGAUGGAUCAGUAUCUAUCACUAAGUAGAAGAACAUGAUACUUUAGAUCCAAAUCGAUUUGAUUGUCAAUAUCAAAUGUAAGGGCCCAAUUUUGCCCGGGCCCAGAUUACAAACAAUAAAAUAAAAAAUAAAUAGAACCAAAAAUAAAUAAUAAAAAAGUCCAGUUCAUUUACAAAAAAAAAAAGAGGCCAAAAUAGCCCAAAUCAGUAACCUAAUGGCCCAGCGGCCCAAAAAUUAAAAUUUUUCAGAUUUUUUAGAAACCCUAGGGUUUCUGGCAUCGCACCCCCUCCCUUCGCAUGCACGCCGCCCAAGGCACCUCGUCUCGAGGCCUGGCGCGCCCCUCCUGCCAUUUGCACCAAAAUAGCAAGGGUCUCCCUCUCCGUUGACUCCGCCACCUGCAAGAAAAGAGCAAAAAAGGACAGAGACAACAAACGCAAAACAAUAGUGAAACAGAAAUAAACAGUGUAAUAUUGGCUAUAAAGGCCAUGAAAAUAUAUUGUAAUUUUUACCAGGAAGCAAUCAAAACAGAAUAGAAAGAAAAAUUCUAAAAUGUGGUCCUUCUAUUUUUUUACUCUAUUUUAUUUAUUUUUUAAAUAAAUAUAAAAUAAAAAAGGGGUCGAAAGCCUACCUUGCCCUUCGUGUUCUGCUGCCGUGAGUGGCCGAGGACCGUUAUCUCCGAUGAAAGAUGACAUCUUUCGAGUAAAAGGGUCUUCGAAACCCAUAAAUCAAAAGUUUUUUUAGGGAUUUCUGCUAUUUUGAUGAGUACUUUUUUAAAAAAUAACCCCAUAUUUGGGUUCGGGGAACUGAAAGGCCAAAGAGCAGCUAUUUUUGCGUUUUUCGACUUCAAAACGAGAUAUAAGUAACGAUCAAUUGGUGUUUAUUCUCGUUUUCGAGAUUUAAGGCAUUUCUCGUUUUCGAGGAGGCAUUAUGUCCUAACUUACGGGACGUGAUCAUUUUUCUCGGUUAACUUGAAAUAAACUAUUUUCGCAAAAAUUACUUUAGUUAGAUAAUGCCUUAAUACAGAAAGGAUCAUGUUUUAAACUUUUUUCAGAGUUUCAAUUAACGACACUAAGACAUUAAUUAAUCAACUAGGUACCAAUUUUGGGCGUUAAGAGGGUGCUAUUCCUUCAUCGUGCGUAACCGUCUCUUGAAUCAAUUUCCUGAAUUUUGUGGACCAAAAAUCGUUGUUUUAGUAAAUCAAACCGUUUAUUAAAACGAUCAAAUUACGAGGUGAUCCGAUCACACCUUAUAAAAAGGAUUGGUGACGACUCUCAUUUUUUAUUUUUUAAAAUAAAAAGUCGAUUUAAAAAAAAGGGUUUCAACAUCAAAGAUCAGAGAAUUGCGUUGUUUGAAUUUUGAUUCGCAGAUUCGUGAUAUUUAAAGUUGUUUAAUGAAAAGAAAUUAAAUUGUAAGAGAGGAGAGGAGUGGGAGCUUUCGAUUGAAAAACAUAUAACAACGAUUUUAAUAACCCAAUGACUUAAAUGAAAAUUUUCAAAUUGUUCGGUGAUCAUUUUGUAAUUUUUUGAAGUUAAGUGACCAAAAUAUAAAUUUACUAAUAAUUUAAUAACUUUAAAUAAAUUUACCCUUAAUAAAUAAAUAAAUCACCCAAGGAAUUCCUGAUCUUAUUUGUGAAAGUAAAAGAUCUACCAUUAAUUUAGCAGAUAAUAAAAUGGUUUUAAAUUCCUGAAAAGAAAAUUGAGCGCCAGAAUUAAUUAAUCGAAGACUUAUUAUAAUUGAAGUCUUCUGUUCCAAUUGGGCGACGACUUGACCAAAACUUUAUUUCAAGGAUUAGUUAGAUGUCUCUUCUUUUUUCAAGCAAAAGUAUUAACUUUUUUUUCUUUUCAAAAAGCAUCAACUUCAUAAUGAAAUGUCGUUGGUCAUGAAAUAAUAUCUGCUUUAUAUUCAUACGUAGCUGUUAAUUUGAGUACAGGCAAUAUUUUUAUAUGGGGAGUGAUUCAAAACCAUUAAGGGAAUUGGAUUUUCGGAUUCAAUCACUUUUUGGAGAUGUGUUCAGUCUUUGAAGUUGAAUUAUGAGACAUUUUUGACGGGUUGAGUCUUUUACAAGAUUAAGGCUUGAGCAAAUUAUCGAUUCACGAGGAUAGUCUGAGUUUUAUAACUAGUUCGAGAUCAACAUUAGUUAGGCGGAUCCAACAGAAGCUAUAAAAUUUCGAACAUUUGAGAGAUCAAAUAUGUUCCGAGAGAAGUUAAUUUAGUCGCAAACCGAAUUGCGAAGAUGGUAUCUGUGGAGGUGGAGGGAGUUAAUGUUUUGACUUUUACUCUUACGAAUCUUUUAAAAUUCCUUGAAAGUGAUAAAAUUAAUGGUGCUUUCGAUUGUAUUAAUGUAACAAAAUCAAUUAAGCUUAGUUUAUUUCACCCAAAAAAAUAUUAAACUUUUAAUUAUAGGAUAGGUAAUUUUUGAAGGUUUCUUUUGCUUUUUUAUCUUCAAUAACUCAUAAAAUUAUGGGAAAAAUUACAUUACUUGAUAUAUAUACACACAAAAUAUAUUAUAAAUUUAUUAAAAUCUCCAUAUCAUUAUAACAAAUUAUGAAAAUAUAUUAUAAAGCUUGACAUAAACAGAAAAUAGAUAACAAUUAUUUUGUAAAUUGAAUUUUAAUAAUAAACAAUGCAAAAAUUUUAAAAAGUAAAAAUAAAUAUUAUAAAUAUAAUACUAAUUUACAACAUAAAUAUUUUUUUCAAAAUCAAUAUUUACUCGAAUAAUAUAAUUAAAUUCAAUACAUAUAUAUUACUAAUUUACAAAAAAAUAAUCUAAUAUAAAUUUAACCCUUAAAAGUUAAUAAUUUUAAUUUAUUAAAUAACAGUUUAAUAAAAUCCCCCAACUUUAAUCAAAAUGAAAGAAAAAAAAUAGUAUUUUUUUUAAAAGGAGGUAUUAUUAGUAUUUACAUUCAUAAUCAUCUAAAUUAUGUUUUCGACACAUUCAAUGAAAGUAAAUAAACAUAUAAAACACAACACCUUCAAUACACCGAUUCUUAUCCAAUAUGAUGAGCAUUUCUUUUAUUCGUUCUUGCAAUGUUAGGAGCAACGACCAAAAUAAUAUCGUCAAUGCUUAAGAGUGUAUGAGAUAUGGCCGGAAGUCUGCAGAAGGGAAAAUGAUGUUAGAAAACGAAAAACUUUCUCAUCCGGACAUGUACUAUUUUUAGUUUACCCUUAGGCUUAGCUAAGCAAAUUCAGAGGAGGGCUUCUUCUCCCUUAUCUCCUUGCUUACACCCCAACCUUAGUUAUGGCACAUGUACCGUCAAAUAUUAUUCUCUUGCUGUUCCUUCUGGUUUCUUUCCAUGUUGAUGUCAUAGCUGAAGAAGAUGAGGCAAAAAUUAUCAAACCCGGUUCUUCACUUUAUGCCGGAAAACAGCCUAGCUCGUGGGCAUCACCUUCGGGGAAUUUUGAAUUUGGUUUCUACCGGCAAGGAGAAGGAUAUGCGGCCGGAAUAUGGCUUGUUGGUCGACCAGAAAACACCAUUGUCUGGACUGCAAAACGAGAUGACCCGCCUGUCUCCUCAAAUGCUACUUUGGUAUUCACUACACGAGGCGUAUUGCUUCUUCGGACUGAGGACGGGGUGGAAAAUGUCAUUGCGAAUCAGUCCGGCGUUGAUUCAGCUUCGUUGCUGGACACCAGGAAUCUAGUGCUCUACGAGAACAGGUCUGUUGUUUGGGAGAGCUUUGAUAUCCCGACCGACACAAUCUUAGGAGGCCAGAAUUUAAGAAAUGACAGUGUGUUGAUUUCCAGUGUGUCAAGUUCAAACCACGCAACUGGCCAUUAUUAUUUGCUCUUGAAGUCUGAUAUUGGGCUUGUAGCCAAUUUAAAUAUUUCUUCUGCAGCUGCUUAUCAGUACUGGGUCUUCCCUAAUGGCUUUUCUUACUCGUUGAAUCUCAGUGAGAGUGGCGUUCUAGCACUGUAUUCAUCACUAAAUUUCGGCCAAGAAAACGUUUUGGCAAACGGCUCGACAACUAGGAACAAAACAAUGAUUAUCUAUAGAGCAACCCUUGAUCAUGACGGUGUCUUCAGAUUGUACUCGCAUCAACUUGAAAGCAAUACUAUGUCAAACAAGUGGCAGAAUUUGGAUGAUGAAUGUGAGAUUCCAGGUCGGUGUGGGUUGAACAGCUACUGCUCCACCAGCAGGGGUAACGAUACUGAGUGCUACUGCUAUCCUGGUUUCAUAUUUAUCGACGAGAAUGCCAAAUCCCUGGGUUGCUCUCAGAAUUUCACUGUAGAUGGGUGCGAGGCUAGGAGAGAUGUAGUGAUACACCACAAUAGCACUACCUUAGACAAUGUGUCUUGGGCUGGUAAUCUUUAUUCUGUGAAGCGUAAUCUGGAGAAGGAAGACUGUAAGAAAGCUUGCGAGGAUGAUUGCUCCUGUGGUGGAGCUCUCUAUAGCCCAAAUCACUGUAGCAUGUAUUCAUUACCGCUUAAAUAUGGUAGAAAACAUGUAAAUAUAACAACCACAGCCUUCAUCAAGUUGAUUCCGGGUAGCACCAUUAGCCCCCCACCUGAAAAAAGUCAAAUAUUGAUAAGCGAAGGAAACGAAAGCCUCAUUUUAACUAUGGGAUUAAGUUUGGGUUCCGUUGCAAGUUUGUGUUUUGUGAUUGCAAUAUGUAGCUUCUUGUUAUACAGGCAUCGAGUCCAAAGUUAUGAGAAGCUUUUAGACAGUAAAAGUUCAGGAUUUGCCGAGCAAUUUACACUACGAUCAUUCACUUUCAAUGAGCUAGAUGAAGCAACACAAGGUUUCCAAGAUGAGUUGGGUAGAGGCUCAUUUGGAGCGGUUUAUAAAGGAACUUUGCCAGGGGAUGGUAAAAGUAUUGCUGUUAAGAGAUUAGGAAUGGUUAAGGAAGGAGAAAGGGAUCAGUUUCGAACUGAGAUGACAGCCAUUGGAAGAAAUAACCACAGGAACUUGGUCUGAUUGCUUGGAUUUUGUGUGGAAGGUUCAAGGAAGUUCCUUGUUUAUGAGUACAUGAGCAAUGGCUCACUAGCGGAUUUUCUAUUCAACAGGAAUGAACGCCCGGUUUGGAAACAGAGAGCCAGAAUAGCGUUGGACGUGGCUAAAGGUAUCCUUUAUUUACAUGAAGAGUGUGAGGUGAGUAUCAUCCAUUGCAACAUCAAGCCCUGCAACAUACUCUUGGAUGAUUCAUUGACUGCAAAGAUUUCGGAUUUCGGAUUGGCAAAGCUAUUGAGGCCUAAUCAAAGAAGCAGUACAAGUGGAGCAGCAUGGUACUCGGCACCUGAAUGGCAAAACAGUGCAGUGUUAUCGGUAAAAGUUGAUGUAUACAGUUUCGGAGUGAUACUGUUGGAGAUCAUAUGUUGCAGAAGCAACAUAGAAGUAGAAGGUCGCAGUGCAGAUGAGAUACUGCUUUCAACAUUUGUAUACAAUUGCUUUGUUGGGGGAGAGUUGAAUAAGCUCGUGGAAGGUGAAGAAGAAGUGGACAUGAAAAUGGUGGAAAGGUUUGUGAAGGUGGGGCUUUGGUGCAUUCAAGAUGAUCCAAAUUUGCGUCCACUCGUGAAGAAUGUGAUCUUGAUGCUAGAAGGAACAAUGAAUGUACCGAUCCCUCCAUUUCCAUCACUUCCCCAUGUUACUAAUUAGUGUUCUUAACUUUGAAGUUGGGUUUAUUUUAAUUAUGUUUUUCAUGUAAUUAAUAAUAAUUAGAGGAGUAAUUUUUAAAAUAAAAUUUUGGAAACUAUCUGGUUGUUACAAAGAAGGACAUUUUAUGUUCUAUGCAUCAAUUAUCAUGUGAUAAGUGAAAGGUCUCUAAUCUAUACAUCAAUUAUAAUAGUAAAAGUAUACAUGGUUUUUUCCUUUGUUUUCACUUAUGUGUUGUGUUGAAAAAUUAAAUGUUAACAUCUUAAAUACUUACAAAAUCAAUUUGGUAUGUUUGUUAAAUUUAAGUAUAUGAUUAAAUUGUUUGAUAAAGGAUAGCUUUCUAAUAAUUUUAGAGCUCUAAACAAAAUCUUUAAAAAAAUAUCUUUCGGUCUCACUUCCCUAGAUAUUCCUUUAGGGGCAUUACUUCCUAACUUUUUAGGCCUACUCAAUUUAGUUCAAUUUAAUACAAUUUAGUCCUUUUUUCCAAAAAUUAGCUUACCUACAUUUCCAUCAACCAAAUCCUUUUUUAGGUUUAGCUAUUUAUGCUGCAAAUAAAGAGAAUGGACAUGGAAAUGAAAAGCAAACAAAACAUUGAAGUUUAAGAAAAAAAUAUGAAAGUUUGGAUUUUUUUUAUGCAAGAAAACUUAAAGAACAUAAAACUAAAGGCAUUCAACAAGGAAAUCUAAAGCAAUAAACAGAAAAGGAAUAAACUUUAACAAAUUUAAAGUAAAAGAAACUAAAAUGCAUUAAACUAAAGUUAGAAAUGUCUUACAACCAAGGUAUAGGGAUUGGAAGUGCAAAUAAACUUAAGCUAUAGUAAUAACUAACUAACUUAACUACCACUAAGAACAACUAAGAACAACUAAAAUAAGAAAGAAAAUUGUUGGGAAAUGUAAAAUCUACUACUAAAGAAAUGAAAAUAAAAAAAACCCUAGAAAAAGAAGAAGAAAAGCUAAGAGAAAACCUAGAGAAAACUAAGGUAAAACUAAACUAAUGUGUGUCUCCUCUCCUCAGCCAAAUUUGGUUAUUUUAGGCUGAAUGCUAAUAGUACUUCGUUGCCAAAAUUGCCCUUACGUGGGCCUUGGAUGAUUGGUGGAUCGGGUAGAAAUAGACUACUCUUUUUAUCUAAUUUUGUCCCCCUCACAAUGUUGGUGUCACGAUACCUAGAAGAGGAUAUCUCGAUUCCUCAAGUAGUUUCGAACCUUGGGGUCUUCUUUGAGGGUGGAUAUCGUGAUACCACUGAAAAGUGGUCUCCCUUCUUUCCAUACUGUUGGAGGUAUUGUGAUUUCAAGGUAUGAAAAUAGCGAUACAUUUUCUUUUGGUGUCAUUUUCGCUCGUUUUCAACCUCAGCACGUUCUUACACCACUCAACCAAAUGUUAGGUCCCCCAAUAGUACUAUUGGCCAAAUUUGAUCAUAAAAUGAGUAAAAAUAAGGCAUUUACACUUAUCAACUUAAAAUAUAAAAAGUAAGAAAAAGUAUGAAAAAAAAUGCUAUUUUGCUUGAGAAUAAGGUCCUUAAGUAUAUUGGUAAAGUCUAAUUUGUCAUAUCAAAUUAUGGUAGAUAAAACUCCCCCACAUAUAACUCUUUGCUUGUACUUAAGCAAACCAAACAUGCAAAAGGAAAGACGACUGUUGGACUAAAUCAGACAAUUAAGUCAUAUAUCUAUAAAACAUCAAACUCGUACGGGAACUGCCUCAUAUGCAACUUAAGAGUGAUAUCUAGAUAACUUGUUUAUUCUUAAUACAAACAUAAUUAGUUCACUAAGUUAUAAUGUUAAUAGAUGUAGAGGCAAUGAAAAUUAAAAAAUGUACAAGUGUUAUCCAUCAAAAUAAAUUAUGCGAAUUGCUCAUAGAUAUUUUAAAAAAAUGGAUCAUAUUCGUUCAAACAAAUGUAGACUAUUUACGAAUUAUUGUAUUGGUGACAUAGAUUAUGUUAAGUAAUGCUUUUUAGAAGUACUUUUGAUAUGAAAAAUACUUUUGCAGCAAAAAGAACAAGAUAUUUUUUGCUGAAAUUUUUGGCUUUUCAAAAGUACUUUGAAAAAAAAAAAGAGAAACUAAAAUUUUUAGCUUUUCUUAUUCCAAAAACAUUUUUAGUGCUUAAUUAUUUUUUCACUUCUCCAAUAAUAUGGUACUUUCUCUCUUUUUUUCUCUGGUGCUUAAUUACAAAAAUGUUAAAAUCAUUAAUUAAAAAUAAAAAUAUAUUUUUAAAAUAAUACAAAUGUGUUAAUAUCUAAUUACAAAUAUUUAAUGGUUAUAUUUAAAUAUUUAAAAUAUAAUUUAUAUAUUCUACUAAAAUUUUAUAAAUAAAUAAUAUUUAUUGUUUAAAAUAUUUAAAAUUUAUAUUUCAUAUAUUAAAAUAUUAAUAAUAAGUUAUAAUAGUUUUUUAUUCUUACUAGAAUAUAAUAAUAUUAACUAAUUUGAACAUUACUUAAAUGCAUAUUUGUUACUUUAUAAUAUUAUGUCUAAAAUAAAUAUUUUAUUUCUCGAAAGUAUUUUUUCAUAACACUUUUUAAAAGUAUUUUUCAAAAUUAUAGCAACUAACCCUAAUUCGGAUCCCAAAGAUCUUCUAAGUUUGUAAUGUUACAAGGCUUAGGACAGUUCAAAAUUCAAAUGGGUUCAAACACUAGAAACGGUUGAGCACAUGACAUUGUUCCCUACUUGCUUCAAAUUCAUUUACAAGCUCACCUCCUUAUUUCUCAUUCUCUUGCCUACCAUAUUUUUCCAAAAUGUUAGAAGGUAUUAUGGCACAAAAUUUAUAAUUGUGAACCUAAAGAUAUUCAUUUUUGAGCUUAAUUUUGAUUUAGCUAUCAUUUUCUUUAUUUUGCACUUUUUCAUUCACCCUUUCUUUUUUAACAUACUAAUUUGCGUAAUCCCUUCAUUUUCUUUUUAUAAAUACAUAUAUCAGAAUUUAUAAACACAAAAUUCUAAGGCGAUAGUACAAUUUCUAAGGAUCUUUAGAAAUUUUGGUAUUUUGUAAUUGAGUCAUUCUAAUUUUUUUUUUCAUAUUAAAAACUUUUUAAAAUUAAAUUGCCAUGAUUAUGUUUAUUAACUAAAAUGAUAUAUAUUUUUUGGAUCCAAAUUGACAUUUUCUAACAAAAAUUAUUAGUGGUAGAAGAAGUGGCAAGAUCAGUUUCAACUAGUUCACGCAUGAAAAUAAAACCUCGGAAAAAGCUUGGGAAACCUACAUUAAUUUUAUCACCAUUUUUCCUUAGAAAUGUUGACAGUCCAUAAAGUUGUCUGUAUGUAUCAAAAUAUAAAAGAAUGUUAUUAGAAAUGUCGGUAUUUGAUUAUACAUUUUAGUACAGGAUUUAGGAAUGAGAUUUUGGUAUAUAAAAAAACCUAAUUAUUUUUCAUGAAAAUAUUGAUAUUCCGUUAGAAAUUUUGAUAUAUAACAAGAUAUAACAAGAUAUGUUUUUAGAAAUUUUAAUAUUUCGGCCGGUUGAGUCAUUAUUCGAUUGACAUACACAAUGUUAUUAAUAUAGGGUUCGAGUGUAUUUAAACGCAUUAUCCUCCUAUUUAUGGUUAGAGAGAGGCUAUGGAUAGUUCAAGCUCACCCUAUUAAGAAUAUUAAUAAGAAAUAAAUAUUAUUAAAUUAUCUUUAUUUAUUUUAAUAGUAUUAUAAAUUUAAUAUAUUUUAUUUAAAUAUUUCAAUUAAUUAACUAAUUUAAUUUUUUUAUUAUAUUAAAUAAAUAACUUAAAAUAAAAUUUAAAUGUAAAAACUAAAAAAUUAAUCAUAAUUAAUUUAAAUGAUUUCAAUAUAAUAUAAAUAAAAUUAAAAUAAUUAAAAUCUAACUAUUAAAAUAAAGGAAAUAACUUAUAUUAGGAUGAUCCUAAAAACUAAGGUUUUUAGGCACCAAUAAAAUUUUGCCACAACAUCACAAUGUAAAGAAAUUAAAUUAUUAUUAUGCUCUCAUCUAUAGAGAAAUUAUCUUAUUAAUCCUUUCCACCACAUUAUUCAUGGUCCCUUUCAACAAUUUUUUUCACGUCACUAACACAUAAUUUUGAUAAUUUUUUAAACACAUAAUUUUGAUAAUUUUUUUACUCUGAACUUAACUCUAGAAUAUUGAACCCUGAACCCUGAACCCUAAACUUGAACCUAUAACCUCAAAUUUUUAAACUCUAAACACAAACCCAAAAUCAUUAAACCUUGAACUCAUAUCAUAAACCUCGAAUAUUUAAACCAUCAACCUAAACUUUGAAUCCUGAAUUCAAAAUUGAACCUCAAACUUUAAAUUUUGAACCCAAACCCUGAAUCUCAAGGUUCAAAAUUUAAGAUUGAAGGAAAAAUAAUUAACAAAAUUAUGUGUCAAUGACAUGAGAAAAUUGCACAAAAAUUACUUCUUUUUUUAAAAUUUGGUUGCAUAAAAAAAAGAAUUUAUGAAAAAGAGAUUAAAAUUUUCAAAAAAAGAUGAUUGUUUAUAAUUAAAAAAUUAAUUAUUUUAAAUAAUUUAAUUUAAUUUAAUUUAAUUUGAAGAAAGUAUUAGAUAUACAAAUAUAUAUAAUAAUAUUUUAUUAUCUUUAAAAUUUAAUGAGGUAAUGUUAUUUUAUUAAUAUUUUAAAAUUAUACUUUUUAGUAUUAUCUAAAAGAAAAAGAGAGAAGUAAACUAAAAAAGGAAAUGCGGUGUUUGCAACUAGGGGUGUUCAUUCGGUUAACCGACCGGUUAACCGACCCGAAAUUACUAUAACCGAAUUAACCGACCUUCCAAAAAUUUUAACCGUUAACCGAACCGAUUUUUUUAAAAAAAAAUUAACCGAACCGAAAUUUUUUUGGGUUAAUAAGGUCGGUUAACCGAAUUAACCGAAAAUUAUGUAUUUUUUAUUUUUGGUUAAAAAUUACCCGAAUUACCCGAAUUAACCGAAUUAACCGAAUUAACGCAAAAUACCCGAAUUACCCGAAUUUUUUUAUUUUUUAUUUUUAAAAUUUAAAAAAUUUAUAAAUUAUUAAAGUAAAUUGGGUUUUAGACUUUAGUAAAUUGGGUUGUCUUUUAGUUUUAGUUUUAUUGGAUUGGGUAAUCGGGUAAACUUUAGUUUUAGUUUUAUUGGGUUGGGUAAUUGAGUUUUGGCUGGGUUGGAUAAUUUUAUUUAUUAAUUUUUUCAGUUAACCGAAAAUUUUUGAUUAACCGACCGGUUUCGAACCGAAUUAACCGUUAACCGAAAAAUCAUAAAAAAAUUAACCGACCCCCGACCGAAAAAAUUCGGUUAACCGACCGAUUAACCAAAUUCGGUCGGUUAACCGAAUUUUUUCGGUUUUACCCGAAUUAUGCACACCCCUAUUCGCAACUACAUCCUCCCUCCCAUUGAAAAGGAAAAAUUAUUAGAUGGAGCCUGGGAGUUCUCACCGCCUAAAUUAUAAGUCUAAUCAAUUGAAGUAAUACACAUUUUUUUUUAAAUUUUUAAUUUUUUUCUCUUAAAAAUUUUAAAUUCAAUUAAAAGUAUUAAAAGUCAAAGAGAAAAAUCUAACUUAGAGAUAAAAUAACGUGUAAUUAUAGAAUUGGAAAUCUUGCUUUAUGUCUACGAUGAUAUUAGACGUAUAGUUUAAGUGGAGAGAAGGAUUUAUGUAAUAAUUUAGUCAGGUUACCUGUCUUUUUCUGCGCAAACCCUGAUUCCAGACCUCGGCCAUUUUUAAUUUGGGUACUUGUAAAAUAAUUUCUUCAUCGGUUCCAAAAAUAGAAGACAGAAAUAAAUACAAUAAUUCCUAUGGCAGCAGUGUGGUCUCUUCUCAUGCUCCUGUCUUCUUUCUUUGUGGCUAGAGGAGUUGAAGACAAGCAUUCAAACGGCACCAUUGGGCUGGGAUAUUCGCUUUCCCCCUUAACUCCACCCACCUCAUUGGCUUCGCCUUCUGGUAGUUUCGCAUUUGGUUUUUACAGUCAAGGCAAUGGCUUUUCAAUUGGAGUUUGGCUGGAGGGCAAUAGAAAGACAGAUAACAAAGUUGUAUGGACAGCAAACCGUGAUGACCCGCCGCUCCAUGCAACUGCUACUCUGACACUAAACGAGAAAGGUUUGCUUCUUUCGAGCGGUGUGAGCGGAGAAAAUAAAGUUAUUUUUUAUCCAAAUGACUCGGCUGUCAGUGUCUUCUCUGCCUCCAUGCUAGAUUCAGGCAAUUUUGUGCUCUACAGCACAGUCAAUCAUACCAUUUGGGAGAGUUUCGAGCAUCCUACAGAUACCCUUUUAGGUGGUCAGGCUACUACUCAGUCGUUGAUCUCCUGUUCUUCAGAAAAUGAUCACUCAUCCGGAAGGUUUCUUCUAGGUAUGCAACCAGAUGGGAAUCUAGUUCUAUACCCUCUAGACGUCAAUUUUGCUGUUACAACUGCCUAUUGGGCCACAAAUACUGAUGGUGUGAAUCGUUCACUCCGAUUAUUUCUUAACUCGACAGGCUUCCUACAACUUAUCAACAACACUGAUUCCUCCAUCUACCUAGAAAUUAAUUCUAGAUUUGUUACAGAGGUGAGCUACAACGAGAACACCACCACCACCAGCAACGACGGUAUCGUUCACAGUGCAAGCCUUGAUGUUGAUGGAAAUUUCCGGUUAUAUACUCAUCAAUUUGAUCCAAGUGGUGGAUUUCGAACUUCCCGAGUGUCGCGUGCGUUGAAGGAUUCCUGUGAAAUUAUAGGCUUUUGUGGUAUCAAUAGCUAUUGCACGUUUAAUGAUGACAGAGCUUACUGUGCAUGCCUUCCCGGCACUGAUUUUAUCGAUCCUCAACGCAAUACCCUCGGCUGCAAGAGAAAUUAUAGUGAAGCACAUUGUAAAGGAGGGAAGGACAAUAUACCCCUUUAUAACAUCACUCAAUUGCAAAAUAUAGAAUGGACUACAGGUAUAUUUUACAGUGAAGAGGUAAUGUCCAUGAGUGCCUGCAGCCAAACAUGCUUGGAAGACUGUAAUUGUGAGGCAGCAAAGUUUAGCGAUGGAGUUUGCAGGAAACAAAAGCUUCCACUAUGGCAUUUGCGACGACGACAAGGUGUGAGUUCCACGGUUUUCUUAAAGAUGGGAAUCAGAAGCCUAGAAGCAGAUGAUGGUACUGUUUCCCAUGAAUUAAAGCCCCAAAUCAAACGGAAAGAUCCGACGCUGAAAAUUCUUCUUUUAACUUUCAGUCUUGUCGCAUGUUCAUGUGCUUUGCUUGCAAUCUCUGGUGUAUUCAUUUUUAAAUUUCGAGUUCUAAGAUACAAAAGGCUGUUGGAAAUUGGAAAUUUGGGCCUAACCGGAGAGCUUACGUUGACGUCGUUUUCAUACAAUGAACUCAAGAGAGCAACGAAUGGGUUUAAAGUAGAGUUGGGUAAGGGAUCCUUUGGAGCAGUCUACAAAGGGUCCUUAAACAGAGGAAGAAAUUUGAUUGCAGUAAAGCGAUUGGAGAAGUUAGUGGAAGAAGGAGAAAGAGAGUUCCAAGCAGAAAUGCGAGCAAUUGGCAGAGCUCACCACAAGAAUUUAGUUCGACUUUUGGGAUACUGUGCUGAGGACUCCAAGAGGGUGUUGGUGUACGAGUACAUGGGCAAUGGCUCCCUUGCUGAUCUACUUUUCAAGUCAAGACAGCGCCCUGAUUGGGAUGAAAGAACAAGAAUAGCCCUGGAUGUAGCUAGAGGAAUCCUCUAUUUACAUGAGGAGUGUGAGACCCCAAUCAUUCACUGUGACAUAAAGCCGCAAAACAUAUUGAUGGAUGAUUAUUGGAGAGCUAAAAUUUCAGACUUCGGGCUGGCAAAACUGUUGAUGGGGGAUCAUACAAGGACCUUCACAGUAGUGAGGGGAACUAGAGGAUAGAUGGCCCCAGAAUGGCAUAAGAAUGUUCCAAUCUCAGCGAAGGCUGACGUUUACAGUUACGGAAUUGUGCUAUUGGAAACUGUGUUUUGCAGACGAAACUUGGACACCACUGUAUCAAACCCAGAGGAGAUCAUUCUGUCGAUUUUGGUGUAUAAAUGUCUGGUUGAAAAAAAGUUGGAUAAGCUUGUGCUUGGUGAAGAAGUAGAUAAGAAAAGCUUGGAAAGAAUGGUGAUGGUGGCACUUUGGUGUAUCCAAGAUGAACCUGCACUUCGUCCUUCCAUCAAGACUGUAGUGAUGAUGCUGGAAGGCAUUACUGAUAUAUGCAUUCCCCCAUGUCCAACUGCUUCCUCCAUAUAAUUCAAGUCUUCCUCCAUAUAAUUCAAGUCUUCGUCCAUAUAAUUCAAGUCACGACCUAACAAUCAAUCAUCUCACUCCGAGUGUUCGUGUAGUUUAUGUUACGUAAGGACUGCGUCAUGUUUGUAUUUCCUCUGGCUUGUAAUAAAUUUGUAAAAUGCUUCCUGCAGCAGUGUUCUCCCAUCAUUUGUAGGUUUAAAAAUUGUGUUCGAGUUAUUUAAUCAUAUAGUUGUAUGUAAUAACUGAGUUUUACUGUAAUUCCUAAUUAAUAAUCUCCGAUUGCUCAAAAUGGUAAAAAACUUGCAAAAGGGUCAUGUAAGCAAAGCCAUCAUGUGUAUGCUAAGACUAAUAAGUCCUUUUGUCUUGGACUUGUUAUGAUCUCAUUAGACAGGAUGUUAGGAAACUGAAUAAUCAUUUUUAAGCAGAGAGAUUGUGCAUUAGAAUAACAGCAUCCAAGAGCAAAACCAGAACUCAGAGGCUGUGACUGUUGAACAUGUUCCGGCAAAGGUACAUGAGAAUUAUCAACUUAGGUGAUAUUGGUAUAUUUGCACAUAUGUGCAGCGCUAUGGUUUGAAAGACGACGACGACGACAACUACUACUACCUGCCAUACAGCUGAAGCCAUCUUCCUCUUUUUGCGAUCAUAUGAGUAUAUAUACAAUACAAGUUUGCGGUUAAGGCCCAGAAACAAUACCAACAAUGUCCAUCCAUGGCAGCCCAUCUAUAUAACUAAUAAGGAACUAAUGACCUAGAAAAAUGGUUAAAUUUCAAUUUAAUCCCUCUACUAUGCUUAAAUUUGAGAUUGAAUCUCCAUACUUUGGUCCUUUUAUUUUUGUAAUGUUAUUAAUAAGUCCAAAUAACUAAUAUAAUUAACUUUUAAAUUAAGAUGUUAUGUGUUUAUAUAUAAUUUAAAUUUCCCAAGGGUCUCAAAGACGAACAUAUGUAUUUCCAUUUCUUUUGGAUUUGUCUUCUUUCUUUUUUUGACAUUAUAAGACAAUGAUCAAACUUCAAUUUUAGCUCCUAUAGUAUGUUGAAACUUGAUAUUUGAUUUACACACUUUAAUUUUUGACAUAAUUUGGUCAUUCUAUUUUUAUAAUGUCAUUAGUUAGUCUAAAUACUUAAUAUUGUUAACUUAACGAUAUUAAGUAUUUUAAUCAGAAUGCUUACAUCAAUUUUUCUUAAGAACACCAUGCCAACAAAAAAAGUAUUAUUUUAUAAUGAUGAGUUCAAAUAGGUGUUUUUAAGAAAAAAAUUCACAUAAACAUUUUCAAUGUUAAUUUUUAUUGUUAUACGACUACCAACUGUUUUUUUUUUAAUUUCGAAAUGUCAAGCCAAUGAAUUUAAUAUAAGAAUUUUAAUUGUGGUACAACUUGACCUAAAAGCUUAAACCCGAAAAGUAUAGGGACAAAAUUUUUGAAAAUAAAAGUAGAGGGACUAGAUUUUAUAUGUAUGAAGUGUAUAAAACCUUAGAGUAUAUUUUAACUUUCAAGGUUUUACUCCAUUUUUUUGGUCGAAACCACAAUAUUUACCAUUGGUAGCCGUAACUAAUCUCCCUCACCGCAAGUGCUCUCUAAAAAAAAUAAACAGUUGGUGAUGAAAUGUGAUUCAUUCACAUUAAUUAUGCAUUUUUUUUUACUCCAUUCGAGUAUAAAAUUAAAAGGUAAACUACACAAACUAUAAUCAACUAUAAAAAAAAAUCAUUUUAGACACAAAAAAUAAAAUGUAUGUAAUUUAGUCACUCGUAUUUUAAUCACUCCCAUUAAAAUGGAAGAUGGAUGUCCACGUGGAGCUUUUUUAAAAUUUUUAUUAAUAUUUAAUAAUUUCCGACUAAUAAAUUAUUUCGACGUCUGAAAUUCUUUUAGCCUAAACCUAAGCUAAUAGUGAAACUAAGGAAAAAUUUCCUUCAUUCUAGUGCUAGAAAAAAAAUUGCAGUCACCCUUUCCCUUUCUCGCCCAAUCUCAGCCUCAACCACCUCCCUCUCUAGUUUCUCAUGCUCUGCUUUGGCUUCCUUGAUGUGCCUCAUCCCGGCUUGCCACCCCAAGCUUUUUAUAGUGGAGGUCAGUUUGGGGGUGGCUCUUUACCUCUGGGGCUUGGUUUUAAAAGUUUUUAAAUAGUAAAUGUAAAAUUGUAUUUUAGUCUUUUUAAAAAUGAUAAAAUUUUGAUUUAAUCUUUUAAAAAUUAUAAAAAUAUAAACUAAUUAAUGGUGAAAUUAUUUUUUUACUAUCAUAAAAAUUACAAUUUAAUUUUAACCCCUUAAUUUUUUUUCUAAAUUUGACCCUGUUAUAUAGAUUACCUAAAACCUAAAUUAAAUGAUAGGUUAAUUUCAAAAUAUUGUUUAUUGUUAAUACAAAAGGGUUAGGAGGAAAGGUAACAUAAAUCAUUCUCCACCUUUGCACUAUAUAUUAUACAUGCUUUCUUUAUCAUCAUAAUUUGACAGAUAUAAUACAAAGCAAGUCAAGUCUUGUGAAAUAUUGAUAGAAUAAAGCAGGCUUUGUGGGAGACUUAUUUGGUUAUGGUUUAACUUAACAUAUGCUUUUGGCUUGGAGUGAAAUAAUAUAAGAUUGAACACUGAUAUUUUAUUUUCUUGUGGAUGAUAUUAUUAACCAUAUGGCGUGGACGGUAGGCUAGGGAAUUUUUUACUCUUUAUGUCAUCCAUAUUUACCAUUGAUAACCACAAUAAUUUAUUUUUCAAUAUAAACAUGACUUAUAAAAUUUCAAAUAGUUUAUGAGACAUAGGCAAAGUGUUUGGAAGAAGUGACUAAAUGAGUGGAUAUUUUUUCAAGCUCUGGGAUAACAGAAAUAUAAUAGGAGAUAACAAAAAGUUUGCUUACGCAGCUCACGGAGUCUAAUUCAGUGAGAAGUAUCCACUAUCUUCAAACACUUACAGCAAGUGACCCUAAAUCUAUGAGACCCAAGUGACAAUUUCCUCACUUUUGUGCCUUUAAAGACUAGAACCCUUGCCACUAAAUUCACCCCUGUGAACUAAGCAUGUAAAACCACAACCCAAAGGUUUUACAAUCAAAUGCACUCUUACAAAUAAUGUUCCUCACUUGAAUAGAUUAAGUGCUCUCAAUUCUCGAACAUAAUCCUAUACAAGUCUCUCUAUUAUAUAGAGUUGUUCGAGACUUGCUAACAUAGAGAAGAUCUAUAACAAUCUCUAUAAAACAAUCACUAUAUAAGUUGAAUAAAAUAUAAUAAUAGCAAACAAGAUAAACAAGAAUUAUUGGUAAACAAGGACGGUUGGUAGAUAAGUUGAAUAAAAUAUAAUAAAUAAAAUAUAAGUCUUUAAUGUUACAAACCAAUCCAACUUCCUUAUCUAAGGGAUUAGAUAAGUGUGAUUCGAAUCGAUUCGAUCCAACCCUCUUUAUACAUUUCUUUAAGUGAUAUGAUCUUCAUUAGUGGGCUAGAUACGAUCCACAAUCUCAAUAUAACCAAAAUAUCUAGCUCAAUAAAUUGCCAACAACUCAAAUAUGGAAAUAGCCUAAUCUGUCGUAGUUGGUCAAAGAGUGGGCACUCCCUCAGACACUUAUUUAGUCUUUCUGUAUUUUCAACAAUCUCCUCAUUUGGAAAUUUUUUGAACAAAACACAAACAAAGUAGGAAGCUUAAACAUAAAUUAACAACUUGCUCCCUUUUAUUAUAUUUCCUUUUAAUCCAACAAUAAUGAAUCAUGAAAAAUAUAUGCAACCAAAGUAAUCAUCAUUUAUUGACCAAAUGAAAUCCAACUAUUAGAAGUAGCAAAAUUAAGAAACAAACCUCCAAAAACCAUAAGUUUCAAAAAGCAACAGUAACAUCAAUGAAUUUGAAGCAAAAUAUGAAUCUCCCCUAUCACCAGUAGCUUCCCCUUAUUCUCUUUUCCCCCCUUUUUGAUCAACAAGAUUGCCAACUUAUUUUUCAUUAGGAAGGGAUAUUAGAUUAGCACAAAGAAGCUUUUGCCUAUCUAUGAUCUUCUUCAUAGUCUUAGCUUCAAUAAGGAGUCUGGUAAUGUGCCUAUCAUUGGCUUCAAUAAAGGAUGUAAGAUCCUCAAUCAUCAUUUUAUGAAUGUCAUAGGGAAUAACCUUGGGGCCUGGAGAAGUUGGCACUUAUUGGGUCUAAGGUGCUUCUUCUUGCUCAACAUCAUCAUAUCAAAAUUACUUCCCCUCAACAGCAACAUUACCUCUCCCCCUUAGUAGGACCCAUCAUAUUUAGACAAUAACAAUUCAGGGCCUUCCUUAUCAUUGAAGUGCUAACUUUAUACUAUUCUCCACAUAAAAAUACCUUUUAAUGAAACUUACUAUAUUUGUUACUUAAUACUUUGCAGCAAAUUAACAUAAAACUUCAUAACAACAUUACAGACACACAACUUGACACAACUCAUUGACCUUAACAAACCACUUUUUCCAAUAAGUACAUCUAUGCCAUGACCAACAAACCCUCUAAAAAUAUGAUAAUAGGUUGGAUUAAAUGACUUGGUAUCAAAGUAUAAUUGGUAAACUGUGUAAUAUAUAUGUUUACGUAAUACUAAAGGCUAGAAAUGAGUAUAUGUAACUCGUAACUUUGCUGAAAUGACAUAAUUGAGAUAUUGGUUUGCUUGUUUAGGUGUUGCAAAAUGGUACCUUUUAGAUCUUUUGGAAACAAAAAAUUACGUGGUGACGAGGAAUCAACAAUAAGUUGCAUCAUGACCUGGAAGCCCCAAUCGUGACAUCAACUCGAUAGUUUGCAAACUUUUCAUUUUGGUCCUAAUUCGACCUCAAGUUAGCAUAUGAGCUUUCAUAAGCUUGUAUAAGACUCGAAUAUUAUUGAAAAACAUAUUGUGAAAGCGUGAUGUAGUUAGUAGCAUGUGAAAAAAGUUAACUUGGGUCGGUGUUGCUCUGACAACGAAAGUUGCAUAUAAAGGAGUGCUCCUAGAGGCUGUGCCUUGGAGUUUUAGCCAAACCAUAAAUUAUUUGAGAUUUUCAGUCAAAAUUGUAAAUAAGAUUGUUAAGUAGAAAUUUUAAAAGAUGUAUGUAUUAGUAUCAAUUGUUGUGCUUAGUUAAUCUGUUGGAAAGUGAAUUUUAAAUAAUGUUAGUCAGUUAUCUAGAAUUUCUAUCAUCCAGAACCUGGACUCAGUGAGCGGAUCAGGAAUUAGGUGUGUAAUGGCCCAUUUUCAGUGAAAUCAGAAUAGUGGUUUCGGGACCACAAAUCCAGAGUCAAAAGUUUUACUUAAUAUUUUUUAUGUGGUAUAAAACAUGUUAGAAGUAUGGUAUAAAAUUUCGUUAAGAAAUUUUACCGUUUGUUUGCUAAAUUUGUGAAAAAGGACUAAAUCGCAUAAAGUGCGAAAGUUGUGUUCUAUUAGCUAAAGGUAUUAAAUAGAUAUAGAAUGUUAAAUUACAGGUCCUUAUUGAGUAAUUAGACCAUUAAAGAAGGUAGUGGAUGUACAUGGGGUGAAAUCAUAAAUAGUCAAAGUUGGUAAGGGGUUAGUAAAUUGUUGACUAAUGUUAAAGUAAAUAAAAGAAAAACAAAAUGGCCAUCUUCUUCUUUCUUUUUCAACCAAAAAUACCAUCAAACUAAGAGCUUGGAAAGCUUGAAUUUUUCAGCCGCAAAGUCCCUUGCAUGUAAGUGAAAUUGGUGUUUGUUUUUGUUUAUUGUUAUUUUUGUGGAACCCUUGUAGCUUAAGCUAGCUAAAUAGGGACAAAUUUGCAAAAUGGUUGAAACGCUAGGGUUUUUCCAAGAAAGCAUGAUAGUUUUUUUAAAAUUUUAAUGGAAUAAAAUGAAAAUUUGGGUGUUAAACACUUUUUGUUAAGUGAUUUUUGACAUAAAAUUCAAUUAGGGGUUAAUUUGUGAAGUAUGAAGAUUUUGAGUUAUAUGUGUGAAAUUAGGGCUUAUGUGGGCUUCUAUGAGCACCUAGAUAAUUCAGUUAAGCUUUGAUGUGGAUGAAAUUGCAUAAAUUUCGUUUUACGAGCCUAGGGACUAAUUUGUAAAAAAGUUAAAAGUAUAGGGGUAAAAUGGUAAUUUUUCCCUAAUAUGAAACUGGAUUGAAUUGAAUAGAAUAAGCAUUGAAUUAGUUAAAUUUGAUUAUAUAGAUCAAGAAAAGCAACAUUUAGACAUAAAUCGAGGCAAAGAUAAAGUGGUAGAUUGAUCGAUCGAUUUAAUCCGUACAAUUACGAGGUAAGUUCGUACAAUUAAACAUUUAAUGUUUAUUUAUUUAAUUGAUGAAUGAUAUUAUGCACUUGUACAUAUCUAUUGUUGAACUUUGAAAUGGAAUUAAAUGUUCAAACAAGUAAAUCGCAGGAUUGAGUAUAAAUGUUUUAUGCAAAUGAGGAUUUUACGGAUAAGACCAUGGUUGGACCAUGGCAACAUUAGUAUGUAAGACCAUAGCCGGGCUAUGGCAUUCUGAUGAUAAGACUAUAACUGGGUUAUGGCACUACGAAUGUAAGACCAUGGUAGGGUCAUGGCAUUUCGCGUAAAAGACCAUAGUUGGACUAUGGCACAAGGAAAACAAUGUACUCAUAUCCGUAAGCCGAUCUCAGAUUCAGAAUGAUGAGGUAAAUGCAUUCAUCGAUAUUUAAAUAAUCCAAUGAGCUCAGUAAUAAUACGAGUUGAGUCGAGUUAAAGUAAAUCAGUGUAGGUAUUCGCAAGAAUUACAAAAAAUAAUUCAUAGUGGAGGUAGCUAUACAACAUUAACCUAAUUACGAUUAUGUGAUAAGCUUUGAGUCGAAUUGUAAAUUUCCUGUGUAUUAAUUUUGAUAAGUUAAAUUGUGGAUGCUUUGGAAGGUUUUUUUAAUAUUCAUACGAACUUAUUAAGCUUAAUUACUUACUCGAUUUAUGUUUCAGUGUUUUAUAGUGAAUUGGAAGCUCACUCGAUUCGGAAGUCGUCGGAGAUCGCGUCACACUAUCAAACUCUCAUUUUGGUAUUUUAAACUUUGUAUAUUUUGGGUUAAAUGGAACGUAUAAGUGUUUUGGUUAAGGUAGCCUAUAUGUUGGUUGUAUAAUUAGCUAAGUGAGUUGGCUUGAGAAUGAUAUAUGUUUUGAUAUGUAAGUAUGUAUAUAUAUGGCCUUUUGAUAUGUUAUGUAUAGUGGCUUUGUGAAUGCCUUGUUGUGGAUUGGUAUCUUGUGUAACAAAUGGUUGGAAUUGAGAUGAGCAUGUAUGCUAAGUUAGGCAUAAGGUUUAAAACAUGUAAUUGGCCAUUUAGUUAUACUUUACAAUUAUCUUUGGUAUGUUUAAAAGUGGUCAAAUGAAUGUGCUUGUGGAGAUCAUGUUGUAUGUGUGGUUUGUGUAUGGUAUAAACUUGAUAUUGGUUUGCUUAAAGUGCCUAUUUAUGCCAUGGUUGUAUGUACAUUAUUGAGUUUAGGUUGGCACCACUUUGGGUGAGGAAUAUGGCUUGGAAAAUAGCCUAUUUUUGUCCACACGGGCAGAGACACGGGCAUGUGUCUCGGCCGUGUGUCCCCUGAUACUAUUCAAAAAUCAAAGUUAAUGGCUUCACACGGUCUAGCACACUAGCGUGUGGGUUAGCCGUGUGGCACAAGUCAGUAUACCCUCCAAUUUUAGCACAGCCGAGCACAUGACCUGAAUAUGGGCGUGUAUGGCCAUUUCAUGAGGCACACGGCUUGACACACGGGAGUGUGGUUUGGCCGUGUGAGCCAAGUCAAAGAGUUGUACGGGGUCGGACAUGGGUUGGGACAUGGCCAUGUGAUCCCAUUUCGAAUGCGCAUACGGCCUGAGACACAGGUGUGUCUCUUGGCCAUGUGAGAGUCACGGUUGGGGUACACAGACGUAUGACCUCUGUACUUUGAAAAUUUUCAAUAUUUUUUCAAAACUUUCCUGGGUUAUCAGUUUAGUCCCGAAUCACUUCUAAUGCUUAUUUUGGGCCUCUAGGGCUCGUGUUAGGGACUAUAUGAUUGUAUUUGAAUGGUUUUUGUUUGGAUUGAGAAUUAAACACAAAAUGUAUGAUGGUUUGAGUUAUAAGUCCAGUAAUACUCUGUAACACUGUUUUGGCAUCGUAUACGGGUUAAGGGUGUUACAUUUAUUGGUAUCAAAGCUACGGUUUAGUUGAUUCUAGGACUAACGCAGUGUGUGUGAGUCUAGCUAUACAUGCCAUUUAUUAACCUUUGAUAUUGUGACAUCUCUUAACAGUUUAAAAUCGUGUUUUCUAAUAGUAAUGGAUCUAAAUUGAGCAAAUUUCGAUGAUGUUAAAAAUAACGCGCCAGCCACAGUUUGGGGGGUAACAUUAUUUGACUAUUUACAUGCGUCUGGGAGUCAUGGAGGAGAAGCUAAGGAAACCUUCUUCCAAAUGAUGAGCGAAUGGUACACCAAGUUUGUACGGACGAACUUGGCUAUUCAACAACCGCCACCUAUUCCCUAACAGGUUCCCGUAGCUCCUCAAGGUUUGGAACCUUUACGUAUGAGUAGACCACAUGUUGAUAAAAUUUGAAAGUACGGGGCUGAAGAGUUUAGAGCUAUAGUUGAUGAUGAUCUCGAGAGCCGAGUUUUGGCUUAAGAAUACAAUUCGAGUUUUUGAUGAUCUGUCUUGUACACCGGCAAAAUAUCUUAAAUGUGCUGUAUCAAUUCUGAGAGAUACUGCCUAUCAGUGGUGGAACACCUUGAUAUCGGUAGUACCGAGAGAAUGAGUCACGUGAGAAUUCUUUCAAGCUGAGUUUAGGAAGAAAUACAUAAGUCAAUGGUUUCUAAAUCAAAAGCAUAAAGAGUUUCUAGAAUUGAAACAAGGCCGUUUGACUGUGACAAAGUACGAAAGAGAAUUUGUAAGAUUAAGUAUGUAUGCUCGGAAGUGUGUUUCUAUUGAAGAAAUCAUGUGUAAGCGAUUCGUAGAUAGUUUGAAUGAAGACAUUAAGCUUUUAGUCAAAAUUCCAGAAUUGAAAGAGUUUGUUGUCUUGGUCGAUAGAGCUUGCAAAGCUGAAGAGCUUGGUAAAGAAAAGAAAAUAGUCGAUUCUGAGGCUAAAGAUUCAAGAAAGACGGGAAAAUCUUAUCACUCAUUGUCAAAGAAAUCAAAGGAUUUCCACAAUCGUUCAACCGCUUUAGUGGGAUAUUCUAACCUAGACCGUGGUAAACAAUACGUAGGUUCAAAAAAUGAAGCCACUUCAAUAACAAGCGUUGGUAGUGUUAAAGCCAAUAGACAAGAAUGUCAGCGAUGUGGAAGACGACAUUUUAAAGAAUGUCAAUUGAUUGACAGAGCCUGUUUUAGAUGUGGCUCGCUUGAGCAUUUCAUUCGUGACUGCCCUGAAUUAUCUGAGAAAGACAAACUUCAGACCGCUCGACCGAGCAAUACAUUUGCUAGAGGGCGACCACCCCAAAAUACUGAAAUAUGAGUGGUAGUUGAGGUACAACGAGAGACUCUACUGUAAGAUCUGAGGCAUGAGCACCAACUAAAGCUUAUGCCAUUCGCGUUCGAGAGGAUGCAUCGGCACCAGAUGUUAUCACUGGUACAUUUUCUCUUUGUAACACUGAUGUAAUUGCUUUGAUUGAUCCGGGAUCAACUCAUUCUUAUGUAUGUACAAAGUUAGUGUCUAGUAAGAGUUUACAUGUCGAGUCCACUGAAUUUAUGGUUAAAGUAUCGAACCCCUUAUGUCAGUAUGUAUUAAUUGAUAAAGUCUGCAAGAAUUGUCCUUUGAUGACUCGGGGUUACACUUUUUCGGCCGAUUUGAUGAUUUUACCGUUUGACGAGUUUGAUGCGAUAUUCGGUAUGGAUUGGCUGACAAUGCAUGAUACGAUUGUGAAUUGUAGAUGAAAGACCAUUAUAUUAAAAUGUUAGAACGGUGAUACUCUUCGUAUCGAAUCCGAUAAUUUUAAUAGUUUGCCUAUUGUGAUAUUGGCUAUGCUAGUAUAGAAAUAUGUGAGGAAGUGUUGUGAUGCUUACCUUGCGUACGUGCUCGAUAGAAAAGUGCCUGAAUCGAAGAUUGAAUCAGUACCAGUGGUUCCAGAUGUGUUUCCGGAAGAGUUACCUAGGUUACCACUGAUCAGAGAGGUCGAGUUCACUAUUGAGUUAGUACCGGGAACAUCACCAAUAUCGAUAGCUCCGUCCAGAAUGGCUUUGACCGACUUGAAAAAAUUGAAAGCUCAGUUGCAGGAGUUAACAGAUAGAGGUUUUGCACGAUCGAGUUUUUCGCCUUGGGGUGCACUGGUAUUAUUUGUAAGAAAGAAAAAUGGAUCAAUGAGAUUGUGUAUCUACUAUCGAGAGCUUAAUAAGGUUACGAUUAAGAAUAAGCAUCAUUUGUCGAGGACUGAUGAUUUGUUCAAUCAGUUGAAAGGAGUAGUAGUAUUUUCAAAGAUUGAUUUAUGAUCCGACUAUUAUCAGUUGAGGGUUAAAGACUCUGAUAUGUCGAAAACUACAUUUAGGACUUGGUAUGGACAUUAUGAAUUUCUUGUUAUGCCAUUUGGAUUAACUAAUGCUCCUGCAGUUUUUAUGGAUUUGAUGAAUAUAAUUUUUAGACCUUAUUUAGACAGAUUCAUGGUUGUAUUCAUUGAAGAUAUUCUGAUCUAUUCGCGAGAUGAGUCUGAACAUGCUGAGCACUUGAGGAUUGUGUUACAAACGUUGAAAGAUAAGCAACUAUUUGCUAAAUCUAGCAAGUGCAAGUUUUGGCUCCGAGAAGUUGGAUUUUUGGGACACAUUGUUUCGGCUGAAGGCAUUAGAGUUGAUUCGAGCAAAAUUUCAGCAAUUGUUGACUGGAAACCACGGAGAAACAUAUUCGAAGUCAGAAUCUUUCUGGGUUUAGCAGGCUAUUGUUGGAGAUUUUUUAAAGGUUUCUCUAUUAUAGCUACACCAAUGACUCGGUAAUUACAAAAAAGAUGUGAAAUUCGUGUGGUCUAAAAAAUGUCAAUAGAGUUUUGAGCAGUUGAAAACAUUGUUAACUGAGGCACCAGUUCUGGUUCAACCUAAGUCGGGUAAAGAGUUUGUGAUUUUCAGCGACGCGUCAUUGAGUGGUUUAGGUUGUGUUUUGAUGGAAGAGGGAAAAGUGAUAGCUUAUGUUUCCAAGCAAUUGAAACCGCACAAAAAGAAUUAUCUGACGUACGACUUAGAGUUGGCCGCUAUUGUUUUCGCAUUGAAAAUUUGGUGACAUCAUUUAUACAGUGAAAAGUGCCAUAUCUUUACCGACCACAAGAGUUUGAAGUAUUUAAUGACUCAGAAAUUUUUGAAUUUGUGACAACGAAGAUGGCUCGAGUUGUUGAAAGAUUAUGAAUUGGUGAUUAUCACCCGGGGAAAGCGAAUGUAGUAGCAGAUACCUUGAGUAGAAAAUCUUUAUUUGCAUUGUGAGCAAUGAAUGUGCGAUUGAGCUUGUCCAAUGAUGAUUCGAUUUUACCUGAAUUAAAAGCUAGACCGAUGUUCUUACAACAAAUUUGUGAAGAUAAAAAAUGAGAUAGCAAAUUGCAAGCUAAAAGAGUACAGUGUGAGUCGAUUUUUGAUUCAGAGUUUCAGAUCAAAUCCGUUGAUUGCUUAUUAUUCCGAGGUAGAGUUUCAGAAGUGCACAGUGGUAGCUUGUCUGUUCCAUCGGAAAGUACUAAGAUGUGUAGUGAUUUGAAACAAAUGUACUGAUGGACGGGUAUAAAAUGUGACAUUUCUGAGUUUAUGUCGAAAUGAUUGACUUGUUAGCAAGUCAAAGCUAAACACCAAGUACCUUCGGGGCUAAUAAUAAUAUCCCCAAACCGAUGGUCAGUCUGAGAGAGUGAUUCAAAUUCUCGAGGAUAUGCUUCGUUGUUGUGUUUUGGAGUUCGAAGGUAAUUGGGAAAAAUAUUUACCUUUGGUUGAAUUCACGUAUAAUAAUAGUUUUCAAUCGAGUAUUAAGAUGGCAUCGUAUGAAGCUUUGUAUGGUCGAAAAUGUCGAACUCCAUUGUAUUAGACUGAGCUUGGUGAGAAAAAGAUACACGGGGUUGACUUGAUCCGAGAAAUCGAAGAGAAGCUGAAAGUGAUUCGCGACAGCUUAAAAGCUGCUUCAGAUCAACUGAAAUCUUACGCGAAUUUGAAGCAUAAAGAUAUUGAAUUUCAGGUUGGCAAUAAAGUGUUUUUGAAAGUAUUUCCUUGGAAAAGAAUUCUUCGAUUUGGUUGCAAAGGAAAGUUGAGUCCACGAUUUAUUGGACCGUAUGAGAUUAUCAAGAGAAUUGGGCCAGUAGCUUAUCAACUUGAGUUACCGUCUAAGUUGGAAAAGAUUAAUAAUGUAUUCCAUGUAUCUAUGGUACGACAGUACUGAUUGGACCCUUCGCUUAUAAUUUCUCCAACCGAGGUUGAGAUUCAACCAAACAUAUCAUAUAUGGAAGAACCGAUCUGAAUUUUGGCAUAUAAGGUCAAUAAAUUGAGAAAUAAAAGAAUACCCUUAGUGAAAGUUCUUUUGCAUCGUCAUGGGAUUGAAGAGGCCACUUGGGAACCCGAGGAAACUUUGAGAAAAUAAUACCCUAACCUAUUUUUCGGUAAAAUUUUCGAGGACGAAAAGUCCUAAGGGGGGAGAGUUAUAACGGCCCAUUUACAGUAAAAUCGAAACAGUGGUUUUAGGACCACAAAUUUGAAAGUCCUAAGGGGGAGAGUUGUAACGGCCUAUUUACAGUGAAAUCGAAACAGUGGUUUUAGGACCACAAAUUUGGAGUCAAAAAUUUUAUUUAAUAUUUUUUAUGUGGUCUACAACAUGCUACAAGUAUGGUAUAAAAAUUUCGUUAAGAAAUUUUAACGUUUGUUUGCUCAAUUUGUGAAAAAGGACUAAAUCGCAUAAAGUGCGAAAGUUGUGUUCUAUUAGUAAAGGUAUUAAAUAGAUAUAGAAUGUUAAAUUACAGGUCCUUAUUGAGUAAUUAGACCAUUAAAGAAGGUAGUGGAUGUACAUGGGGUGAAAUCAUAAAUAGUCAAAGUUGGUAAGGCGUUAGUAAAUUGUUGACUAAUGUUAAAGUAAAUAAAAUAAAAACAAAGUGGCCAUCUUCUUCUUUCUUUUUCAACCAAAAAUACCAUCAAACUAAGAGCUUGGAAAGCUUGAAUUUUUCAGCCGCAAAGUCCCUUGCAUGUAAGUGAAAUUGGUGUUUGUUUUUGUUGAUUGUUAUGUUUUUGGAACCCUUAUAGCUUAAGCUAGCUAAAUAGGGGACUAAUUUGAAAAAUGGUUGAAACGCUAGGGCUUUUCCAAGAAAGCAUGAUAGUUUUUUUAAAAUUUUAAUGGAAUAAAAUGAAAAUUGGUUGGGUGUUAAAUACUUUUUGUUAAGUGAUUUUUGACAUAAAAUUCAAUUAGGGGUUAAUUUGUGAAGUAUGAAGAUUUUGAGUUAUAUGUGUGAAAUUAGGGCUUAUAUGGGCUUCUAUGAGCACCUAGAUAAUUCGGUUAGGCUUUGAUAUGGAUGAAAUUGCAUAAAUUUUGUUUUACGAGCCUAGGAACUAAUUUGUAAAAAAGUUAAAAGUAUAGGGGUAAAAUGGUAAUUUUUCACUAAUAUGAAAUUGGAUUGAAUUGAAUAGAAUAAGCAUUGAAUUAGUUAAAUUUGAUUAUAUAGAUCAAGAAAAGCAACAUUUAGACAUAAAUCGAGGCAAAGAUAAAGUGGUAGAUUGAUCGAUCGAUUUAAUCCGUACAAUUACGAGGUUAGUUCGUACAAUUAAACAUUUAAUGUUUAUUUAUUUAAUUGAUGAAUGAUAUUAUGCACUUGUACAUAUCUAUUGUUGAACUUUGAAAUGGAAUUAAAUGUUCAAACAGGUGCAUCGCAGGAUUUAGUACAAAUGUUUUAUGCAAAUGAGGAAUUUACGGAUAAGACUAUGGUUUGACCAUGGCAACAUUAUUAUGUAAGACCAUAGUUGGGCUAUGGCAUUCUCAUGAUAAGACCAUAACUGGGUUAUGGCACUACGAAUGUAAGACCAUGGUAGGGCCAUGGCAUUUCGCGUAAAAGACCAUAGUUGGACUAUAGCACAAGGAAAACAAUGUACUCAUAUCUGUAAGCCAAUCUCGGUUUCAGAAUAAUGAGGUAAGUGCAUUCAUCGAUAUUUAAAUAAUCCAAUGAGCUCAUUAAUAAUAUGAGGUGAUUCGAGUUAAAGUAAAUCAGUGUAGGUAUUCGCAAGAAUUACAAAAAAUAAUUCAUAGUGGAGGUAGCUAUACAACAUUAACCUAAUUACGAUUAUGUGAUAAGCUUUGAACUGAAUUGUAAAUUUUCUGUGUAUUAAUUUUGGUAAGUUAAAUUGUGGAUGCUUUGGAAGGUUUUUUUUAGUAGUCAUACAAACUUACUAUGCUUAAUUGCUUACUCGGUUUAUGUUUCAGAGUUUUAUAGUGAAUCAGAAGCUCACUUGAUUCGGAAGUCAUCGGAGAUCGCGUCACACUAUCAAACUCACAUUUUGGUAUUUUAGACUUUGUAUAUUUUGGGUUAAAUGGCACGUAUAGGUGUUUUGGUUAAGGUAGCCUAUAUGUUGGUUGUAUAAUUAGCCAAGUGAGUUGGCUUGAGAAUGAUAUAUGUUUUGAUAUGUAAGUAUGUAUAUAUAUGGCCUUUUGAUAUGUUGUGUAUAGCGGCUUUGUGGAUGCCUUGUUAAGGAUUGGUAUCUUGUGUAGCAAAUGGUUGGAAUUGAGAUGAGCAUGUAUGCUAAGUUAGGCAUAAGGUCUAAAGCAUGUAAUUGACCAUUUAGUUAUACUUUACAAAUAUCUUUGGUAUGUUUAAAAGUGGUCAAAUGAAUGUGCUUAUGGAUAUCAUGUUGUAUGUAUGGUUUGUGUAUGGUAUAAACUUGGUAUUGGUGUGCUUGAAGUGGCUAUUUAUGGCAUGGUUGUAUGUACAUUGUUGAGUUUAGGUUGGCACCACUUUGGGUGAGGAAUAUGGCUUGGAAAAUAGCCUAUUUUUGUCCACACGGGCAUGUGUCUCGGCCGUGUGUGACACAGGGCCGUGGUACACGGCCGUGUGUCCCCUAAUACUAUUCAAAAAGCAAGUUAAUGGCUUCACACGGUCUAGCACACAGCCGUGUGGGUUAGCCAUGUGGCACAAGUCAGUAUACCCUCCAGUUUUAGCACGGCCUGAACAUGGGCCUGUGUGGCCAUUUCAUGAGGAACACGGCCUGACACACGGGCGUGUGGUCUGGCCGUGUGAGCCAAGUUAGAGAGUUAGACGGGGUCGAAAACGGGCUGGGACACGGCAUGUGAUCCCAUUUCAAAUGCCCAUAUGGCUUGAGACACGGGCAUGUCUCUUGGCCUUGUGAGAGACACGACUGAGGUAUACGGGCGUGUGACUCUUGUACCUUGAAACUUUUUAAUAUUUUCUCAAAACUUUCUUGAGUUAUUGGUUUAGUCUCGAAUCACUUCUAAUGAUUGUUUUGGGCCUCUAGGGCUCGUGUUAGGGACUAUAUGAUUGUAUUUUUGAAUAGUUCUUGUUUGGAUUGAGAAUUGAACAUGAAAUGUAUGAUGGUUUGAGUUAUAAGUCUAGUAAUACUCUGUAACCCUAUUCCGGCGUCGAAUACGGGUUAAGGGUGUUAUAAGGUGUUACACGAAGUCCAUGACGAAUGCGCAAAUAGCGUCCCAUGGAGGUCAAUUGAUGAAAUAGGGCUCAUUCGACCCAUUUGAACUGGCCCAAUUCGUAGAACACGUGGAGAAGCCUAUAUACUUGAAGCAUUGGUAGUCUAGUGAAACACUUAAUGAAAAUUAGUUACCUUGGUAAAUAUGACAAGUAAUCUUAUAAGAUGUGUAAUUCGAUAAAACUUGAUUAUGUAAUAUUAAGGGAUUGUGUAAAACCUUUAAGAAUCUCAAUUUUAAGUAGGCUGUAAUCUUGAUCGUCAAUGUAAUUUAAUUUGUACCAUGGGAUUUUGGGGAGUUUAAAUAUAAAUAGAGGCCUCCCCCCUCAUUUUUAAUCACUCAAUUGUAAUUCUUCAUAGUAAUUGAAUACUAUUGAGAGCAUUUACUCAAACACUUGACGUGCUUUUUCUUUCUUGUGACUUUUCUAUUUUUUUGUUACUUUUUUGUUUUGAGUUGCUUCCACUUUAUUUUCAGUGCGUUGGAGAAUUUUAUCAAGAAUUCUCACUUUGUGAGAGAUUGGUUGACUUAGGCAAAUUUGAAGAAAAGAAAUCACCUAAGGUCGCAUAGAUUGCGAAACUAAAGUUCUAACCCCAUGAUAUAGACAAGUACCCUAAACAUCCUUCCAAAAUUUAGUGCUACACCCAUUGCCAAUUGAUGAAUGAAUGUUGCACAUAAUAUCAUCUCAAACCCUUGCAAUGGACUGCCAAACAUGAGAAGCAACUGGUUGAUUAAUACUGGCUGGACAUGUUUCCACCAUGUUAUAUUUAGAUUGCAAAAUUCGAACCCAUAAAGCUUAUUUGUUGGUCAAAAUUGUGAAGCCUAAUUUCAUUAGGAAAGAAUGGUUAUUCACAUUCAAUUUUCGAAUGCCUAAACCUCAUGCUCAUAGGGUUUUGGCAACAUGGGUUCCAAGACACAGGAGUUGGCUUCUUCGAAUCAAUACCCCCUCAAAUAAAGCUUCUAACAAUGUUCUCGAUUUCCAUACAAAUGUCUAUAGGGAUCUUAGUAAUUCGCAUGUAAUAAGAAGAGAUUGAGAAUAACACUGACUUAGCAAGCAUAACACAAUUCGGUAACGAAAUAACUCUAACAUCCCAUCCAUUAACUGCUCACGAACUUUCUCAACAAUAAAGCGGAAUGUAUCUUUGGUGACCCUUUUAUGAAAAAGUGGAAUACCCAAGUGCUUUCUCAAAUUUGAAACUCGUUGGAAGCCCAGGGUACUUCACCAUGUUUUACUAUAUGAGUUAGUGAUAGACUAAUUUCAAUUGGUAAUUUUUAGCCACUCACAUGGCUUGUUUCGAGAAAAAAGGAAAAUUUUCUGCUUAUUUUGAAGAUGCAUUUUUUUUACUAGAGUUUUUACUCAUCUUUCUAAUUUCAAGUGUAAAUUUGCACUAGCUAUUCUUUAUUUUAUGUCUAACUAUUGUAAUACAUAUAGAAUAAAUGAGUCUUUUCCUCAUGUUCUUACAUGAGAAACCAAACAAGUCAUAAAUGAUAAAUAUACUAUUUGAUACUUUAUUUUGGCUUCAAUGUUCAAUUUGGCACCUCAAUUUUUUUUGUCUCAAUUUGGUAUCUAAGUUUGGAUUUGAUUUUCACUUUAGUACGUACUUUUUUUUAAUUUCAUACUUGAGUUUUUUUUGUCAUACACCAAAAUUCCAUUAUAUGUCAAAAUUUUGGAUCCAUGAAUUUGCAUAGUUUUGAGUAGUUUGAAGGUUGGGAAUUAUUCUUAAAUAUAUAAUUAGAUUAUUAAAAUCGAUUAUAAGUAAUGUGAAUGAGUAAAGAUUAAGAUAUUUUAAUUUCAAGUUUGUUAUGUCGAAAGUUUCGAUUUCAAGAGAAUUUAGCUUAGGCCUAUGUUUUUAGAUAAUUUUGGUGAGUCCUUGGCUGAAUGUUGAUUGUGUUGUUGUGUGAAUUAUUUGGUUGAAGCUUUGGAAUCGUUAAGACCUUCUACGAGUAAAGAGAAAGGUAAGGAAAAGAUAGUUUGAGCUUUCGGCGUCUAGGUGAAAGCGUGAAUGGUGAGUGUUUGGAAUCGCUACUUGUAGACACGAUUAAUUGCGUUAAUUGGGAAUUUAGAAGUAGCCUAAACCUCUACUCUAAAUUCCGAGUGUAAGCUUUCUCAUACUAUUGAUUUAAUAUGUGAUUGUGUGUUGUGAAUUUGUGGAUUAAGAUAUGAUAUUAUAACAUGUGAAAUAAGCUUAUGAUGGUUAUUGUGAAAGAGUUGAUUGUGGGCAUGUUAUACGUGCCAAAUAACAGUGAUUAUGUUGUGUUUAUAAUGUGAAUAUGUGGUGAAAAGUGCAAAAAAUGGUAAGUAAUAUGUGUGUUUAAUAACGAAUAUUUUGGCCUUGUGAUUUUUGAGAUCGUUGGAUAUAGUUGACAUGCCAUAGGAUUGUGAGUACUCACCUAUAUAUGUUGUGUUUUGGGGGUGUUAAGGCCUGGGACAUUUUAGAAGAGAUAAGGGAAUGUGAGCUAAGCUCCAUUCACUGGGAUAUGUUGGUGUGUUGGAGAGUUUUAGCUAUAUGCUUCACUUUUGGGAUAUGUUCAACUCUACGAGUCAUUUGGUGUGUUGGAGAUCUAUGUAUCCGAUGUAUGGUGAUAGAGCCCACUUUUAUGUUUCAUAGCUCAAGUGCCAAAUUAUCAUUAAAUGUGAUUAUGUGUGAUGUGAUAUAAGCUUAAAUGAGUUUGUGACUUCUAUGUAAACGACCAUUUGAAUAAUGCAUGAUUAAGUAAUAUGACGCUAAAGUUGGAAAUGUUGUAAUUGGGCUAUAUGAAUGCUUUGUUAAUGCAUGAUGACAUGUUUGCGUAAUAGUUAUUCUGAUCAUUCACUGAGCUUGUUUAAGCUCAUCCACUCCUUUUUAAACCUUUGCAGGCUGUUAAGCAUUGCGGUGUGAGCGGUGCGAAAUAUUUUCCAAUGGACUAAUCUAAGUAGUUUAGCAUUUGAGUAGGUGAAUUAUAGUAUUAUUCUGAACUGUGGGAAUAAGGCAAUGUAGUAGACUUGUUGCUUGAAUGCUGCCAUGAUGUUUUGGGAUGAUUACUUGGACUUGCUACUCACAGAAUUUAUAGACGUUUGACAUUGGUUUAUUGGUAUUACUUAGCUUAAACUAUUGUUGAUGCUUUGAGUUGUAUUUCCGGAUCAUUUUGAUGCUAAACUUUGAGCUUAUAAAUGCAUGAUUAGUUGGUAUGUUAGAUGUUCUAGUUUGAUGUUAUUUUUGUUGAAUUAUGCAGAGGUAUCGAUAACUAGGACAUAUGUAUUGAUACCUGUGUAAUUUAGUCGGUGUCGCAACAUCUAGUGCUUGUGUCGCGAUACUGAAGACAGUAUGCUCGAUUCCUGAUUCAGCCCCAGUAGUGUGUCGCGACAUCAAAGGCAGUCUUGGUAUAUGUGUAAAGCUUUGAUGUUUGAUGUAGCUUCCUGUUACUUGGGUUUGACAAUUGGGCUGAGUACGGGAUGUUACAUUUUUUUGUCCUGGUUAAGUACCUUAAUUUGGCUUCAAUUUUCAUUUUAGUAUUUGAGCUUUUUAUGUCCCAAUUAAGUGCCUAUUUUCUUUUUUACUAGAGCACACAUGCCAAAUAUUAGUUGGGCCACAUGAUAUUUGGCUUAGGUACCAAAUUGGACAUUGAAGCCAAAUUCUAGUACCAAAUUGAAAAAAAAAACCUCAAGUGUCAAAUUAAAUAUUAAAUUCAAACUUAGGUACCAAAUGAUAUUUUAAAGCAAUAUUAAAUCCAUGACCUUAAAGUAUUUAUUAACCCAAUUACCCAAACUUCAUUGGUAUUGAACUUAAAAAAACUUAGCCUUUAACAUUUAUAUUUUAUAUUUCUUUUUGUCAAUUUGACCCUUAUUUUAUUUUUAAACUAAAUUUGACCUUCAACCUUUUAAAAAGAGUAAAAUUUGACCAUCAAUCUUUCAAAAAGAGUUGAAUUGUUUUUUUAAUGGAAAAACUGACUAAAACAUUAAAUUUUUAAACAUUGUAGAUUAUAUGGCAAUUCACGUGUACUUCAUACUAUUUUUUAAAAUUUUAUGAACUUUUUAUAUUCUUUAAUUUUAAUUUGUUUAAUAUUUUAUAAAUUUUAAAUUAUUUGUUGAUGUAACAUAUAAGAUAAAUAUUGUUAUGUUAGCAUGUAGUACACAUGGAUUGUCAUGCAGGUUGCCAUACCAAUAUUGUUACAAAAAGUUAAUGUUUUAGUCAAUAUUUUUGUUAAAAAAAGUGAGUUAACUCUUUUUGAAAUAUUAAUGACCAAAUUUAGCUAAAAAAUAAGACUAAAAUUAAUAAAAUAUAUAAACAUUGAGAAUUAAAUUUAGGCAUAAUAAUUUUUUGGGCCUUCCAACUUUACAAAAGAAGUCAUUGUAGCUCUUCAUUUAUUUUUCGUCUUUUUUAACACUUGAACUUGCGGUUUUUUUUUUUGUCAAGUCACCCAAAAAUGAAUGGAAAUGUUAACAUUUAUUUAACAUUGUUGACAUUGCAUAUAUGUGGAUUACCAAGUGGAUAACACAUUAACAUUUAAUUAUUUUUUAAAAUUUUUAAAAAUAUUUUUAAAAAAUUAUAAUUUUUAAUAAGUUUUAUGAUUUUAAAUUUAUGAGGUGAUAUAGAAAGAAACCUACCUCAUUUGGACUUUCACUUUGUAUGCAAAAUCUUGGCCAAGUCGCCGUACAUAAGUUUAACAGUAGGUUAAAAUAACGAUCUUGGAAGAAUAGUAACUUGUUGUCAUUAAGGCAUAUCUUGAAAUUUUAUGGAUAUUAUUAAGAUUUCAAUAAAGUAGGCAAAACAGUACAAUAUGACACAUAGUUUAGAGUCGUCCAAAGGAAAUUCUACAGAGCUUAGGGAUAUUUUAGGAAGAUAUGGGAAUGAUAGGCUUUUAAGUUGUUAGUUUAGUUAGUGUUUUUCAACAUUAUAUUUCUAUUUUGGUGAAUUACAAGAAGAGAGUAAAGUCCUAAUAGCAACGCGACUAACACGAUUCAAACCCAGACCAUACCUGCGGCAGUAAACACUUUGAUCAUCAAGUCAACACAUUAGGUUCUCAACAUUGCAUCUUUACAUUUUGUAUUAGAGUUAACAAACUGGUUGAAAAAAUGUCCCUAAAAGUAUAUCAAAUGCCAACACUAUAAUUAGUAAAUUAGAUAAAAAAAUUUCUAUAGCAAGAACUAUAAAAAUUUAUAUUUAUCUACUGUGAGAUAGAAAAAAAAAAGCAAGAAUCACCAUUUCCAUUUUUUAAAAUAAUUUUUACCAUGUUCUAAUAAUUUCUUUUAUUUUUUAUAUUUUAAAAGAAUUAUGCCUACAAAUUAUAAUGAAACAUGGAUAAAAAGAUGUCCAUAUUUAAAUAAAUUUAGAUGUCUAUUUAUCUAUAUUCAUUUUCAAUUUGAAUUUUUAAUAUUUUUUUUUGUUAAAUUGAACUGCUAUGUCAAUAUCAUGAUGGUUGAUUAACAACCAUAUUAAUGUGGUAAUAAUUAAUGGUGAGAUUAAUUAGUCAACACGCCUAAUGAAGAUAAUUAAUAUUUUUUUAGAGAAAAUUUCAACUUGUAGGACCAUUUACCUUUAUUUUUUUCUUGGGGUGGUUGAUUAUCUUUUCUUCUUUUGUUGCUUUGACUUGUAUAAAUUUUCGGGUAAUAUACAAAUAAAAGCCCUUUUUUUUAAAAUUUACUAAAAUAGGUCAGGUAAAAAAUUAAUUACUGGAAUUACUCUAUUUCCCCGAAAACGCGUCCACGUCAACGCGUUGUCAGGGUUUUGGGUUUUGGGUUUAGGGUUUGGGUUUUUGGGUUUUUAGGUUUAGGUUUUUAAAGAAAAAAUUAAAUAAAUAAGGGAUUAGGGUUUAGGGUUUCUUAAUUAAAUUAAUUAUAAAUUUUUCAAAAUUAGAUUAGGGUUUCGCGUUUAUGGUUUUUAAAGAAAAAUCAAUUAAAUUAGGGUUUAGGGUUACUUGAGUAAAUUAAUUAAAAAAAUUUUAAAAAUUAGAUUAAGGUUUAGUGUUAAGGGUUUUUAAGGAAAAAUCAAAUAAGUUAGGGUUUAGGGUUAUUUAAGUAAAUUAAUUAUAAAUUUUAAAAAAAUUAGAUUAGGGUUUAGUGUUUAAGGUUUUUAAGGAAAAACUCAAAUAAAUUAGGGUUUGGGGUUUAGGAUUACUUAAUUAAAUUAUUUGUUAAUUGAGAAAAGCUCCCACGUGGACGCUCUUUUGCUACAGUAGCUCCUGAAAAAAUAAAUUCGAGGAGACGUUUCUGAGCAAAUAGUGUCAAAAACGCUUUAAGCAGGAUGCAUUGUCAGCAAAAGUAUUGAAAAAAGCUCCCACGUGGACGCGCUUUUACUACAGUAGCUCCUGAAAAAAUAAUUUCGAGUAGACGUUUCUGAGUAAAUAGUGUCAAAAACGCUUUAAGUAGGAUGCUUUGUCAGCAAAAGUAUUGAAAGAAGCUCCCCCGUGGACGAGCUUUUGCUACAGUAGCUCCUGUUUGGCCUGAGGCUAUAAAUGAGGCAAAAUUUUUUCUCAGAUUGCAUAAGUUACAGCAAAAAAAAUUAGAGAGCCUAAGAAGGAUAGAAAUUGAAGAUGAGUGAAUGUAUUAGUGUUGUUAUUUACUAUGAUGGUGAGGUUCGUCACACUGAGAACGGUGUUAUUUUUUUAUCGGAGAAUACAGUGCGACUGGUUUUUAACCAGAACAUAGAUUUGAUAGAACUUCAUAAAAGAAUUAGGCGUAAAAUAUUAGAAACGACGUCAAUGAAAGUUUUAUCUAUUACGUAUCGGUUUUGUUCUUCUGUUGAUCCGGUGACAUAUGACUCGUUCGACAUAAAAUGUGCUCGUAGCUUGGAGGCAAUGGUAUAGACACAUCUCGCUAGUGGAGCACACUAUAUUGAGUUAUAUGUACAAUUUACAUCGCCAAAUGAUGCACUUGCGACUGCUGUUCGAGAGGUAUACACGACUCCUGCCUGACACUCGGUUAGUGGGUUACAAAACACGAAACAACCCAUGUUUGGCAGCGGUAUGGUAUACACAACCCUUGUUUGACACCCUGUUAGUGGAUAGGACAUGCACCACGGUAGGUCGAUGUUUGAUGCUGGAAAUACGUACUGGGGAACGGCAUCAACUUCUAGUGGUUGGCAAUCUACAUUCAAUUGGGGACGUUAUGAAAUGCCCAGAAGAAUGGAUAAUAUACUCCCUACGAUGUCCACCGGUGAGGAGACCUCGUACGUUGCAGAUGAUGGUGGGUUAGAAGAUGACUCCAAUGUGGAUCCACCUCAAGAGCCCGGGGUUUGCGAUCGAGACAACUUAUGGUUUCGCGUGACAGAGUUUGACAGACCGCACCAAGGUGUUAUUGGCAGGCAAUAUCGUGUACACUUGCGAAAUAGGACUUGCGACUGUGGGAUGUUUGACGCACUUCGUUAUCCAUGCGCUCAUGUAAUUGUAGCUUGUCAUAAUCUCCGUCUGAAUUCGAUAAGUUAUGUCGACGAAGUGUACAAAUUAGAAAACAUGUACAACGUCUGGAGACACGUAUUCCAACUGAUCCCAGAUGAACGUAAGUGGCUGUCUGUAUUGCUUGCUCCCUUUAAGCUGUUACCGGAUAGAGAAUUGCGUCGCAAACCAAAGGGUCGAUCUUGCUCGACAAGAAUACGUAACAAUAUGGAUAUUCGAGAAACAGCCAGUCAACAGACGUUGUGCGGAUGGUGUAGGAACCUAGGCCAUUCAUGCCGAUCAUGCCCAAAUCACAAUAGUUGAACGUUAUUGUAAAAAACUUUGUAUUAUUUAUAUUUUUUAAAUCAAAUAAUAUAGAAAUAUUCAGAAUACUGACUUAUUUAAAAGAAAAUCUAUUUUAUUAAAAAUAAUAAAGUAAAUUACAAAUACUUUAUUCAAAACAAUGUUUUAUUUUAUUAAAUGAAAUAAUAUAGAAAUAUUCAAAAUAUUGUGUUAUUUAAAAGAAUUUCUAUUAUAUUAAAAAUGUAAAUGUAAAUUUCUAUUUUAUUACAUGAAAUAAUAUAGAAGAAUUUCUAUUUUAUUACAUCAAAUAAUAUCAAAAUAUUCAAAAUAUUUGUACAAAUAUAUUAAAAUAAAAAUCAAUCUCCGUGCCCACCGAAUUCAGUGCCACAUGGUGGCCAUCGAUGGUUACGCGCUGGAUUCCUCAUUUGUCUAGCUUCCGGUGGGGGUUAUGGUUGUUCCCACGGGGAUUCUGGUUCCUCCGGUAGGGGAUAUGGUUGUCGGUGUUGGGAUGAUGAGCCACCUUGAGAGAAUAGUGAUUGUGGAGGUGUUUGCAUCACCAACGGCAAAGCUGUUUGAAACCCAUAUGGUGAUGGGGAUUGGUAAAAAGAAGAGCUCCCCGACGGCCCCUCCUACGAUCCCUCGUGCGACGGUGGCCUAUACAUCGGUGGCCCACUCGGCGUAAUCGAAAAUGGAGAUGAACCGGACCAUGAACUUUAACCUGUCAUAGGACUAAAAAAAGGAAACAUAUAAGGGUUAGGAUAAAUAAAAGGGCUAGGAUACGCACCUGGCAUCAUCUGAAAAGGUUGUGCUGUGGGUGUCGUCAGUUGAAGUGUUAGGCUGGUGACUGUGUGGAUGCUGUUGCUGGGCCUGGUGAUGGGCCGUGUGAUUGUGAUAGACCUACGUCGUCAUCCCUUCUUCUUGGAUUUAAAGGGCCACGUCGUUCCCUUUGAACACGUAAUUUCUGCUGCCUUUCCUCUGUCGACAGUAAAUACGGCUUGCCAUGGAUUCUAAACCAUUGCAUGUAUUCUGGCACGCACGCUAACUCUAGAAGGAUGAUCGGUUCUCAAGUAGGUAUAUAAUCAUAUUGAUCUUCCUAUAUUUGGAUGUAGUGUGACCAGAAUCUCGGUCAAACCGUAUGCAAUUGCCAUAGGUCGAUUUUGUGAUGAUCAUCCAACACCUCAGGUGCCACGGGAAUCGGUUGUCAUAAUCCAAAUUGUUGUAAUACUCUGUCCGACUGGUGUAUCUCCACGGUCGCAAAGUUGACCAAUGAGACUUUUACAUACCAAGCGUUUGGAUUUUGGAAAUACUCAUUCGGAAUUACAGCUCGAAUUGCCGGAUCCUUGUAUGGUGUCCAUUGGAACUAUAUGAACAUGAUGGAAAUAUUAGUUAUAUACAUAAUACUAAAUACUAAAUACCAAAUACCAAUCGACUAUCUCAUGAUGGAAAUAUCUAUUUGAUUUAAUACUUACUUGUGCUUCCGACAGUUGGUCUAAUAGAAGCCGUAUAUCUUCAAGAAAGGUAGGUAAUCCAACAUAACUUGCCGAAUAGUUCCACCUAAUUAAAUAAAUUUUUAGCAUACGAUUAUAUUUUAAAUCUACGUAAUAAUUGUAAAAUAUAAUAUAAAAUUUACCUCGUUAUGAGUGCGAAUGUAUAUUGGUGGUCCACUUGAGGACGUAAAAGUGGAAAGCGAAACCGUGCCCAUGACUGCAGUAGUGAUAGGCAACCUCCAAUUUUCAUUUUAUUCGGUCGCGUCACCCCGCACAUCUUCCGGUACAAUGUUGCCUACAUGGUAGACCCCCGACUAAAUUCAACAGCUGCUCUAAAAUCAACGAGUUUUAGCAGCCAUCUCAGAUGUACAAGGCUCCGUGACAAGUCCGGUAUCAGAUAACCUCCAAUUAUCUGAGGAAUGUUUGCCCGAGCAUAUCAGAUUCUUUCUAGUUCGGUAGAAUUAUCAUUCGGCUCCGGAAAUGUGUCUCGUAGCCUGCCCAUCUCAAUCCGACCUCUGUUAAUAUUAUCCGGAAUAGCACCCAAAAGCUCGUAGCAUACCGCUCCCCAAUCACCAGAUUGAACAGACCCAGUGACUGCGUACCUGUCCACCGGCAAUCCCAAUUGCAAAUUUACGUCUUCCAAAGUAAUAGUACACUCUCCACAUGGAAGAUUGAAUGUGUGCAUCUCGGGUCUCUACCUCUCAAUCAACGCACUGAUAAGUUUUGGGUCCAACUUGCAUCCCUAGUCUACCGUCGCCACGUGCCAAAAACCUGCUUCCCAUAGGUAAUUCUCUACCAACGGUGAUGGAGGACCAUGCAUAUUACGAAUAUAGCAUUGCAAUAUCCGAUCUAUAGACUUUUAUAAGAAAUAAUAAAAUAAAAAUUAUUUAAAAUUGCAUAAAUCAAAAAAAUCUUAAAUAAUUUUUAAAAAUUAAAUUUAACACUUACCAUUUUCAUUUGUUCAACGGAUAUGUGAUUGUUAUCGAGACGAAUUAAUUUUCUGGCCAUUGCUAACACGAUCAAAUUUUUAUGAUUUAAAAAAAAUCAAAAAAAAUAAAACUAAAUAUUUUUUAAAAAUAAUUAAAAAAUUAAAGUUUUUUUUAGAGGAAUUUGAGAGAAUAUUGGAGAGAAAUUGAGAGAAAGGAUUUAGGUGUGAAAAAAAUAGAAGGGGGUUUUAUAGUUUUUUUUACCGUUGGGGGGUCACCAACAGUCAAAAAGUAGCCGUUGGUAUUGAUCACGCGCGGGCAAGGACGCGCUUUCUGUCCACGUGGACAAAGCGCUUCCUUGAGGAAGUGUUUUCCUGCCUCGUCACCUGACAACGCGCUAACGUAGAUGCGUUUUCGGGGUUAUUUCGGUAAUUAAUUUUUUACCGGGCCCAUUUUAGUAAUUUUUUAAAACAUGGGCUGUUAUUAGUAUUUUGCCUUAAAUUUUCAUUUGUUAUCAUAAAAUUAGUGUUAUAAUUAUUUUGUCACUGUCAAACAUAGAAUGGCGGUCUCUUUUUUCUCUUUUACUAUGUGCAAUUGGGGCAAAUUACCAAUAAAAGUCCCUUUAUUUUUAAAAUUACCGAAAUGGGCCAGGUCCUGAAUUAAUUAUCGAAAUGGGCCAUUUCCCCCAAGAAUGUGUCCACGUCAGCGCGUUGUCAGGGGAUAAAGCAGGAAAACACUUCCUCAAGGAAGCGCUUUGUCCAUGUGGACAGAAAACGCGUCCACAUGGAUAGAAAACGCGUCCUUUAGGGCGCGCUUUGUGUCCACGUGGACAAAGCACUUCCUUAAGGAAGCGUUUUCCUCGUGUCUGCUACAGUACCAACGGCUAUUUUUUUUACCAUUGGUAAUCCUCCGAUGGUAAAAAAAAAAAACUAUAAAACCCCCCUUUCUUUUUUUUUUCACACUUAAAUCAUUUCCAUCUUCAAUCUUUCAAUAUUCUCCCAAAUUUCUCUCAAAUUUCUCUCAAAUUCCUCUCAAAGCUCUGUUUAAUUUUUUUUUAAAAGCUCUAAUUUUAUUUUUUUGGAUUUAUUUUUUUAAAUAAAAAAACUUGAUCGUGUUAGCAAUGGCCGGAGAAUUAAUCGUCUCGAUGAUAAACACAUAUCCGUCGAACAAAUGAAAAUGGUAAGUGCUAAAUUUAAUUUUUAAAUAUUAUUUAAGAUUUUUUUCAUUUAUGCAAUUUUAAAUAAUUUUUAUUUUAUUAUUUCUUAUAAAAGUUUGUAGAUCGGAUAUUGCAAUGCUAUAUCCGUAAUAUGCCUGGUCCUCCAUCACCGUUGAUAGAGAAUUACCUGCGGGAAGCGGGUUUUUGGCACGUGGCGACGAUAGGCCAAGGGUGCAAGUUGGACCCAAAACUCAUUAGUGCAUUGAUAAAGAGGUGGAGACCGAGACGCACACAUUCCAUCUUCCAUGUGGAGAGUGUACUAUCACGUUAGAAGACGUAAAUUUGCAAUUAGGAUUGCAGGUGGACGGGUACGCAGUCACCGGGUCUGUUCAAUCUGGUGAUUGGGGAACGGUAUGCUACGAGUUUUGGGUGCUAUUCUGGAUAAUGUUAACGGAGGUCGGAUCGAGAUAGGUAGGUUACGAGACACAUUCCUGGAGCUGAAUGAUGGUUCUACCGAACUAGAAAGAAUAUGAUAUGCUUAGGCAUAUAUUCUUGAGAUAAUUGGAGUUUAUAUGGUGCCGGACUUGUCACGAAACCUUGUACAUCUGAGAUGGCUGCUGAAACUCGUUGAUUUUAGAACAGCUGGUGAAUUUAGUUGGGGUCUGUCGUGUUGGCAACAUUGUACCGAGAGAUGUACGGGGUGACGUGACCAAAUAAAGAGAAAAUCGGAGGUUGCCUAUCACUACUGCAAUCAUGGACACGGUUUCACUUUCUAUUUUUACGUCUUCGAGUGGUCCACCCUAUACAUUCCCACUCAUAACGAGGUAAAUUUUAUAUUAGAUUUUACAAUUAUUACGUAUAUUUAAAAUAUAAUCAUAUGCUAAAAAUUUAUCUAAUUAGGUGGAACCAUUCGGCAAGUUAUGUUUGAUUACCUACCUCUCUUGAAGAUAUACGGCUUCUAUUAGACCAAUGGUCGGAAGCAGAAGUAAGUAUUAAAUAAAAUACAUAUACAUAAUGAGAUAAUCAAUUCGUAUUUAGUAUUUAGUAUUUAGUAUUUAGUAUUAUGUAUAUAACUAAUAUUUCCAUCAUGUUCAUAUAGUUUCAAUGGACACCAUACGAGGAUCCGGCAAUUCAGGUAGUAAUUUUGGAUGAAUACUUGCAAAAUCCGAACGCUUGGCUUGUGAAUGUCUCAUUGGUCAACUUUGUGGUCGUGAAGAUGCACCAGUCAGACAGAGUACUACGAUAAUUUGGAUUUUGACAACCGAUUCCUGCGGCACCUGAGGUGUUGGAUGAUCAUCACAGAAUCGACUUAUGACAAUUGCAUGCAGAUUGGCCGUGUAACAGCCCGAUUCUGGGCCUAGUCGGAACAGUGGUUUCGGGACCACAAAUCCAACGAGGGAAAACAUUAUUGUCAUUAUAUUUUUAUGGUCUACAAUUUCAUAGAAAAACUUUGUAAAAAUUUCGUUCGAAAAUUUCGACGUUUGGGCACUCAAUUUAGUCAAAAGGACUGAAUUGUAAAAAGUGCAAAAGUUGAUUUCUACAUGUUAGAAGUGUCUAAUUGUUAUGAAAUUAUAAAUUGGGGGUCCUUAUAUGGUAUUUAGACCAUUAGUUAAUUGAUGGACAAAAAUAGACAUAAGAAAUGGGUGAAAUAGAUUUUUUUAAAUGGAGGCAUUUUAGUCAUUUGGUAAUAAAAAGAAUAAAAAGGGAAAAAGAUGGCAAAAAAUCAUCAUCUUCUCCAUAAGUUGCUACCGAAACUUGGAAGACACCAUAGCUAGGGUUUCUUCACUUUCUCAAGCUCAUAGUAAGUGCAUCCUAGCCCCGUUUUUAAUGUUCUUCUCAUUUUUGAUAUCCUCGUAGCUCGGUUUAGCUUAUUCUACCAUUAAUUCAUGUUAGGGUGCAUAUUUGGAAAAAUACCCAUAGGUGAAAUAUGUUUAUUUUACUGUUUUAUGGUAGAAUAUGGAGCUACAAAUUAUGUUAAACAACUUUUGCUAAGCGAUUUUAAGUAAAAACGGGUAAAUUGACAUANNNNNNNNNNNNNNNNNNNNNNNNNNNNNNNNNNNNNNNNNNNNNNNNNNNNNNNNNNNNNNNNNNNNNNNNNNNNNNNNNNGUAAAACAUAAGAAUAAGGUGUGAAAUUUAAUUUUCGAGCCUAGGGAUGAAAAUGGAAAUAUGCAAAAUUUUGGGGGUAAAAUUGUAAUUUUUCAAAAAGUUGAGUGGAGGACUAUUUUAAUAAAUGUGAACAUUAAAUGAGUUAAAUUUUUUAUUAUAGAUCAAGAAAUACGAGAAGAUAAUCUCAAACGGGGAAAAGAGAAGGUUGUGGAGUAAAUUGCAAAAUUACGAUAUUUUGCACCGAGGUAAGUAAACAUGUGAAUUAAUGUAUUAUUUUGUUAUGAUUUAAUAUAUGUUGAGAUUUAAUUGAACAUAGAAUAAAUAUUUGGCAUAGAUCCUAAAAAUGUGGUUAAGUUGGGAAAGGUGGCAAAGUAUUGAAAAACGAGGUUUCCGGUUGAACACUCGGAUUAAGCCGGAGUAUAUUGAAUAUAAAGGGGGUUGCUGAGUGCUGAUUCCCCCAAGGGGUUGCUAAGUGCUGAUUCCCCGAACCAUUGGUGGUUGUUAAGUGCUGAUCCCACCGUAUCUUAAAUGUGAAAGGGGUUGCUAUGUGCUGAUUCCCCGAAUCAUUGGUGGUUGCUAAGUGCUGAUCCCACCGUAUCUUAAAUGUGAAAGGGGUUGCUAAGUGUUGAUUCCCCGAUUCAUUGGUGGUUGCUAAGUGCUGAUUCCACCGUAUUUUUGAAUGUGAAAGGGGUUGCUAAGUGCUGAUUCCCCGAAUCACUGGUGGUUGCUAAGUGCUGAAUCCAUCGAUAACGGAUAACAUUCCGAGUGUUCAAUGGGAAACUGGAAAGGUGAAUAUUUAUAUAUGGUGGACAAGGUUAUGUGAGGAAUAUUGGGUUUGAUACUUAAUCAACCCAUGUGUAAGGUGAAAGGAAAUACCAAAACUUCAAAAGAACAAAUUUAAAUAUAAAACUGUUUUGUAUAAUAACAGUUGGGCAAAUUUGAAAAAUCACCAUAAAUGGUGGAAAAAAAAUUAGAGGCUGGAUAAUAUAUGAAAUUGAAUCUGAAUAAGUCUAUUUUUGUAUGAAAGAAACAUAGCAAGCAAAAGAGUUCUGUAUUUGGGGAUAUUUAAAUUUUAUUGAGACAGGAUUAGAUUGAUUUCGAAAUCCCCUGUUUCAACUUCGGAAAAUCACCAAAAAUUGUAAAAAACUUAUUAUGGCUUGAAAUUUACAUGCUUGAACUCCUUGGUGAUUCUUUUUUUAAUAGAAACAAACAAGAACAUUGUUUGAAUUUUUUACAGAUAGUUAAGUGAAUUUUAGUAAGGAGAGGUCAGAAUUGUUAGGCACUGAAAUAAGGUAAUAUUUAGAGAAUAAACUGUACUAAUUGGAUAAACUAAAAAUUCUAAAAAUUUUAUGGUGGAAAGAUAUAUGAGUCUAGUUUUGGGGAAAAUUUACGGAAUUCAAUUUGGAGCCUUGUAACUCCAGAUAAAAAUAAAUUAGUGACCAUGACGCAGAAAAACAGUUUGCUUGAAAUUGAACAAACAAUGAAAUUUAUGUGUGAUAAAAAUUAUGUCACUAUGUAAUCUUGUGAGAAAUUUAUUUAUUUGUCAUAUGUUUACUUACUAAGCUAUAUGCUUACUCAUCUUUAUUUUUCCCCUGAUUAUAGUGACAUCAGCCAGCUCGGAAUUUGAACGAAGUUUAAAAUCAUCCACACUGUCAUCAACUUUUUGAGGUAUUUUGGCAAUCAACACUUUUGAAACAUGGCAUGUAUAGAUGACUUUAUGUAUUGUGGUAUAAAUAUGUAUAUAUAGUAAUGUUCGGUUCAAUAUGUUGGUGUUUAUUAAUGGAUAAAUUAUGUCUGAUUAUAUAAUUGUAAUUGGUUGGAAAUAUUGAAGUUAUUUGAAGUUGUCUUUGGAAAUUUACAGGGGGUUUUAUGUAAAAAUAAGCAGAAAUGCUGCCGAAAUUUUUAUAAAAAAAAUUUAUAAGUAUUUGAGUUCUAGUAAUACUUCAUACUCUGUUUUGGUAAGGAACAUGGGUAAGGGGUGUUACAGGCCGAGAUUCUGGUCACACUAUAUCCAAAUGUGGGAAGAUCAGUAUGAUUAUAUACCUACUGGAAUACAUGUCAUAGUAUAGGAUCCAUGGCAAGCCAUAUUUACUGUCGGAAGAGGAGAGGCGGCGACAAUUGCGUGUCCAAAGGGAACGACGUGGCCCUUUAAAUCCAAGAAUCCAGCGCGUAACCGUUGAUGACCUCCAUGUGGCACUGAAUUCGGUGGGCACGAACAUUGAUUUUUAUUUUAAUAUAUUUGUACAAACAUUUUAAAUAUUUUUAUUUUAUUUCAUGUAAUAAAAUAAAAGGUUGUUUUGAAUAAAGUAAUUGUAAUUUACUUUUAUAUUUUUAAUAAAAUAGAAAUUCUUUUAAAUAAGGCAAUAUUUUGAAUAUUUUUAUAUUAUUUCAUUUAAUAAAAUAUAAAUAAUACAACAUAGUUUUUUACAACAACUAUCAACUAUUGCGAUUUGGACAUGAUCUACUUGUAUAGUCUGGGUUCCUACACCAUCCGCACAAGUUUUGUUGAUUGGUUGUUUCUCGGAUAUCCAUAUUGUUACGUAUUCUAGUCGAGCAAGGUCGACCCUUUGGUUUGCGAUGCAAUUCUCUAUCCGAUAACAACUUAAAGGGAGCAAACGAUACAGACGGCCACUUACGUUCAUCUGAGACUGGUGGGAAUACGUGUCUCUAGAUGUUAUACAUGUAUUCUAAUUUGUACACUUCGUCGACAUAGCUCAUGGGAUCCAGACGGAGAUUCUGACAAAUUGCAAUUACAUGAGCGCAUGGAUAAUGAAGUGCGUCAAACAUCCCAUAGUCGCAAGUCCUAUUUUUCAAGUGUACACGAUAUUGCCCGCUAGUAAUACCUUGGUGCGGUCUGUCAAACUCCGUCAAACGAAACCAUAAGUUGUCUCGAUCGUGACACACUGUGUGCAUGGUGUUCACUCGCGCAUUCGCCUUGUUAAUUUCUUGCAAUCCCUUCCUGCACCAUACAUGGGCUCCCUGUAUUUGGCUUGCAUAACUCGCUGCUCGCUUUGGAAAUAGCACUGCUAAACGAAAAUAUAUCUCUCGCACAAUCGAUGUUAUCGGUAAAUGACCCAUUUUUUUUAGAACAUAAUUUAUGCAUUCAGCUAGGAUUGAGGUCAUAUGACCAUAUUGUAGGCCGCUGUCGUAUGCUUGUUUCCAUUGUUCGAAAGGUAUGUUACAGAGGUAGUCUGCGCCUUCGUCGUUAACUGAACGCAAAAUUGCCAACAUCUCAUGAAAACGGUUUUUACUUAUUUCAUACCCUGCCAAUAUAAAUUUAUAGCGAAUAUUACAUACCACUCUUUCAUUUAGAAUAAAUUCAAAAUGACAAAAGAUAAUUAUAUUAAUAGAGACUAAAUACCCAUGUUGGUCACUUGUCGUUAUUCACUUUUAGAUGGAUAUUGCCUAUAGUAGUUGGAAGCAACGUGCCUUAGGCAAUACCGAUGGUGUGUGCGCUGCCAUAGGCUUUCCUGUCGCUCAAUAGCAGCUAGUAUUUCGGUGCCCCGAUCUGAAAUAACACAGAUAUCAGGUUGGGGGCACACAUGUCUCCUUAACCUAGAUAGAAAAAAAUUCUAGUCAUCAGCUGACUCUCCCGGUGUUAUUGCAAACGCAAUUGGAAGAAUUCUCCUACUACCAUCCUGUUCCACUGCUAGCAAUAGUCGAUGGGUAUAUCUACCAAACAUAAAGGUACUGUCAAUUUGUACCAAUGGCUUGUACUAUAGAAUUACGUCUCGGCAUUGCUUAAAGGUCCAUAACAGACGUUUGAACACUUGGCAUCAAUAGAACAAUCAGUCGUUGUAGUACGCACGUUUCGUUUCAAGGUCUGUUAUGCAACCUGGGACGUAUCUCUCUAGCACUUGACACCACUGCCAUAUUUCAUUAUAUGAAGCGUCCCACCCACUAUGCAUCUUCUCCAACGCCUUCUGCUUAACUAUCCAAGCCUUGAGGUAAGAGGGCGUGUACCCCAUUUGGCUACGAAUAUUGGCAAUUAAGACCGACACUGAAGUCCUAGGAUCUGCCUUCAUCGUGGGUAGUAUUAAGCUAGCUAACAUAGCUGAAUCCAUCUUGGGAUGAUCUUGUGAAAUACCUGUCAACGAAGUACAUUAAAUAAUACAAUAUUACAUAAUAACAGUAUUAUUCAAAAACCCUAAAUACUAUACCUGUAGCACAUAUAUGUAGACCUUUGUACUUUUUUAUCUCCCACAAACUUGUCCUUUUCCUCAACGAGGCAUAGAUUUUCCAUGAACAUGUACCAUCUUACACUACACACUUCACCUCAAACUUAUCAGAUUUGGAUUUAACCACGUGGUAGUUAACGCCAUUAUUGAUGAUAUGUUGUUUCAAUGCACCAAGAAAACUAUACUUAUUGGAAAACUCCUAACCAACUUCAAAUUCACCCGAAUCCAAUAAUGAACUUGUACGAUCACGCAUUUUGUGUUGUAGAUCUGGAAACUCCAACGCAUCAUCUGCAGAUAGAUCGACAUUAUGCAUGUGGGCUGGAGGCGAGUAUGCCCUGAAUCGUGGAUCUUCUUCUUCAUCUAAACACCUUUCAACAUCUUCAGGUUCGGUUGGAAUAUGCUCCGGUUCAAAAAAUAAUACAACUUCUGCACUAUCAGGGCUAGGCUCUCGAGGUGGAUCUACAUCAGACUCAUCUUCUAACCCACCAUCAUCUGCAACGUACGAGGUCCCUCACCGGUGGACGUCGUAGGGAAUACAUCAUCCCUUUUUCUAGGCAUUUCAUAACAUCCCCAAUUGUUUGUAGAUUGCCAACAACUAGAAGUUGAUGCCGUUCCCUAGUACGUAUUUCCAGCAUCAAACAUCAAAAAUCGAUACCUAGUGUCGAAACCAUUUUUUUUUGUAAAAAAGGGUCUACUUUUAUCUUGAAAAUGAAAACGAAAAAAGGGGAGUCGCCACCAAUCCUUUUUAUUUAGGUGUGAUCGGAUCACCUCAUAAUUUAACCAUUUUAAUAAAAGUUUAAAUUUACUAAAACGAUAAUUUUUGGUCUACAAAAUUCAUAAGACGGGUUCGGGAGUCGAUUACGCAUGACGAAGGAUUAGCACCCUCGAUACGCCCAAAAUUGGUACCUAGUUGAUUACUUAAUGUCUUAAUGUCGAAAGUUAAAAUUUUGAAAAAGAUUUUAAAAUAUGAUUCCUUUUUUUAAUGAUGUUAAUUUUAAAAACGCUUGAAUUAAAUCGAAACGAAUGUCAAAGACCUCUCGUCUCGAGAUAAUAAAUGUCACAUCCUGUAAGUUAGGACACGACACUUGGAACCCUCGAGAAUAAGCUAGCCUUUAACUUUUAUUGGAAUUUCGUAAACUUUGAAAAUUAGAAGGAUAUUUUUCUAUUUAGGUUCAACAAGAAAAUUAAAACCCCGUAAGUUAGGGUAUAAUUUCUCAAAUCUCCAAAACACGAAAUAUUGCCUUAUUUUAAAACUUUUCCUUUUUUGAGUAAUUGCAAGUACAAUACUUGAACGAGGUGCAUUUGUUUUAUUUGUGACAAAAUAGAACGGUUUAUUAUGGUAUUUACAAAUCGAACGAAACUUUUUAAAUGAUGCAAUGAAAUGGAACGAUAACAUAGAACAUAAAAUAACAAUUUGUGAAUAAAAUGUUACGCUAAUGAGUGGCAAUAAUAUGAGAAUAAAUAAACAAGUUAUGGUACACAUAAUGAUAAUAACCACACAACAUGCAUCAUUUUAAAAAUACCAAUAUUAAUAAUCAAAGUAAACGAAGCAAAAUAAUAUAGAAAACAAUUUCACGUAAAUAAUAGUCUAAAUAAAUAAUUUACGAGAACAAUAAAUGAUAAAAGAUUUCUAAUAAAUGAUAUAUAAAAACUUAGAAUGAAUAAUAAUACAAUAGUUUAAAGUAAAUAAUCAAGAAAAGAAAAAAAAUAUAAAACAAUUUUCCUUAAAACAAAUAAAUAAUAGUUUAAAAUAAAUAAUAUAAUAAAAACAUAUAUAAUAGUUUAAAAUAAAUAAUAUAAUAAAAACUUUUAAACAAAUAUUAAGUAAAACAGUUUAGAAUAAAUGAUAAAUAAAACCUUAAAACAAAUAAUAGUAAAAGAGUUUUUUUAAAUAAAAUAAACAAAUAAAUUAAAUAUACUAAGGAUGAUACUGAAAUCGAUCCAGAAUUUGGGGUUCAAAUUGAAAAUAAAUAAAAAAAAUGGGCUACUAGGGACUGAAAUAGAGCGCGCUUAAGGAAUGAAAGAUCGACCGGGCAAUAUUUCCAGCCCUCAUGCGCAGUAUUUCAGCGCGGACUAAAAUCAAACAAACUGAAAAUUAUGCAGCUAAAAUAAAAGGAACAAAUGGGGUCAAAUUGCACCACGUCAAACAAAUAGAGGGACCUAUUGCGCAAAUAGCCCCUUUACUGCAGAAACACACAGAUCCUGAGGGAAAACAGGUCGGUUUUCGGGUCUGAAGCCUAAACGACGUCGUUUUGGCCUCUAAGCUCACUCCUCAAAACGACGCCGUUUCAUGUUGCUAUAAAGGCCAAAUAUUUUUAAAAAUCCUUCUUUUUUCCCUUCUCUCUAAAAAAACAAAAUAGAAUUCUCUCAAGCCCCUUUUCCCUUCCCAAAAUCUAGCCAGGGGUCUGGCCAUCGGCCACCGUGCCGGCCGCCGAUCGCCGACAAUGGCACCACCAUCCGCGGUGGCCAAAAAAAGCCAAAGCCGCCCCUUUCGCUCCUCUUUUCGAGUAGAGCCCGGAUUUAGAGUUAAAAUAACCCAAAAGACCCUUAAAGUUCGAAAAAAAGAAGAGAAAAGGAAAAAAAAAAGGGACUUUUCAGUUUCCCAUUACUGCCGGUGGGGAUUCGGCGAGCCCACUGGCUCAAUCACCCUCAACACCGGGGAAACCUCCGACUACGGCCACAAAGGUAACAAAUCUCGCUCCUUUAUUUAUUUUAUAUUUUAUAUUAUUUAUUAUUUCGAAUAAAAAUAAAUAUAUAUAAAAAGACCUUGAUUUUCUCUGUUUCAAACUCCUUUUUGUAUUCAGAAUUAGUGUGUAACCGAAAAAAUUACAAAGAUGAUGCUCGGGCUUUUAUAGCCGAAAUUCAUGAUUCGUUUUUGUUCUUUUUCUUUUGUUUGCUUCCAUUUCUUUUUUUUUUUCGUUGUCCUCUUUUGCUUGCAUGUUGCAGGUGGUGGCAGAGGGCGUCAGACGCGUGAGGGAGCCUGGUGCGCAUGUGGCGGUGGCAGCGUGCUGACGUGGGAGGAGCGGUGGCACUAGGGGGCUAGGGUUUCUUUUUUUUUUCCUGAAAGUGUGUUUAGGCUAUUGGGCUUAUCGGGCCAUUAGGGUUUUUUUUAUUUGGGCUUGAUGUUUUAAAAUUGGACUUGUAAUGGACUGUAAUUUUGGACUCUUAUUUUAUUUAUUUGGUUUGGUAUUGGGCCCGGGUAAAAUUGGGCUAUUACACCUAAUAGACAAAACUUUCAUUGGCGUCGUUCUGAAUAUUUUACGCCUAAUUAUUUUACGAAGUUCUGUCAAAUCUAUGUUCUGGUUAAAACCAGUCGCACUGUAAUAUCUGGUAAAAAAAACAACACCGUUCUCGGUGUGACGAACCUCACCAUCAUAGUAAAUAACAGCACUAAUACGUUCACUCAUCUUCAAUUUCCAUCCUUCUUAGCCUCUCUAUUUUUUUUUUGCUGUAACCUAUGCAACCUGAGAAAAAAAUUUGGCUCAUUUAUAGCCUCAGGCCAAAUAGAAACUACUGUAGCAAAAGAGCGUCCAUGUGGGAGCUUCUUUCAGUACUUUUGCUGCCAUUGCAUCCUGCUUGAAGCAUUUUUGACACUAUUUGCUCAGAAACAUCUUCUCAAAAUUAUUUUUUCAGAAAUUACUGUAGCAAAAGAGCGUCCACGUGGGAGCUUCUUUCAGUACUUUUGUUGACAAUGCAUCCUACUUAAAGCGUUUUUGACACUAUUUGCUCAGAAACGUCUUCUUAAAAUUAUUUUUUAGGAACUACUGUAGCAAAAGAGCGUCCAUGUGGAAGCUUUUUUAAAUUAACAAAUAAUUUAAUUAAGUAACCCUAAACCCCAAAUCCUAAUUUAUUUUAUUUUUCCUUAAAAACUCUAAACACUAAACCCUAAUCUAAUUUUUUAAAAUUUUAUAAUUAAUUUACUCAAGUAACCCUAAACCCUAAUUUAUUUAAUUUUUUCUUAAAAACCCUAAACACUAAACCCUAAUUUGAUUUCUUUAAAAUUUAUAAUUAAUUUACUCAAGUAACCCUAAACCCUAAUUUAUUUGAUUUUUUUCCUUAAAAAUCAUAAACUAAUUUUCUAAAAUUUAUAAUUAUUUUAAUUAAAAACCCCUAAACCCUUAUUUAUUUAAUUUUUUUCCUUAAAACCGUAAAAUCUAAAAACCCCAAAAUCUUAAAACCCUAACUCUAAUUGUAGAAAACCCUAAGCCUAAAAAAUGGAGAAAACGCUUCCUCAAGGAAGCGCUUUGUGCACGUGGACACAAAGCGCACCCUCAAGGACGCGUUUUCUAUCCAUGUGGACAAAGUGUUUCCUUCAGGAAGCAUUUUCCUGCUUUAUCCCCUGACAAAACGCUGACGUGGACUCAUUUUGGAGAAAAUUGGCCCAUUCCGGUAAUUAAUUUAGGAGCUGACCCAUUUCGAUAAUUUUGAAAAUAAAGGGGCUUUUAUUGAUAAUUUUUCGGUACAAUUGUCACCCAAAAAUAUAUUAUUUUCAACAAAACUAAAGACUUUAUUUAAGAAAUAUAUUAUUUUAAAAUUGUUAGUUAAAAAACUUAAUUGAUCCAUUCUCUAAGAAAGGGUUUAAUUUCUUUUUGGAGGGGAGGAUUUAUUAAUAAGAAAGGGUUUUUUUUUAUUACAAAUUCACCCGUUCCCAAAGACUAUUUUUAAUAUAAAAAAUAAAAUGUGAAUUCAAUGAAGUCAUGUCAAGAUUUUAGAGUAAGUUUAAGUAGGCGGUGUAUUUACUUAUAUUAAGUAUAAAAUUAAAAUGACAAUAAAAUAAAAUUAGAUAUACGAUAAUAAAAGAUAAAAAGUAAACUAAACACAUCGCAUUGGACUGUUCACCCAUCCAAACGCACGCUAUAUUGGUAUCAUAGUGAAAUCUGUGUCAGGUUAACAGCCGCAUAACAGCCAUAGCUAGGUUUGGUGAUGUAAAGAAAGGAGAAUGAAUAGAAAGAGAAUAUCUGACUGUAGUAAAUGAGUCAUAGUUAGGUUUGGUGAUGUAAGGAGACGAAUAAACGAGUUAAAGAGCAAAUUGGAACACUGUUGCUGGACGAAUCCAAAUGUUCUGUGACUAUUAGAGCUUAGCUUUCCAAUUUUCUCUUUAACUUGUUUACUCAUCUCCUUACAUCACCAAACGUAACUAUGGCUCAUUUACGAAAGUCAGAUAUUCUCCUUGUACUCCUCCUUUCUUUACAUGUUAUUAUUAUAGCUCAAGAAAACGAGUCGAGCAUCAUCCAACCAGCUUCUUCACUUUAUGCCGGAAAACACCCUAGUUCAUGGCCCUCAUCUUCAGGGUAUUUCCGAUUUGGUUUCUAUCCGCAAGGCAAUGGAUAUUCGGUCGGAAUCUGGCUUGUUGGCCGGUCAGAAAACACCACUGUCUGGACCGCAAAUCGAGAUGAUCCGCCUGUCUCCUCAAAUGCUACUUUGGAAUUCACAACACAAGGCAGGUUGCUUCUUCGGACUGAGGACGGCAUGGAAAAAAUCAUUGCGAAUCUGACCAUGUCAGUAUCUGUUGAUGCAGCUUCUAUGUCGGACACCGGGAAUUUCAUGCUCUACCAGAACAGGACUGUUGUUUGGGAGAGCUUUAAUUUUCCAACGGACACAAUAUUAGGAGGCCAGAAUUUAAGCGGUUCUCAUAACAUGUUGAUUUCCAAUGUGUCAAGGUCAAACCAUUCAUCUGGGCCAUAUUUGUUGAGAAUGCAGGAUGAUGGUAACCUUGUAGCCUAUGCAAAUAAUCCUGCUGAACUUGAUCCUAGUGAUGCAUACUGGGCCACUAUGACUAAUGGUUGGUAUUUUUCUGUGUUGAAUCUCAAUGAAAGAGGCGUUCUAGCAAUGUAUUCAUCACCAAAAUUCCACCAAGAAAAAGUUUUGGCAAACCUCUCCGCAACUGGGAACGAAACAAUGAUUAUCUACAGAGCAACCCUUGAUCCUGAUGGAAAUUUCAGAUUGUACUCGCAUCAACUCGAACGCAAUACUAUCUCACACAAGUGGCAGAUUCUGAAUGAUGAAUGUGAUGCUAAAGGUCAAUGUGGGUUGAACAGCUACUGCUCCAGCAGGGGUAAGGAUACUGAGUGCUACUGCUAUCCUGGUUUCACAUUUAUCGACGAGAAUACCAAAUCCCUGGGCUGCUCUCAGAAUUUCACUAUAGAUGAGUGCGUGGCAAGGAAAGAUCUAGUGAUACAUUACAACAUCACUACCUUAGACAAUAUUGAUUGGGCUGGUGAUCCUUAUUCUGUCAAGCAAAACUUGGAAAAGGAAGACUGUAAGAAAUCUUGCCAGGAGGAUUGCUCCUGUGGCGGAGUUCUCUAUUCUAACCGAAAAUGCUGCAGCAUGUAUAUGCUACCGCUCAAAUAUGGUAAAAGACAUGGAAAUAUAACAACCACAGCCUUCAUCAAGUUGAUUCUGGGUAGCACCAUUAGCCACCCACCCGAAACAAGUCAAAUAUUGAUAAGCGAAGGAAACCAAAGCCUCAUUUUAACCAUGGGCUUAAGUUUGGGUUCCGUUGCAAGCUUGUGUUUUGUGAUUGCAAUAGGUAGCUUCUUGUUAUACAAGCACCGAGUCCAAAAUUAUGAGAAGCUUUUAGAAAAUAAAAGUUCAGGAUUAACCGAGCAGUUUACGCUACGAUCAUUCACUUUCGAUGAGCUAGAUGAAGCAACAAAUGGUUUCCAAGAUGAGUUAGGAAAAGGUUCAUUUGGAACAGUUUAUAAAGGAAUUUUGCGGGAUGGUAAAAGUAAAACUAUUGCCAUUAAAAGACUGGCGAAAGUUAACGAAGGAGAAACAGAUCAGAUUCGAACCGAGAUGACAGUCAUUGGAAGAACUAAUCACAGGAACUUAGUCCGAUUGCUUGGUUUUUGUGUGGAAGGUUCAAGGAAGCUCCUCGUUUAUGAAUACUUGGGCAAUGGCUCACUGGCAAACUUUCUGUUCAACAUGAAUAAACGCCCAGUGUGGAAAGAGAGAGCCCGAAUUGCAUUGGACGUAGCUAAAGGUAUCUUUUAUUUACAUGAAGAGUGUGAGGUGUGUAUCAUCCAUUGCAACCUCAAGCCCCAUAACAUACUCUUGGAUGAUUCAUUGACUGCAAAGAUUUCAGAUUUUGGGUUGGCAAAGCUAUUGAGGACUAAUCAAACAUGCAGUACCCCUAGGACCAAAGGGACUGCAUGGUACUCGGCACCUGAAUGGCAAAGCAGUGGAUUGGUGUCGGUAAAAGUUGAUGUAUACAGUUUCGGGGUGAUACUAUUGGAGAUCAUAUGUUGCAGAAGCAACAUAGAAGUACAAGUUUGUAGUGCAGAUGAGAUACUGCUUUCUACAUGGGUAUACAGUUGCUUUAUUGGCGGAGAAUUGAAUAAGCUUGUGGAAGGUGAAGAAGAAGUGGACAUGAAAAUGGUGGAAAGAUUUGUGAAGGUAGGGCUUUGGUGCAUUCAAGAUGAUCCCAAUUUGCGUCCAUUGAUGAAAAAUGUCAUCUUUAUGCUGGAAGGAACAAUGACUAUACCAGUCCCUCCAUCUCCAUCACUUCUGUUAUAACUUUGAUUUAGUAUUUACUUUAAUUUUGCUUUUCAUGUGAUGCAUGAUGAUGUGCUUAUUUUUCUUUUCUUUAAUGUAAUGCAAUUAUGUAAGAUAAGAGAGUUUAAUUCUAAAAAAAUAAAAUUUCAGUAGUUAAAAAAAUAAUAGUGUUAAUUUUCUUGCCUUCAAAAUCUGUAUAUAUGGGGCAGCUCUUCACCGAAAAAAAAAAUUCAUUCUUGCCUUAAAAUUUUUUUCUUUUGAUUUCAUAUUUAUUUAAAUGAAUUGAUGUCUAAUUGACUUUUAAUAAAUAAUUAAAAUGUCAUUCCUAUUAAGAAAUGCUAACAAAUAUUAUUAUGAAAUAAUUCAAUCAAAUUGUUGGUGUGUAACUAUAGAAGUAAAAUUAUAAUUAACAAAUGAUAAAAUUGAUGAUCACAUGUCCAAUCGUAUAUGAUAAAACUUAAACUUGAAUACUUAAAAAGUUUAAAUCUCUCUCCUAACCAACAAAACAAAAUUGGGGCUAAAUUAGCCAUAUAUGCUAAUUUAUUUUUUAAAUUGGCCUUUUAAGCUGGAUUUUUGAAAAAUUAGGAAAAUAAACUAUUUUUUUGGAAAGAGGAAUGAAAAAUGUGUCCAAUUGGGCGUACUUUCUACACAGUUGGCAGGAAAGUUCGCAUAACUGGUCGCACUUUCCUGUAAAUUGGAUAGAAAGUGUGUCAACUAAGCGCACUUUCCCCCAACUAGAUACUCCAACGACUUUUUGAAAGUUGGUCGAGCAACGGUAAGAAAAUUUAAAAGAGGGCAACGAUAAAAUUUUUUCACUAUAAAUACCCCCUAUUUUAUUUUUUCACUCACAUCCUAUUCCUUCAAUUCUCUUAAUUCUCUCAAAUUUCUCAAGCUUUUCUUCUAAAUUUUUUGAUAUUCUCAUUUAAAAAUCUUAGUUUUUUUUAAUUAUUCCGUAUUUUAUUUGUUCGGAUUAAAUUUUCACGAAAUAGCAACCUCCCUAAUUCAUUUCGACAACAAGCACAUUUCCGUCACUCAAGUAAUAAUGGUAAGACGAAAUUUUAAAUUUAGUUAUUUUUAAUUAAGUUAAAAUUAAUUUUUUUAAUAUUAUAUUUUUUUGUUAUUAUAAAUAGGUGGAUGAUUGUGUUUUGGAGGGGAUCAUACAUAAUUUGGUAGCGUCUCCGAUCACCUAAAUUCAUGGUUACUUGUAAAAGGUGAGAUUCUUGCAUACGUCUCGUAUACUUGGGGGUUGCAAACUUAACCCUACACUCAUCAGCAUGUUGGUGGAAAAAUGGAGGUUUGAAACACACACUUUUCAUCUUUCAUGUGACAAGUGUACAAUCAUACUCAUAUGAUCAUCCUCUUUAUUUAGCACCAAAUUGGUUUCCAUAAAAAAUUAUAAUAUCCUUUUAAGUCUUUUUAAAAUUAAUCCUAUUAGAAUUAUUGAUUUAGUCUAAAGCUGAUCAUGGGUCGGGCCGAACCGAGGCAAAAAGUCUAGGUUUGGGCUCGAUCUACCCAUAUUAAAAUCUUUUAUAUAAUUUUUAUAUAAAAAUAAAUUUAAAAAAUAUAAUACAUCAAAUACUUUAAAAAUAUUAAAAUAAUUGUUUACCAACAAAUUAAAAAUACAUUAAAAAAUAUUUAUGCUUAAAUAACACUAAGAUAUAUACAACUUCACAAGUAAAUGCCUUUAAAAAAAUAGUAAAAUUAACAAUGAAACAAAAUUUAUACAAUAUUUAAAUAUUAACAACAAAAUAGUAGUAAUAUAAUAGCGAAAUUAUAGCAAAAUAAUAAUAAAACAACAACAAUUUUUCUUAUGCAAAUUCGGGCCGAAUUGGGCCUGAGUUGAAAAACUUACCUAAGACCCGAUCCUUUUAAAAAUUUAUCAUUAUCAUUUUGUCCAAACCUAUUUUAGAAACCUUUAUUUUUACCAAAAAUUUUCCAAACUUUUUGGGUCAGUCCUAUUCGCCCUGUCUAAUUUAGCCUAUAUUCAAUUUCCUCCUUUGCGUUUGCUUUUUGUUGUUUUCUAAAAAUUCAGCCUUUCAAAUUCCAAUUAAAUAAUUUGUUGAUAUUUUUAAAUUUUUAUUAUCUUUUCGACUUCAGCCAUUUAUUAUUUCGUCAUCACUUGCAAAAUAGAAGAGAGAAACACCAUAUUUCCCAUGGCUUCGGUGUGGGCUUUUCUCUUGCUCCUUUCUUCUCUCUGCGUGAAGCAGUCAAGCAGCAUCAUUUCGCUGGGAUCUUCGCUUUCCUCGGCCACUCAAUCCAUCCCGUGGCGUUCUCCUUCUGGUCGCUUUGCAUUUGGCUUUUACAGUCAAAACGGUGGCCUUUCUGUUGGAGUUUGGUUAGACGGCAGACGAAAGAACGAUAACAAAGUUGUAUGGACAGCAAAUCGUAAUGAGCCGCCGCUCACUUCGAAUGCAACUCUGAUAUUAAAUGGCAAAGGUGUGCUUCUUUCGAUCGCUGUGAGCGGAGAAAAGAAAUUUAUUGCUAAUCCAAACAAUUCGGAUGUCAGUGUCUUCUCUGCCUCCAUGCUAGAUUCAGGCAAUUUUGUGCUCUACAACAAAGACAAUCAUACCAUUUGGGAGAGUUUCGAUAAUCCUACUGAUACCCUUUUAGGAGGUCAGACUUUAUUAACUAAUCACAAGUUGAUCUCCAGUUCAUCAGAGAAUGAUCACUCACCUGGAAGGUUUCAUCUUACCAUGCAAAGAGAUGGGAAUCUCGUUCUAUACCCUCUAGAGUUCGAAGAUUCUCCUCCAAAUGCCUAUUGGAGCACAGAUACUUUUGGGAAGAACUUGUCGCUCAGCCUUUUUCUUAACGCCACAGGCCUCCUCGAACUCAUCAACAACGAUAAUUCGUCCAUCUACGACAAAAUUAAUCGUUGCUUUUCUAAAGAGCCGACAUACAAUGACUACAACGAAAGCAGCAGCAACAACAACAGUACUGUUUUCAGUGCAAGCCUUGAUGUUGAUGGGAAUUUCCGGUUAUAUGCUCAUCUGUUUGAGCAAAAUGGUGGGUUUCACACUUAUCUACUGUUGAGGGCGGUGUUAAAUUCCUGUAAAGUUAAAGGUUUUUGUGGUUUCAACAGCUAUUGCACAUUUAAUGAUUAUCAACCCUACUGUGCAUGCCUCCCCGGGACUGAUUUUAUUGAUCCUCUUCAGAACAAGCUCGGCUGCAAGAGAAAUUAUUCUGAAGCACACUGUAAAGGAGGGAAGGCCAAUAUACCCUUUUAUAACAUGACUUCAAUGCAAGGUAUUGUAUGGACUACGGGCAUAUUUUACAGUAAAGAGCAACUGUCCAAGGAUGCGUGCAGCCGAACAUGUUUGGAAGACUGCAAUUGUGAGGCAGCACAGUUCGAGAAUGGGAUUUGCAGGAAACAAAAGCUUCCACUCAGGUAUUUGCUACGAGAUCCUGGUGCCGGAGAGAUUUCUAUAGUUUUAUUGAAGGUGGGAAUCAAAAGCCUUGAAGCAGACGACGACACUGUUCUCUCUGAAUUAAAGCUACCCAAAGUCCUAAUCAAACGGAAAAAUACGACGGUGCUACUACUUCUUUUAACUCUCAGUUUUGUUGCAUGUUCAUGUGCUUUGCUUACAAUCUCUGGUGUAUACAUUUAUAAAUUUCGAGUUCUAAGAUACAAAAGGCUGUUGGAACUUGGAAAUUUGGGCCUAACGGAAGAGCUUACGUUGACAUUGUUUUCAUACAAAGAACUAAAGAGAGCAACAAAUGGGUUUAAAGAAGAGUUGGGUAAAGGAUCCUUUGGAGCAGUCUACAAAGGGUCUUUAGACAGAGGAAGACAGUUGAUUGCUGUGAAGAGACUCGAGAAGUUAGUGGAAGAAGGUGAAAAAGAGUUCCAAGCAGAAAUGCGAGCAAUUGGUAGAGCUCACCACAAGAAUUUAGUUCGACUUUUGGGAUACUGUGUUGAGGAUUCCAAGAGACUAUUGGUGUAUGAGUACAUGGGCAAUGGCUCCCUUGCAGAUCUACUUUUCAAGUCAACAAAGCCCCCAGAUUGGGAUGAAAGAACAAGAAUAGCCCUGGAUGUUGCUAGAGGAAUCCUCUAUUUGCAUGAUGAGUGUGAGACUCCAAUCAUUCACUGUGAUAUAAAGCCGCAAAACAUAUUGAUGGAUGAUUUAUGGAGAGCUAAAAUUUCGGACUUUGGGCUGGCAAAACUGUUGAUGGGAGAUCAAACAAGGACCUUCACAGGCGUAAGGGGAACUAGAGGAUACAUGGCACCAGAGUGGCAGAAAAAUACUCCAAUAUCAGUGAAGGCUGACAUUUACAGUUACGGAGUUGUGCUGUUGGAGACUGUGUUUUGCCGACGGAACUUGGAAACCAAUGUAUCAAAACCAGAGGAGGUCAUUCUAUCAAGUAUGGUGUAUAGAUGUUUGGUUGAAAAGGAGUUGGAUAAGCUAAUGCUUGGUGAAGAAGUGGAUAAAAGAAGCUUGGAAAGAAUGGUGAUGGUGGCACUUUGGUGUAUUCAAGAUGAACCAGCUCUUCGUCCUUCCAUCAAGACUGUAGUAAUGAUGCUGGAAGGGAUCACUGAUAUAUGUAUUCCUCCAUGUCCAACUGCUUCCUUCAUCAAGUGAUGAUCCAACAAUCAAUCAUUUCACUCAAAAGUAUAUGUGUAUGUUGUCAAUAAAAUAUGUAAAAUGCUUCCUGUAGUGUCCUCCUAUAAUAGGCUUGGGUUAUGUACUGGUUUGUUAGUAUGAAUAUUCAGUUGCAUUAUUAUUACUCAAUCAUAUAUUAAUGAAAUGGUGAUUUUAAGUAUGAUCAUUAAACACGAAGUAUAAAGAAUUUACUUACAGUUACUGAUUAUCCAAUCGUAAGAAGCAGUAUUGCAGUAGCCAGUUGAUGAGUUUAUGUAAUAUGUGGAAAACUAUUACUUGCCUACAGUAGAUGAGUUUAUAUAGUAGCUCGACUUAAAUAGUACAAAAGCAAAUACAAUAUUGAUAUAUAUACUAAUGGCCACAUAUAAGGGUGGGUUUACGACCCUAACCCGGCCUAAUGUACUACCAUAAGAUAAUUGGAUAGUGACCAAUUGGACUAAUGGGUUAUUUUGUCACAUAAAAAACUUUUGAGUUGGUAGUCUCUAGUCUGGGCCUUUAUACAUAGAACAACAAUUUUCAGGCCUAAUUGAGUUUCAUUUAAGCUAGUACUCAAAGCUUGGCCUUAUAAAAUGGAAUAAAUUAUAAAUACAAUAUAUUAAUACUCAAUAGGAAAAUAUAAAUUAUUAUAUACUUUUAUAUUUAAUUAAAUAAAUGUUAAUCGUUAAAUUUUAAAAUUUAUUUUUUAUUAUUUUAAAAUAAAAUUAAUAGUUAUAAUUAAAAUAAAAUAAAAAGGGAUAAAUUAGUAAUAUAAUAAGUUAAUACUCAAUAGAAACAUUAAACUAUUAUACCCUUUUGGGUAUGGAGUGAGUUCAAAACUCGUGACCAACAUUUAUCUUCUUAAUGAGCCUACAAAAUACGAAAAAUUAAUUACUAGACUUGAUCUAAUAGAUACAAUGAGAAAUUUUAAAAAAUAAUUAUUCCAAAAUUUCAAAAUUAUUUAACUAUUUGACCCAAAUCAAUUAAUAUCCAAAAUGGAUAAAAUAAUUCAUACAGAAAAACUCAGCCCAUCAAUAGGUGUGCUCCCAACCCAGAACAAUAUAAAUCCAAAGAUAAUUCGAUCCGAAUCCGCCAAACCCACCCGUUUGGUUGAAGGAGACCCGUUCUUCUGCAUUGCUUCCUUUUGUGCUUCUGAUCUAUGGCUUUAUUCUCGAGUUGAAGGAAAAGUUAAAUGGCUCCAGCAAAGAAGGGAAAAGUCAAAACCCAGAAAGCUGAAUCAUCGCAGCCCUCUGAAAGUGACUUCAAGUUCCCAUCUUCAAUCCGCUCGGUUCCUCCUUCGUCUGUUGCCUCCUUCGUCUGUUAUUCAAUUUUUGCAUGGGAAAAAGUAAGAUGGAUGAAGAGGAGAAAAACCCAAAAGGCAAAAAUAAGAAAAAGAAAUGAAAAAGACCUAUGCGUAUGCACCCAAACGUGUUUGCCUAGGUAGUUAUGAAGAAGCAAGAGUCUGAACUGUUCUAUUUAAUGGGUUUCCCCUGUAAUUUAUAUAGUUUAUAUUUAAUAUAAUAUUUGUAUAGCUGCUUCUUUUAGAUACUGUUUUUCGCUACUUGAAUUGCUAUUCGUUGGUUAAUUUAGUUCUUUUUGAGUUGUUUCUUACUGGGUUUUUUCUUCCCCUUAUGAAUGAGCUUCUGAUUGUUAUUUAUGGCUUUUCUACUUGCAGUGAAACUAUCUGCACGGGUGUUUCAAGUUCGAAUUUUCAGUUUCCCUUAAAAGGGUUUGAUUGUUCCACUUUUAGCUUCUUCUUCUUCUUUUUUUUUUUUUGUAAAUUUUAUAAUAUGGCAUCAUCUCAUAGCAAUACUCACACUGAAGCCGCAAAAAUGGAACAAAUCAUCACUGAAUUCUUCUAUAAGAGUCUUCUAAUUAUACUUGAAUCGAGGUCUCCUUAUGUGUCAUCGCGAAAUUAUAUUGGUGAACAAAUUAUGUCAUCUCCAUCUUCGUCCCCAUCAUCUUUCUCAGGUGUGAGACCAAGAGAUAAAUGGUUCAAUUUAGGGAGUGCCCUUCAGAACUAGAAAAUUUUUAUCUUUGUCGCCAGAGUAAUUUUGAGCCGGUAGUGAUUGAUGUUAUCUUGGAGCAGAAGCCACUUGAUUGGGAUCCUGUGACCUUUUCCCCCAAACCUGAUCUUGUUAAGCAUUCUUCAUCAAAAGAUAAGAAUUCAUUUUUCUGGAAUUCUGAUCAAGAAGAAUCAGGCUGUGAGGCAAAAGGUGAGAAGGUUAUAGAAAGGUGGUUCGUGCAGCAUGAAAGUAGAAAGGGUAGGGAUUGCAGUUCAGGGAGUAGAAGGUCAAGUAGUAAUAAUUUGAGUGCAUUAUAUAAGAAAUUGUUAUUGCUGUUGAGGUCCUUAUAUGUGACCUUUAGGCUUUUACCUGCGUACAAGAUUUUUCGUGAUCUCAAUUCAUCUGGUCAAAUCCGUGCUUUUAAGCUUCUUCCUAGGGUAUCCUCUUCUGAUAAAUCUUUCACUCAGAAAGACGAGGCUGAAAUGCAGCCAUUUUGGUUCACCCCUGUGGAUACUUCUUGUGGAAGGCUUUGCCUUUCAGUUUUGUACCGUUCAUCAAUCUCAGAUACAAGCUCCCAGUCAUCAACCCCUAUGUCCCCUCAAUUUAUACCAGAUUAUGUUGGAAGCCCAUUGACAGACCCACUAAGAAGAUUUCCUUCUCUUCCUGUGUCACAGCCCAUUGACCGCCUUCAGUUUCUCUCUCACCAUCCCCAACACAUUCAGAAUCACAUGCUUUGGUUUCUAACCCAAGCUCUCGCCGUGCGUGCCGCCACCUAUGAGCUUACCUCCUCAUCCUCCUGGGGCAUCUCUACCUCAUAAGAAGAAUACAAACUUUGAUGAGUAUUGGCCUUCCCCAAAUUUUUCUGCUUCCCCUUCCCCUUCCCCAUCCCCGCCCAUCCGCAUUCCUGGGGGUCAUCUGUCAAAAGCUCUUUUACGUUCCGAAAGUGCUCAUGUUAACAUACCUGUCUGUAAGCUUGCUGGUUCCCCUGCAUUCCUGCAAGCAAAAUUUGCCACCAUCUCCUCCCCUUAAAGUUUCAAGAGCUGAUAGUUCUUGGACUGAUAAUAAUAUGGGUCCCAUGAAACCUGGCGCAACUAUCGAGAAGGUAUUUCAUAUAUGCCUCAUUGGUAUGAUUUGUGAUUCCAACCCUAUCUUGUUUUUCUCCUUGGAAUUUACUAUCGUUUUGUAUCUUAUAGCUGUUCUCUUUCGGGAAAGGAGACGGUCAGAAAUAUUCUGGAGUGAACUCACCCAGAAUUUCAUUUUUCAGAAGCUCCAGUAGGUCUAUACAAGAUGAUUUUGAUGACUCUGAGUUUCCUUGUCCAUUUGAUGUGGAGUAUGAUGAUACGGACGCUGGUAGCAGGUAAUGCACAGAACUCCUCAUAUAAAUUGUAUUUUUUAGAUUAACCCUUUUUGCAUCAUUUGUCAAUAGCUCAUACAAUUAAUUUACAUAUUUUUCUUUUUAACUUCGAAGUUAUUUUUAUCCAGAUUUCUUGAGGAUUUGACACUUAAUUAAUUGUUCUUGUGUAUUUGAAAAUGUGGCAUCAUUUUUUUUUUUUGUAUUAACAUAAUUUUCUCAGGACUUAAUUUGGUUGCUUUAACUUACCCUGGAGUAAUUUGCUAAAGGUCAUGUAAGCAAGCCAUCAUGUGUAUGGUAAGACUAAUAAUUGCCUUUUCUUUUUGAAUUUUGUCUUGAACUAGUUCUGAUCUCAUAAGACUGGAUGUUAGCAAUUGAUGUACUUUCUAGGAAACUGAAUAAUCAUUUUUAAGCAAAGAGAUUGUGCAUUAGAAACUUCAAUACCUUGCUGCUAGGAGUCUAAGUAGUGGCAUUUCUGGUUCAAGAAUCGGGAUAUAUCAGUUAUGAAGAGUUUCCAAAUAAAGUUUGUUUUCUAUUUUUGAGCAAGCCACCCUGGCUGGCAUUAAGCAUGUUCAAUACCUAGUCCAGGUAGUACCUGUAGUGAAAUAUCUGUUUCAGGGAUUGGGAUAAGUAGUGGUCUAUCAAUCUAUGGAGAGUUGCCAAUUAAACUUUGCUUUCCAGUUUUGUGAAAGAAAGUAAGAAACUUCACGGCAUUAUAAAUUUAGAUAUAUCAGGUAGUCUGCAAAAUUUGUUUUCUAGUUUUCAGAAAGACAGCCUGGCUGGUUAACUUGAAAAUGUUUAGUAGAUAUGAAGUUGGAUUGUAUAACCAUGCUGAAGUUUCUUGUGCCAGUUGAAUUUUGCAGCAAGCGGUGGUAACUGCUAAUCAUACUUCAGUUGUUUCUUGUAAUGCGCAACCAGUAUCAGUGAAUGAAUCAUAGUUGUUUUGGUAUCUUCAAUUUUAACAUAGUUAUUAACAAUGUAGAACUGCAGGAACAUGUCUUCAGGUCACGUGGUAGGAUUGGGGCCAAUUUCUGUGUAUGACUUGGCCCUUAUGUUUGAGGCAGCUGAAACAACAGCUGUCUUACUUUUUUUCUUUUGAUUGGUGAGUAAAUUAAAUUAAUAUAAAGAUGGGUGAUUAAGAGGAGGCCAAAAAACAAAGAUGGUUGAUUAAGAAUGAUUUGUUAAUGACUAAAGGAUAUGGUGGUUGCAGCAACGUUCUAUGCAUCCUUCUUGCUUGUCACUAAUUUGAUUUGUUCAGUUUCUUGAGUUACCUCUAAAACUACAACAAAAUGUAGUCGAAUGGCUUGUGUCAGUUGCAUUUGUAAUAACUCUGAUAAUCCUUUAUUAAAACAUGGAACUUUAUCAGUCUGUGUUGCUUUCCUGUAAUACCAGACACAACAAACUGCUUGAAGGAUCAAACAUCAUUUUGUCACUUUGAUUUAUUUUAUGGCAUACUCAGAUGUACACAUGAACAAAGUAUUCAUAUACUAAUUUCUACUAGUUAGCUUCGUAUUUAUAAUUAUUAUAUAGGGUUAUGUUUGGUAUUCUAAUGAUAUUUAGAUUUAGGGAAUAACUUAAAUAUUUAUUUUAGUUUCUAGGAGCUUUUGAAAUUGAGAUGUUGGGAUUAUAGAUAAUGGAGAUUUUCAUAUGUGGGCUAUCAGAGUUGGAUUUUUUUCGUCUUUAUUUCUCCCUAAGUUCAUCUAUUCCCCCUACUUCACGUUUUUGAGGUUCCAUGAAAUUACCAUGGGUGAAGAAAUCCAAAAGUUCUAAAGGUAAUUUGAACAUUUGACAUUCUCUUUACUGCAAUUGUUAGCUCAAAAUGUUCCCUCAAGAAAAUCCUUUAACCAUUGACUUAAGCAGGAUCAUUAAUCGAAAAUGAGUCAUGGAAUUCAUAUCCAAAUCCUACAGCACUUAUUUGAUCCUCCAACAUUAUAAAAAAAAAAAUAAGAAUCUAUUUUAGCCUUCCAUCUUUUUUAACAUUUGAAUUUGGGUUUUUAUCAAAUAUGUUAUCAUUUAAUUAAUUUUUUUCCGAAAUAAUAAUUAAUUUGAAAGUUGAUUAAAAAUAAUUAUUAUAAAUUUGUUUUGUUUCGUCUACCGAAUCAAGCUGGCAUUAAGAAGGAAAUGUAAAUAUAUACCUGAUGCUCAUCUCUGACACUUGCUUAAAAGGUAAAGAUUCGCAGUUAUGUUUUUAUCCAUUCUUUAAAUGUGUAAGAUCCAUUGAUAAAUGUAAAAAUCAAACUUAUAAUUAAUGAUUAAAUAUACAUUGGAUAGUAAUGAAUGAAAAAGUAAUAGAAUAAAAUCAAACCCUUAACCGAAUGCAUGUUGCAUUGAUCCCAUUUCUUUGUCAAUUAAUUUGCUUUAAUAUCCUAUAUAAACGUAUUUAAGUUCCAAAUGAAAUGUUUUUUUUUUCUUUGCACCGUGUAAUAUAUGAGCCAAAAUAUUAACAUUAUCUUUGAAAAUUCCCACCGUAAUGCCUCAAGGAUCACAAAUAUUGUCCCUAAUUGCACGUCUUGCAACUCCACUGUUUUACCUCCAUCAACGCGUGCUAUUCUUGCUCCAGCUCGGCCUCACUUCUUUCCAAAUGGGUGACACACAAUCCGUAAGUCUCCAAGGAAAUAAUGAUCACAUAUUUCUUCUUGUCUUAUUUCAUGGAAAUUACCAACGUCACUAUUGAAAAGCGUGUAGGUGGACUUGACCAAGACUUUUCUUGGCAAGUGGAGUAGAAGGCCAAAUGUGUUGGUUUCUUUCUAUUUCAUCGGAAUGAAAGCUUCCAGCCAAAGGAAUAGUUUUUUGUUUGGUAAAUUAACAUUUGGGUCAACUAAUUUUUAAAAGGUGAAUAAUGGUCAUUAACCCCUCACUAGAAUGAUGUCGUGACACAUUAACUCUUAACAAUAAUUUUAUAAAUAAUUUAAAAAAAAUUCAAAAAUUUCUUUAUAAAUCUUGAAAUUUAUAAUUUACUUUCUAAAAUUAUAAUUUUCUUUUUUAAAAUUAUAGGCAUACGAUUUUUUUAAAUCAUAAAUUUCUAAAGAGAUUUUGUACUAUACGAACAAGUCUUGUUUUCUCUUAAUGAUUGCUGUUAGUUCUCUUUAGAAGAUCUUGAUUUCAUUUAAGACAUUAAGAUGAAAUUUUGUCAAGGACAACACAGUUGUUGCCAUGCAUCCAUUUAUCUAUUAUCUAACGUAAAGCUAUCAUACUCUUGGUGGUUAAAGUAUGAAAUUUUAAAAAUUCUAAAAGUAUUUGGAAUUUAAAAAAAAUAUAUUAAAAAAUACACAUCUAAAAUGAACUUAGACAACAGGAUAUCUAGAUUCAUUUGAAUAUAUAUAUAGUUUAUCCAAGUUUAUUUUAGUAAGUUUAUAUUUUAGUCACUCAACUUCAAAAAGUUAAAAAAAUAUUGUCAUUGAACUAUUCGAAAGUUUUUAUUUAAGUCACUAGGUUGUUAAGUUUUUUUUUUUAAAUGACCGGCUAGCGAGUUUCCAAGUGACAAAUUGACGAUUGGUACGGUGGGUCAGUACCCAUUACUAAGUAUAAGAACAUACAUUAGAUUUAAGUCGAUUUGAUGAUCAAUGUUAAAUAUCAAAGAACCAAGUUGUUUAGAUUUCGGUUUGCAGAUUCGUGAUAUUCAAAGUUAUUUUAUGAAAAGAAACUAAGUUGUAAAAGAGAAGAAGAGUGAGAGCUUUCGAUUAGAGUAGACGAUUCAAAUAGAGAAGAUCAUAUAGCAACCUAAUGAGUUAAAUGAAAACUUUCGAAUAGUUCAAUGAUCAUUUUGUAACAUUUUAAAGUUGAGUGACUAAAUCAUAAAUAGAGGAAUUCCUGAUCCUAUUUGUAAAAGAAAAAAAAAUCUAUCGUUAAUUUACCAAAUAAUAAUUCUCCACCAAAAAAAAAAAAAAAAGCGGUUCCAAGUGUACCACGGAUUUAGCCUUGCAUAGGUGCGAGGACUUGACCAAGACUUCAAUGGAAUUGUUUUUAUUUUAAUCAACAAAAAUAUCGCUUUAUUUCUUUCAAUUUACAAUUUAUGAACAUGAUAAUAAAACCAAAAACUAUAACUUUCAAAUUGCAGAAAAUAAAUGACUAUGUGCUCACAACCAUUAAGGUAAUGAACAUGCUAGCAUACAUAGUGGAAGAUGAGAAAGGUCCACCUUUCUUUCUUUCCUUCCUUUUUUCUUUUUUUACAUUUUAAAAAAUAAUUAAAUCUUAGUCUUAGUCUCUAAAUUUAAUCUCUAUUUUUAAAUUUAUAACAUAUUUAGUUAGUACAUUUUUAUAAUAACAGUUAGUAUCAUUAAAACAUUUGUAAAUUUGAAUAUCCUAAAAGUCUUAUUUUAGUUAGGAUUACAUUACUUUUUUUGACAUUAUAAACUAUACUAACAUUUGAGAUUUAAUUUAUAUAUUUUAAUUUUUUGACAUAAUUUAAUUUGGUUCCUCUAUUUUUAUCCUUGAGAUCAACACUAUUUCAACAAAAAAAUCAUUUUAUAUUUCUAAAAAACAUUCUAAUCAAUAUUUCUAACCUUAUUUGUAUUACAUCAAAGAAUUUAAUAAAAGAAAUUUUAACAAUAAUAACAACUAAACUUAAAUAUUUAAAUCCGAAAAAUUAACAACUAUAUUCUUAAAAAUAAUAAACCCAGAAUUUUUUAUUCAUAAAUACCAUAGAUUUUAUAAAUUAAAAACACUUGAAUUAAAAACAACUAUAAUCUAGCUUUUUUAGUACAUCAUUUAAGCUUAUAUCAAAAUAUUUUUAUUUUUAUUUUUUAUAAUUAGUUGAAUGAUGACUUCAAACCAAUCCCGCAAAUUCUCUUCGUCCUUCUAUCAAGACUGUAGUGAUGAUGCUGGAAGGGAUCACUGAUAUAUUUAUUCCUCCAUGUCCAACUGCUUCCUUCAUCUAAUUCAAGUGAUUAUCUAAAUUGCAUAUAAAUUUUGGUUAAAUGUGACAUACAAACUUUGAAUUACAACUACAAUUAUUUAUUUCUUUAAAUAUGUAUAUUGAAUCACAAUCAUACAUUUUGACUACAAUUAAAACUUAAUGUAUAUAAUUAUACUAAAUCAAAGUUCAUGCUUCGAAUUGCACAUUGAAAAUGAAAAUGUGCAUAUUAUAUAUAUAUAUAUAUAUAUAUAUAUAUAUAUUAUAAAUUUCAAAAUGAAAAUGUACGAACCAUUUAUUUUAUUUAUGUUGGAUUCAAUUUUUAUUUUUUUGUAAAAACUAAGUGUUAAGUAUGAUUCCUAUUUUAGUCAAAUUUGAGAAAUAAUCUUCUAGUUAAACUCUGUUUAUUUGUUUCAAUCAAACACUGAUUAGUUUAGAUUAUUUUAUUAUUAUUUAACCUAUGAAUUUAGCCUAUAAAUAGACUCUUUUACAACAUUAGAAAUACACACAUUAGAUAUUAGAACCUCAUAACACAUUUAUUUGUUUACAUUUUGAGGGUUUUUUUUCGAGUUUUCGUGGUUUAAUUUUUAUCUUCAUCUUUUGUACUCUUCACUCUUUUGCCAUUAUAGUAAAAUUAUCUUUGCCUGUGAUUUUUUAUCCUCUUUUAGAGGGGUUUUUCCAUUUUAAAUUUAUUCCGCUAUUUUUUUACUUGUUGUUUAAUCGGGUCGAUCCUAACAGUAAGUAAAUUAUUUCAUUUUAACUAAUUUAUUUUUUGACAUAAUGUAUAAAAUUAAUUUACUUAUUCUUUUGAGUAAAAUGAUAAAACACAAUUUUACUUUUAAUAUAAGUGUUUUUAUGGUAAUUUAAAAAAAGAAAUCCUUCUUAAUUAUUUAUAUAUUAAUCUCGUAUAGAUUUCAUACAAACCGAUCAAUGACAAGCGUAUUACGACAAACAUUUGGAUACGUCUGAAAGUGAGAAAAAGUAAAAAUACUUUUGUUUUGAAAAAAAAGAUUUAAAAAAAAAAAAAAAGAGCUAAGCUCUAAUAGUCGGAGUACAUUUGGUUUCGUCUAGCAACAGUGUUCCCGUUUGCUCUCUAACUCGUUUGCUCGUCUCCUUACAUCACCAACCCUAACUAUGGCUCAUUUACUACAGUCAGAUAUUCUCUUUCUAUUCCUUCUCCUUUCUUUACAUGUUAUUAUUAUAGCUCAAGGAAACGAGUCGAACAUCAUCCGACCAGGUUCUUCACUUUAUGCCGGAAAACACCCUCGUUCAUGGCCCUCAUCUUCAGGGUAUUUCCAAUUUGGUUUCUAUCGCCAAGGCAAUGGAUAUGCGGUUGGAAUCUGGCUUGUUGGCCGGCCAGAAAACACCAUUGUCUGGACUGCAAAUCGAGAUGAUCCGACUGUCUCCUCAAAUGCUACUUUGGAAUUCACAACACAAGGCAGUUUGCUUCUUCGGACUGAGGACGGUGUGGAAAAAAUUGCGAAUCUGGCCGGGUCGGUAUCUGUUGAUUCAGCUUCUAUGUUGGACACCGGGAAUUUCAUGCUCUACCAGAACAGGACUGUUGUUUGGGAGAGCUUUAAUUUUCCAACGGACACAAUAUUAGGAGGCCAGAAUUUAAGCGGUUCUCAUAACCAGUUGAUUUCCAGUGUGUCAAGGUCAAACCAUUCAUCUGGGCCAUAUUUGUUGAGAAUGCAGGAUGAUGGUAACCUUGUAGCCUAUGCAAAUAAUCCUGCUGAACUUGAUCCUAGUGAUGCAUACUGGGCCACUAUGACUAAUGGUUGGUAUUUUUCUGUGUUGAAUCUCAAUGAGAGAGGCGUUCUAGCAAUGUAUUCAUCACCAAAAUUCCACCAAGAAAAAGUUUUGGCAAACCUCUCCGCAACUGGGAACGAAACAAUGAUUAUCUACAGAGCAACCCUUGAUCCUGAUGGAAAUUUCAGAUUGUACUCGCAUCAACUCGAACGCAAUACUAUCUCACACAAGUGGCAGAUUCUGAAUGAUGAAUGUGAUGCUAAAGGUCAAUGUGGGUUGAACAGCUACUGCUCCAGCAGGGGUAAGGAUACUGAGUGCUAUUGCUAUCCUGGUUUCACAUUUAUCGACGAGAAUACCAAAUCCCUGGGCUGCUCUCAGAAUUUCACAAUAGAUGGGUGCGUGGCAAGGAAAGAUCUAGUGAUACACUACAACAUCACUACCUUAGACAAUAUGUAUUGGGCUGGUGAUCCUUAUUCUGUGAAGCCUAACUUGGAGAAGGAAGACUGUAAGAAAGCUUGCC